RNAcentral lists this long non-coding RNA (102412 nucleotides) under Triticum aestivum (bread wheat). RNAcentral's name for it is "long non-coding RNA (TAES_LNC002106)". The stretch from base 3661 to 3775 matches the Rfam family "MIR1120/MIR1122 microRNA precursor family". The record is from RNAcentral. Lineage: Eukaryota; Viridiplantae; Streptophyta; Magnoliopsida; Poales; Poaceae.
ACCGGGGACCUGGAGGAAGACCAGCCGGCCGCAUGACGGAGAGCGAUCUACAUUGGCGUCGAGACUCGCGAUUGGAGCCCUCGCGGGAAUAAGAUCGUCACGAAGCGGCGAACUCGCCGAUGGGAAGAAGGAAAACAGGAAUUUCUCCGUGCGUAUGCGUCUAGAUCGAUGCCUCCUUAUGGUCUGGGCCAUGGGCUCCUUGCGAACCCUGGAGGGGGCCCCUAGAUUUCGGGGGCCCUGGGCGGCCGCCCCCCUGCCACCCCCUCAGGGCCGGCCCUGCAUGCACGAACAUAAUUUUGUGUGGGAAAAAGAACUUGCUGGGAAACUCGAAAUAAAGCUGCAUUUUAUACUCGUGUAUCAUCUGCCAUGGAGUAAAGCAAGAUGAUCAAUUUUUUUUGAGUAUCAGUACAGACACAAGCGCUCAUAUACACGCGCAUACACUCACCCUAUGAAGGCACACACGCACACGCACACCCUAACGUCUCCUCCCACUGAAAGCGCAUCGCCGGAAAUCCUGAAAUAAAUUCAGGAAUAAUGCGAGCACCAGGAUUUGAACCCUGAUGGGUUGGGGAUACCACUGUCCACCUAACCAACUCAACCAUAGGUUGAUUCGCAAGAUGACCAAUUUUCGUAUGUAAAUUAUGAGGGUUUCUCCCCGCAAAAAAAAAAAGAGUUAUGAGGCUUUCUACUAAAGAUAUAGAUAUGCGUGGCUGACAGAAUAUUUUCCUGGUAACAAAAUCUCAACCUGCCAUCAGUACCCGAUCGACCUCCUGUGUUUUCACAAUGCAAAAGGAAAAAUCUUAAUUACCCCUAAAAAAAGGAAAAAAUCUUAAUACAUGUACGUCACCAACCCAGGCUUCCCGCAAAAAAAAAAAACCCAGGCUAUGUGUCCCGUCAAAAAAGAAAACCCUGGCUAUGUGCUGCGCGCGUGCGCCGCCGUGUGGCGCGAUGGAUCUGCUCCCCGAGGACUUGAUCGGAGAGGUGGUGCGCCGCCUCCCCGGGCGGAGCCUCGCGAUGUCCCGCCGCGUGUGCAGGCCGUGGCGCGCCGUCGUGGACCGUCUCAGGCCGCUCCGGCCGCACAUGCUGCCGCACUCCGUCGCCGGCAUCAUCAGCAUUCAGCAACUACUUUGACUUCCCGCGCUUCUUCGUCCGUCCCUCCUGCACGAGGAUCGCCGCCGCGUUCGACUCCGUCCAGCGCCGCAAAGACGGCCUGACCACCACGAGUCCACGAUCGUCGACCACUGCAACGGCCUCCUCCUCUACGACGACGGCUGGGACUGGACGCAGCUCUACGUCUGCAACCCCGCCACCCGGCGCUGGGCGCUCCUCCCGUCGGUUCCGGGCCUCGAUCUCUUCCCAGGUCUGUGCUUCGCCGGCGCCUACCUCGCCUUCGACCCGGCCGUGUCGCUGCACUACGAGGUGUUGUUGAUCCCAGACGUGCCCGAGAAAACCACCGACUAUGACGAGGAGGACCCGGAGGACUUGAUGGAAUGGCCACCGUCGUGCCAUCAGCUGAUGGUGUUCUCGUCGAGGACCGGGAGAUGGGAGGAGAGGGCCUUCGUUCGCAUAGGCGAGGCGGCGGGAACCGUAGCCGACGUGCGGUCAAAUAUGGUGGUGGAUCACAACUGGAAGACGGGGUAUAGCUACGCCGAGUACUGGAGAGGAGCCUUGUACGUGCAUUGUCGCGCCGGCGCUUUUGUUUCCAGGUACCUAAUUAACUUUUGUUGAUGCAAAAAGAUCAUUUCAUUUGAAAGAACUAUAUCAUUUUAUUCCUAUGUAUGUUGUCUUUUUUUCUUCUUUUUUUGCGAUUGAUCCCUACAUAUAUAUAUGUUGUCCACUAAAGCUAUAGUGGGAUGCGCUAGCUCAAGCUGAUUAAUCCAAGCUCGAUAUAUUGUGUGAUGGUUACAGGUUUUGCACUUCCGAAUGUAGCUACCAAGUAAUCAAAGCGCCAACAAACAUGGAUGAAAAUGAAAACAUGCGAUCCAACUUCAGAAGAUCAGAGAAGGGGAUGCAUUAUGCAAGUUUUCGUGGCCAUAGACUUCGAGUGUGGAUACUCCUCGAAGAAUCACAUGGCCUACCAGAGUGGGUGCUAAAGUAUGAUGUCAGCCUCAACCUUCUUUCCUAUCGAAUGAACACUUUAUAUUCUGAGGAGAUCAACAGGCCAUGGACCGUAGAUGAUGACGACAGGGAGAAGCAGGAGAAUAAUCGACAGAGCGCUGAAUGGAACUCUGAUAAUGAUGAUGUCCUAGAGUAUGGUGAAUGUAGCCACGAGCAGCAGAGUCGUGGGGGUUUCCGCUUCCUAGGCUUCCAUCCAUACAAAGAGGUUGUCUUCUUGAGUCACUCUAAUAAUGAUGUGCUAGUGCCAUGCAUUCGUAAUGCAGUGGCCUGCCAUUUGGCAAGCUUGAAGGUUCAACAUUUAGGUAGAAACAAUCCAAAGGAUUUUGCUCAUUGGCAAAGCGAAGAAGGAUCGUUUAUCUACACUCCUUGCUUGCUUGAUUUGCUUCCUCAAAGAUUUUGAUAUUGGGUUCAGGUCGAUCUCCUUGUUGAAGACGCUUUAAUUUUUGCAAUCCAAAGAUAUGGAGCUCUCUAUGCCUCAGAAAUGAUUUCUAUAGAAUGACGUGCCAUUUCUACUAAAAUCAAAGACAAUGGAACACAAGGGUGAAAAUAGUUCCUGAUUUGGACGCUCGCUUCAGGAUAUAUUUCGAUUUGAAAUUUAGAACUCACUGAUGGUGACAAGUGAUGCACCUCGUGUGCGCCACUUGUUGCCAGCGGUGGCAAUUGAAAGUAACAUUUGCAAGUGGUACCCUCUAAUUGAUGAUUAUGUACUAUCUAUUUAUCGACAAAAGCGAAGUGUUUAAUAUCAAUCUUAAACAAUGAGCCCAAUGUAGAGUGAAAUCGACGAGCGACAUCAAUGUGCCUAUUUUCCGCUUAUCUUAUGGUUUAAUAAUAGAUGCUUUUGUAGUAUUCCCAUUUCCCAAUAUAGGGUUAUUCUUGUGACACGAACCUUAACAUUAUAGCAGGAGAUAAAGAUGGAAGCGUUUUUCUUCUUCUAUUUCUUGUUUGAUGAUUAUAGCCGGACUUGAUUAAUCCUGCACUGAUCACAAUCCCGGUAAGAAUGUUAGGUCCAUGCAUGUCCCCCUCCUCCAUCGUGCAUAUGCUUGUGUUGUUCUUUAAGGCACGUCCGUAUAGUGGGACACUAUUUCCUACUAUUUGGUUCAGCAGCAAUCUAAUUUCCUCCCCCCUUUUCCUUUCCGAAAACCUUGCAGAAAGAACAGACGCUAGCAAAUUCCAUGAUAAUUUAUCAUUGAUUGCAAUUUUUCUGUUGGUAGCAAAUUCCCUGAUAAUUUGAAAAGGAAACUACUAUGAAGUAUCUUUGGUCUUGCUGAGAUGACAAUUGAACCGACCUUGGAGGUGGCGUACGUAUGUAUGGUAGGACACUGUAACAUCUCCCUAUGAACUAUAUGAUGGAGCCGCAACCUUGGAGUACCUGAUGAAGCAUGAAGAGCAGGAGGAGAACAUCAGGAUCAGAGUGGUGUAUCCGAUGUUAUGUGGAGCUGAUGUUUGAUUAUGCCUGGGAUGUUAUAACGUUGCUAUCAUGCUGUAUCCCUUGUUUUGUAGCAAGACAACUUUGGACCUUAGUUGAGAGGGUGAGAUGAGUGCUUAUUACUCCCUCCGUUCCGAAUUACUUGUCGCAGAAGUUGAUGUAUCUAAGACUAAAAAAUGUCUAGAUACAUCCAUUUCUACGACAAGUAAUUCCGAACGGAGGGAGUAGUUUUUAGUGGUUGGACCUGGUCUGGUAGAAUAUUGUAACUGGUUUCGUUUCAAUGAAAUGAAGCUAGGGGUGUGAACCCCUGAUUAUUGACGAAAAAAAACCACAAAUGAACCGACAAUAUGUAUCCAUCCCUCUUAACACGCUCAUUGUCGUGCACCUAAGCUCUAGGAUUUGGGUGUGACAGCUAGGGGUGCAGAGCGGCGCCGAUCCGCCCCGCUCCACAUGCAAAACAGAUUUACUUUACUUAUAGUUGCUCCUCUCAGAUUUAGUUCAAUUUGAACUAAUUCUCUACUUAUGCGUGACUUUGCAGGAUGCCCGCCUGCAUCCCUGGUGACAGGGGAGAAAGAUUCCCAAUGUCGUAGCAUUCAACAAGUUCAUCUAAAAUGAAUUAUUCAACCAGUUCCAUGAUAGAAACAAUGAUUUAACCCUAAAACCAUGAAUUAUUCAACCCUUUUUUUUGCGGGUGAUGAAUUAUUCAACCCUAUGGAUGCUGGGUACUCUUUUGUGUUCCGUUAUCUCUUUUCACAGUAGAACCCGAUCCAUUUUGGGAUUGUAUGGAGAGAGAAAAAUAAAGAAGCCUACUGGGAUUCCAUAUCUAAUACACAUGAAAGAUUAUUUUCGUCAUCUCUAAAAACCCACGAACGCACUUCUUACAUACAAUCAAUCUGUCAACCGUAAGCCGCUUGCAUAUAUAAAUCAAUCCAUCAAUCAUAAGUCGCUAACGGCUAACUACAAUCAGUCAACCAUAAGCCCGCUUGCAGAUACCAGCGGUCUCACAAAACUGAACAUCUGACUUGCACCUCGACUUCGCCCUUGCUCCAAGUCAGCGCGUCUUGUGUGGGCCAAGCCUCGUGAAGAACUUCAGGAUGUUAUCCCCAGGCAUGAUCACAGGCAAGCCGCACUCUUUUCCCGCUUCCACGCUCUGCAAACAGCAAGGCACGGUACCAUUGGUCAGCAGCUGAAGUUUACAAGAGAUGACCUUCCAGAAUGGUGUCAAAAUUCAGAAUAAGUUUGGUGUCAAAAUUCAGAAUAAGUUGUACAGAGCAGGAGCACAACUUCAUACAUGAGGAAUGCGCCAGCGCCAUGAUACUACCUUGUGCUCAGAAGCUGCCUGCUCGGCACCAUUCCGAUGGAGAUGAUGGUGUGCAGGCUGUCUUGCAGCAUGGCAGGAUGCCAAGACCAGAGGAGAGAGCGGAGCCUGUCCUAGUGGGAGCAGCACAAGAAGAUGCCCGCUGAGGGAGAGGAUGACGAGGAGCAGGAGCACAGCUUCAUACAUGAGGAAUGCGCCAGCGCCAUCAGGCUCAUCAUCGAUGCAAAUGCGCCAUCGGGGUCGUUAUGGAUGCAGGAGCAGGCGUAAUUUGGGCAACAUUUGGCGGAUGAACCAAGGUACUAAAAUCUGGAGCAAAAAUUUACCAAAGCCCAGUAAAUAUAUUAAUCUCAAAGUUAAGCGGACUACAUGAUUCAAGGAGUUCAUCCACUUCAUACUUAAACGAAUCCAAGAACAAUCCAAGCGUGAGCCCGGCUUUCCAGUAAUUGAAUAUGGAAAUCAUAUUCUUCAUCCUGCCAAGAAGCGCAAAGGAAGCCCUGUACAUGAGAGCGCCAAUAACCUCGACGAUGGCAACAGCCAAUCCGGCAGAAAGUAUGUCCCAGUCGCCUGUUUGCCCGAUGACGGUAGCAAAUGCCGUGGCACAGUAAAAUCCUAUCAGAAAGAAUAGGAUCUUUACUGGAAACCCUCUACUCACUUUCUUCAGCUUGCCAGACAACUUCUUUAAGAAAGAUUGAAUUGCAUUAAACAGCCGAGUGCUAUUGCCUGAAUUGUCGGGAUUGUCGUCUGCCAUAGUCUUAAUGGCCCAUUGCACCACCCUACAGAAAGAACAAAAUAUUUCCGAUAAUAUGUUAUUGAACAUUGUCAGAAGAAAGCAUGCUGUCUUUCAAGACACAGAACAAUAACUCAGGAAAGGAAGGCAGAGGAACACGCAGAGCAGAUUAUUAGAUAAAAUACAACUGAUAGUGACCUGUUGCAACAAAGACCAUCUGAUGGCAUGAAAAAACACGAGCCCUUAAUUAAGACUGAGUUCUUAACCAUCUAAAAAAAACUGAAUUCUUAACCCAUACCACUCACAAUGCACUAACCGAUUAGUUAUGCCUAACCUAAGUAUCCUAGAUUAGUUAUGCCUAACCUAAGUAUCCUAAAUACAACUGAUAGUGACCUGUUGCAACAAAGACCAUCUGAUGGCAUGAAAAAACACGAGCCCUUAAUUAAGACUGAGUUCUUAACCAUCUAAAAAAAACUGAAUUCUUAACCCAUACCACUCACAAUGCACUAACCGAGCUAGCACAAAUUUGGCUUCAUUACCUACAGAAAUUUUGAAGUAUGCAGCUUCUCUGAAGCUGGAACCGUGCAAGGACCCAGUACUGAAUAAACCGAAAUCCCACAUUCUCUCCCUAGUUGAUAUUUGAUGCAUAAGGACAUCAACCUUCAGUGAACAGGUUAAAUCUAGGAUACUUAGGUUAGGCAUAACUAAUCGCAUUAAAUAAGUUAAACACAGGUUAGGCACAAUGAACAGGUUAAACACAGUGUACUGAAUGUGCUAGCACAUAGGAGUAUUUAGGAUUCGCUACCUACAGAAUUCGGGAAUUGUGCAUCUUCUGUGAUGUGGGAACCGUGCAAGUACCGACUAAUGAGUAAAUCAUGCAUUCUCUUCCAAGUUGACAUUUCAAGCAUAAAUACAUCAACCUUGAGUGAACAUGUCAACACUGGAAUGCCUAGAUUAGGGAUAACUAGUUUCCAUUAUGUAUGUUUUCAGUCAACAUAUCAGAACAGAAGGGAAUGAAACUGUACACUCACUGAAUUGAGAACCUCAUGGUAAAUGGGGGAGGGCGUAUACUAUGUGAGAUAUGCAUGAAAUAAAAAAUUUCUCUACGGUGUAAUACUUGGCACACUGCCUACUAGUGAGUCAAUUCACUUGCAUUGCCUUGCCAUUGCAACGGUGUUCUAAACUUAAGUACUAGUAUUUACAGUGAAACCUUGUACUAGUAUUUACACUGAAAUGACCAUCGAACAAUCUUCAUUGGCGACUAAAUAGUCAGUAGUAUUUACACUGAAAGCUUGUAGCAUACGAUUGAAACAAACAAAGAUUAACAAUCUCCAGCCACCCUACACUGAAGAAUUCCUCAUUUUUUUACAUAAAACUGACUGAAUACUGUAAUGAUAAUCGAACAAUCUUCAUUGGAGAAAUCGACACACAUCGCACAACUUGCAGGUUUUGUAGCUACUUAUUUCUGUAUUAUUUGGAACGGAUAUUCUUGGUGUGGUAACACACUAACAGUAAACGCUACCUGGUGCUUCUGCCGAAGGAAGGAGACGCGCGCACCAAGCGGAAGCUCCCCUGAUGCUUGUUCCGGCAGCACGCGGCGGCGGCGGCCCCUCUUGGAGCGCAGGAGGACGCGGCAGCAGCGGCGGCGACAAGGUUCCUCGACCUCGAGCACCCCGACCAGCACCGGUGCCCCGGCGGCGACUGGACGGCUCCCUUGCACAGACGGAGAGCGGACAUGUGCCCUGCCCAAUUCGACCAAAAAAUUCUCAGACAUCGGAACCAAAUCGGACCUGACCAACCGAGCUCAUAUGUCGGCAGUCUCGAUCGGCGGCCACUCACCGAGCUCGCGCCCGAGCGUAAAGAGGGGGAGGGGGGAGGUGCAGGUGGAUUACCUCGGAGGAGGCAAGCUCGUCAGGCGGCGGCGGUGUCACCGGCGGCUGUCAUCGGCGGGGAGAGAUAUGGGAUGGUUGGUCGGGCUGCGGUGGCCGACGAGGCAGUGAAGGGGAACAGAACUGGGCCAAGCCCACAUAGCAUCCCAUGGGCCAGAGUCUAGCUAUAUUAUUAUUAGGCUUCCCGUCGUGGGCCGCUCACUGGGCUUCUCCUCUGCUUCUCUCGGCCGAAACCCCAGCUCAGCGAGCAGAGACCCGGCGGCGGCGGCGAUAUGCAGUUCCUCCGGGGCGUCGGCGGCGGGGGAGGAGGGGCGGGGUCGACGGCGUGGGAGGCGUUCAGGAGGCAUUUCUCGCGGAAGCGGGCGGUGGACAUCCGGCGGAUCAACCCCAAGGUGCCCAAGGAGGAGGCCGUGGCCAUCUCCGGCCGCCUCCUCCAGAUCCUCGCCGACCACGGGCCCCUCACCGUCGGCAACACCUGGAACCACGCCAAGGUACGCGCGCGUCAACUCACUCGGCUGCCCGUGCGUGUGUCAACGACCUCUAGCUGUUGAGCUCGAUGUAUUGCUGCAACUUUGUUCGUCCGUGGCCGGCAAAUAAAUUUGAUGCAGUAGUAGUAAGAGCUGAUGGAACUGAUGCCCCGAAGCAAGUAGUACAGCUUGGCCUCUGCCUGUACUUCCUUCAUUGGUCAGAUAGAUGAUGUUUAGACCAGGAAGAUUGUAGCUUCUGCCCUCUUUUUAGUGCCUUGGCUUCUUGCAUUUGGGCAGCAAAUAAAGUAGAUAGCUUUACUCUUCUUCGCGCUUAGCCGUGCUCUUGUAUAUCAACUUUGUCUUGUGAUUACAGAGUAGUUUUACCCUUCUUCGCGUUUAGCCAUACUCUUGUAUUACAGAUGUAAUAUGGUGUAUGUUCAACUCAGUGAUCUUGCCAUGACUAUUUGGGUGCUAGUAGGAAAUUUCUGCAAUUAGGUUUGUAAUCAGGCAUCUUUUAGUCUGUUGGCACCGAAUAAGCUGCUGAAUGUGUAUGCUAUGAUAGCCACCUGGUGGUGAGGUAAACAAUUGAUUCUUGUUCAUGCCACUUCUGUUUUAGAUGCUCAAUGUGUUAGAAUAAAUCCGAGGCCACCAUCGAUCAUCCGAGGACCAAAGCAAUCACACAAGCAUAACACCGAGAUUUGUUAACGAGGUUCAUCGAUAUGGCUACAUCCCCGGGGCCUGACUACGGGCGCUCCUCCCCGUGACACCGUCACAAUACCGCACCCCGGCCGCCCGGGCGCCGGCACACGCCACCGGCUCCCCCGCGUGCCCGUGCUAUUAUGUUGGCAUAGGUUACAUCGUGUGUCUACCCCCGAUAUAUAUGAGAGGCCUAGGAUACAAGUGUCCUAUUAGGACACAACUCCUACCCUGUAUACACACAGUCCAAAACCAAGUCCAAUUGUAACCUACCUUGUACAAUAAUAUUCGACAUAAUUCUAACAAAGUCCACCUUGGCGAAUAUUCUCCACCACCUUGAAUUCAUCCGUGCGUCGAACCUUCAUGUACAUGGACUUGAGAUACACCAUGAGCACCGCUGCUACUCCCAGACUCCAUGUGACUCCACCUGCAACUGUAGUCCCUUCUCGUCUUCUUCACAGUCAACACUCGAGCAAAAAUUAAGUUCCUCAUUACUUUACUUUGUGCUCCCAAUUUCCGGAGAAUCCGUUCAACGUCAUCACACACCGAAUACUGUCUGCGUGAAAAUGAACAACUCACAUAUUAGACGCCACAUAUAAGAGUUAUCUGAACUCAACAUCACCGCUCUUUCUUGACUGCUUGUCUGAAACUUGAAGGAAUUUCACCGUCACCUUGUGUCACCCUCAGUCAAAUUCACAGUUGUCUCAUCCUUUUUUCGGAUAGUCUCUGACUUGUCCCAUCGCUAUAGCAUUCCGCCUCCUUCUGCCUUGUCAUCCGCACUUUGCCAUGUGCACUGAACACCACAGAAUAUACGGCCAUGUACUCUCUCAGCUUUUGACAAUUUUAGACUUUCCGCCACUUUCUCAGAUUCUCCAUGGUCAACUCCUAUCCAUCAACUAGCACCGAUAGACCCAGUCACCAACUUGAAUCCAGUACUCGUCAACACUGCUUCAGCACCCUUGCACACUUUGUCUGAUCACACGUAUGACCACCAGUGCCUUGGUCUGUCGCUGUGUCCCGUGCUUACCGCACGCCUCGCCGCUAUCACCGCGUCGAGCCUUUGCUGUCCUGGUCGAGUCUCCCGGGUAGCUAGCCCACACUGCCUCAACCCCCCACUGCAGAGAACCAUCGAUCAUCACCGACCGAUGCCGAGUAUCACGCCUCCAUCAGACCAUUGGUACCCAAUCCGAUCCACGUGUCUCUCGCUAUCCCGCUGAAAUAGGCUUCGACUCUCCAUGCAUUUACGUCGUAGCCCCUCCAUUAGCACAGAGUGAAGUCGUCCAUCAGACUCCAGCUCCACCUUCAACAUGACUCUAUGUAGCUGGCCACGCUACCCUGCACCCUGUCGACUUCAAGCUCUCUCAUGUGUACACCGCCUUGAAUCAAUCCUGCGCCAUAGUCUUGUCGAAGCCGCACAAGCCCUUAGACCUGCACCACGUGUUUCCACGCCCCAGAAGUCGGUCACCAUCAGCAUCACACUCCUAUGUCGUUGUCGCUGAAAUCACCACCAUCUUCUGCUUUGACCGACAUCCUCGUCGAUCCGUCAGACAGUCCAGUCCGACCCAGCCGAAAUUAUCCGACUGCACCAUGCUCCACCCUGCGUCGUGUCCGCCUCGCACAUCCGUGCAUUGCCUUGACGCCCUGUGUAUGCAUGAUCCUUCCACGACAUGCUCCAGACUCCUCCGAGCCUUAUGCACACGUCGCCAUCCUCGGUUCCCGUCUGACUGCUAGUUGAACCACACCACUGCUGCCAUGCCAAUCUCCUUAGCGUACGAAGCAAAGAACCCAAAACUAGUCCCUGUAGUCCCUUGUGUACGUGUGCAACCAACUCAAAUAAUUCCUGUAGUACUUGUGCAAUCUCCCAAUAACAGUUUAGGACAUGCUUAUCGCUGCCAGAUUUUGAGCUCUUGCAAUACUACUGUUUAUGUCUAUGAUGGGAUACUACUGUUCAUAUGUAAUCAAGAGCUUGUGAUUUGGAGAUCAUGUAAUACCACUGCUUAUAUCUAAUCAAGUGUUUGUGCUGAUGCAAAUCAUCUAACGAUGGCGACAGGAUGCUGCGAUCGAUGGCCUGAACAGCAAGACCCACAUGAAGAUCCUGCUCAAGUGGAUGUGGGGGAGGAGGAUCAUCAAGCUCUCCUGCACGCAGGCCGGCAACACCAAGAAGUUCCUCUACUCCCCGUUCACCGCCGACGACGCCGAGGCGGCCGAGGAGCCAUCGCCAGCCGAGGAGCAGCCGAAGAAGAAAGGGUGGAAAGGGAAACACCCAAAGUACCAGACCAAGAAACAGCCUGCGGCAGCAGCUUGACCCUGGUCUGCUGAGCAUUCUUUCGGGCAUUUUCCCGCUGCUGUUGGCUUUUCUGUUUUACUUAGCACGGAAGAGUUCACCGCCAUAUCUGUUUGACAACAAAACAUAUAUUUUGUGAUGGACCAUUUGGGUGGGCACAAAUUACGCUGGCAGGCCGAUUUGUUCGGCUCUGUGUUGUAGACUCUGUCUGGUAGAAUAAUGAUGACACGAUAAUCUAGUAUAGUGUCAAAAAUCGUCUUACAUCGUGGGACGGAGGGAUCUAUGAGCCUUGAGAUGCAUUGCCUCAGAUUUGUGUGACUGCAUUGGUGAGGCCAGAAAGGAGGAUGAGUUUUUUUUUUUUUUUUGAAACAAAAAACGAGGAUCGGUUAGGGUAAGGUGAAUGGCUGGGUGGAAUGGGUUCUUCCUCUUUAUGUGUACAAUGUGCAUCCGUUUGCUUCUCUAGGGAGUUUGAUUUGUAAGUACCUCUUUCCAAUAUUUUUUUUCUUUUUUAUGAAACCAUUCCCUUCCUUUUACCGUUACAAGCAAGGGGUGCACCGCUCCCUUUGGUCACAUGCUAGAUGAUAGACGGCAAGGGAUUCAUUGGAUUGGAGCCAAAAAUUUGGUAAGGCUCUGACGUAAUUUGAUUAGAAGAUUUGCCAAAAAUUAGAGCCUAACAAAUCGGCUGCUAUUUUAUUAGGGUUGCCAAAAGAAUGCCUCCAAACCAAACCAAGCAGGCUGUAAGUGCUUUGGGUACUGCUAAAUCCAUGGCGUGUGUGCAAAUUAUGAGUGCCACGACUUGUUUUUUGUGUACAGUACAAUGUGCAUACCGUUGCUUCUGUAAUUUUUGUGGGGGUAAAAUAGCUAGGGUACAACCACAAAUUCGUCACACGGCAAGGGGUUGACUGGUUUGGAGCUAAAAUUUGGCAAAACUCUGACGUAAUUGUGAAGAAUUAACAAUUUUGGCUAGUGCUUUUGAGGGAAGGCCAACAUUUGACAAUUUUGGACAAAUUGCAAAAAAAUUAGCCUAAGAAAUCGGCUGCCAAUUUAUUUACGGUUGCCAAAAAAGUUUCCAGGAGAGACAGAGGUGAUGGCCUUCCCGGUGCUCCUGCUCCUCCUCGUGGUGGUGGUGGCCGCGCCGGAGCUCUGCGCCGCGCAGAGCCCCAUCUUGCGGCCGCCGUCGCCCGGCGCGCCCACCGCAUCCCCGCUCCUCCGCCCCGACGCCGACUGAGACGACGACAACGGAUCCGCUGCGUCCCCCGCCCCAGCGCGCUCGCCCGACGAGGACAAGGCGGCGGCGGCCUCCCCUCUGGCGCCCACCGACACGUCCCCCGCCGAGGCCCCCUCCUCCGUGCACUCGCCGGCGCCAUCGUCGGCCCUGCACUACGCCGCCACUCCAUCCCCAGCCCCUGCCCUUGCCCCUGCCGCCGACAAGGAAAGCGACGACGAUGACGGUUACAGCGAGAAGAAGACGAAGGAGAAGGCCCCGGCGGCGAUGGAGGUAAAGGCCGGCAGUGGCGGCACGGAGGAGCAGCCACACAAGGUGGCGGAUGUGGCGGAGAUGAGCGGCGGGACAAAGGCGGGCAUGUUCCAUUUUUCUUCCUUUUACCACUACAAGAAACAGGUGUACCGCCAUGAAUGCUGCGUGUUCCUAGAGGAUGGACGCUCAAAUUUGGUAAAGCUCAUAGUUGAACAUUUGGCAAAAAUAAAUAAAUUUGAGGAUCAACAUUUGGCAAUUUUGGUUAGUGAAUGAUUGCUACAGUUGCCAAAUAUUUUUAUAUCAACAGGGAGAACAAUGGCACAAGAAACUAAAGAGACAAAAAAACUGCUUUAGCCGCAUCGUAUUUAGGGUUCAUAUUUUGACCAUAAUUUUAACUAAUAAAAUAUAAGUUACACGUAGUAAUUCAUAUCAUCGCAAACUAUGUUCAAAUACGAGUAUAAUGAUAUAACUUCUCGUGACAUGCAUUAACAUUUUGCUACUUACUUCUAUGAUUAAAAGUUAGCACAAAAUACGAAGAAGACUAAUAAAUUAGGACGAAGGUAAUACUCCCUCCCUUCCUAAAUAUAAGUCAUUUUAGAGAUUAUAAUAUGGACUACAUAUGGAACAAAAUGAGUGAAUCUGCACUUUAAAAUAUGUCUAUAUACAUCCAUAUGUAGUCUAUAUCGAAAUGUCUAAAAAAUACUUAUAUUUGGAACGGAUGAAGUAGGUAAAGAGGGAGGCUCCUCAGCGACAACCGAAACAGGAGAUCUUUAAUAAUUAUGGGUGUGUCUAGGGUUCAUCUAGAUGUGACAUAAGCAAGUUCCCUCUUUGUUUGUCAUUGUUUGUUGUUUAGGGAAAAUCUACUAUUCUUUUCGCCUCUAAUAUACGUGCUCCCUCCAUCUAUAUAUAUAGAACCUAAUACGUUUUCCGAGGUUCACUUUGACCAUGGAUUAGAGCAGUAAUAUAUGACAUGCGUGUUACACAAAGCAUACCGUUACAUUCAUAUGUGAAAGAAGUUUCUAAUGAUAUAAUUUUUAUAUCGAACAUCUCAUGGAUUGUUAAUCUUGUCAAUGGUCAACCUCGAAAACUGUAUUAGGCCCUAUAUAUAUGGUUGGGGGGGGAGUACGCAAAGCAUGGUAUAUGGGUCGGUCGGUCAUGUUUUCUUCUCUUCCUUUCUAGCCGAAGUCGGAAUAGGGAGGCGAUCUUCUUCCACCGAUCUCCACCGGUCAGGGCGUUGGCCCCGUCUCCCUCCGGCUGCUGCUCCGGCGGUAGGAGGGAGGGGGCGGGGGGGGGGGUGGGGGUUGAAUUUGUAGGCCGUGGUGCGUCGUUAGGGUGGUGGGAGCGGUGCCCGGCCGAAUAAAUUUGCCUCAACUCCACUCCCACACCGGCCGUGUCCUUUAUGGCGGCGUCUUGGAGUUGAUGCAAAUUUUGGUUUCUUAAAACCAAGAUUACAGGGGUUUACCUCAAGCUUAACCUUAGAAAUUUUUCCGAAUGGGUCGGUUGAUAGGUUACAUCGUCAUGGUUUACAUGAUACCCUGAGAAAAGGAACCGAUAGAAGAACUAUUUUUCUCAAAAGAUGUUUCUUACGUUAAAUAGUAGUCUAACAUACCUCUUUGCAUCGCUUUCGUUUUUUUGGACCAUAUGGCCGGCUUGCCUUGUUCUCUGGACGACUUUGCCUGAAUAAAAUUGGGCAAAGAGUAGGAAAUACCUCUCGACCACUGGUCGAGGAGGCAGAAGCAGAUGGCCAAUUAACAAAGUAUUACACUGCAAAUCCGAGCAUAUAUAAUGAUGUAAAGUAUGUUGAUACAUAGAGUCAUCACAAUAAAGUGUUGUUACAGUACAAUUACUCAAUUUCAUCUAUUAAGGAGUGGAGGCUUCAAUCUUGUUGAGACAGCCGAGCAGCUAGCAUCACGUUAUCACAAACUAAACUAGUAGGUAUUUCCUUCCCGUCAGCCCCACACGGACCGGUCUCGGCAAGAUGUUUCGUAUCUAGUUUAGUACAACGUGUUUUAAUCAUAGCCCACGCUUCUCGGGCACCCUCUUGACAGGCCGAGACUUUCCACACUUGUAAUCGGCAUAGAGCCCCUUUCAAAUGAUCAGCGAGCUCGGACAUUCCUUCAGUGAUGUUUUUGUCCGGCCAUAAAGUCUUAAAUACGCAGUUCAUGGAUAUUCAAGAUCGCUCGUGCAGCUCUUUAAUACGUCUUCAAUGUAUCUAUGAUCAGGAGCCCCUUUCAAAUGAUCGGCAAGCUCGGACAUUCCUUCACCGUAUGCCCAAAAUAUUCAUACCAUGUUUACAAUACGAUUUUGGUGCACUUUCAUAUGAUCAGGAGCCCUAUAGGAGAUGUCAGCGAUGUCUUUGACAAAUCUCUGCCUCCAGGAGGCGUGGGGGUGAUGUCUCUAAAGUAAUUGUUGUUGCAUCUCUAAAGCAGACCACAGUUACUUUAGAGAUGCGCGAAAGAAUGCACAGAAAAACAGCAUUCCAAACGUGCUAUUCGAUGAAGGUAAUAUCUAUCACCCUUGAGAUGCGUUGUCUGGGGUUUGUGUGAUUGCACUAUGUAACCGGGGUGAGACAAUGGGCUGAGCCAAAGGUAUCUCCAGAAAGACGAAAAUGGUGUGCUUGGUAGCCUGCUUACAGGCCAAACAGGCCCACGUGGGAUGAAACUGUGAUGUUUGUCUGCCCGCAUAUUUAUGACGGUUUUCUGUCCUCAGUGUUCAGUGUUUUCUGCAAAAACCUUGAAAAUUUCUGGCGCCGUAAAGUGGCACUAUUUGGUGAAUUUGACUCCAAAAUUGUGAUAUUAUGAACAACUCAUACAUGCACAAUAUCUCCCGUGCAUGGUAGAAAAUCCACUCCCUAUAGUACCGAGGGUGUGGCGCGUAUAGCUACCGGGAAGUACAGUCACGAUACAAUCUCCUCCUAUGCCCAUAUGCAUACCAUGCAUUCUAACACAACACUGUUAUGAAAUCAAGUAAUAAUACACCGUUAUGAAACCCAAACAAAGAACUAACUAACAUUGAGCCAGUUCCAGUGACGGCAUGGUAGCAGAGUAACUCUUCAUGAUGUUCUCGAGCCUCACAACCACGUCUGUCAUGCUUGGCCUCUGGUCAGGUGAUUCACUCGAACACAUCAGACCCAGUUCGAAUAUUGGCACAAGCAAGUCACUGCUCGUGCACGCCAAUGAAGUGCCGGUCUGGUGAUUUAAGCAAAAAAUUAUUUCCUCAGCUUGAGCUAUCUUAACGUCCAAAAUGCCAGUAAGGUUUGCUGAAAAUGCUUGCCAAACCCAUUGCCUAAUGCUCAAUUCUCCCCCAAACAUGGCAUCUGUGGGUCUUUUCCCUGUGAAAACUUCAAGCAGUAUUAUUCCAAAGCUAAACACAUCGCUCUUUCGUGAUGCUUUCCCCAUGAAUGCGUAUUCUAUUGAAGAAUGAAAAAUAUUUGUUAUGAUAGAAUCUAACAACACAUAACUUGACAAACUAGGUGUUCAAAGAGUUAUCGAUGCAAGUACCUGGUGCCAUGUAUCCAAUAGUCCCUGGCAUACUCUCUGAAAUCAAGGAGUUGUCAUAUCCAACAAGUAAUCUUGCAAUGCCGAAGUCCGCAACAUGCGCCACCAUCUCAUCAUCGAAUAGCACGUUUUUAGGUUUGAGGUCGCAGUGCAACACAACUUGAUGAUGAUGGUGGUGCAGAUACUCCAUUGCUUUUGAUACACCAAGCAUAAUAUCCAAUCUCCUGAUAAAUCCUAUCGAUUCUCCAUUUUCAGAGUGCAAAUGUACAUCCAAGUUACCUUUGGGCAUGUACUCAAGUAGUACUGCUCUGAAUUCAAAGUUGGAGCAAGUACUUAAUAUCUGUAUCAAGUUGCGGUGCCGAGCCAUCCUUAGCACUUGACAUUCUGCAUCAAAGCUCCUCACAGCCUGCUCGACAUGCAUGUUGAGCACCUUUAUCGCAACCUCCAAACCAUCUUGUAAUUUGCCCCUGAAAACUUUUCCAAAGCUUCCAACUCCAAGUAGGUUGUCCUCGCUGAAAUUUUCAGUGGCACGAACAAUCUCGAGAUAGGAAACUUGUCUAUGACUGAUAAUAUUAUCCAUGCCAAUGGAAGUCGUAACUUGUAGCUGCUUUUUACUUUUCUUCAUGAUCAUUAGGUAAAUGAGAAUUGCUAUAGCUCCUACAGUUACCAAGAUAGCUGGGAGAACAAUCCUUAGCAAGUGUCUCUUGUUUUUGUAGGAAGUGUCUAGGCAAGGCAAAAAUCCUAGACGUGAGGCACCACACAGCCCAGCAUUUCCCAUCAAAGAUAAUUUUGCACUGGUGUUUAAGAAAAUACCUCCACUUGGUAUCUCACCUUGGAACUCAUUGAAAGAAAGGUUCAACCUAGUCAGUAAAGUAAAGUUGGCUAAAUACUUUGGAAUGGUACCAGAAAGGUUGUUACAAGAUAGGUCCAACUGUGUUAGAACGAUUAACUCCUUGAACGAGCCAUCGAUUGAACCUGUGAGUGUGUUGUGUGAUAGGUUCAGGAAGCUUAAUAGUCCAAGAUUCCCGUAUGAAGUUGGAAUACUACCAACCAAGCUGUUGGCUGAUAUAUCUAGAAUGUAUAUUUGCUUCAUGGAAUCAAGAUUAGAGGGCAGUGCACUUGUAAAGAAGUUGUGAGAUAGAUCUAACACACGAAGGUUACUAAGAUGAAACAAUCUUUCAGGUAUUGCUGACGAGAGAUGAUUAUCUGCAAGCGACAUAAAUUCUAGGUUACUUAGGUUACCGAUGCCAUCCGGAAUGGCGCCAGAUAAUUUAUUGCCCUGGAGGGAUAGCCUGUGCAAUCUUGUCAAGGCACCAAUCUUUAACGGGAUUGGGCCAGACAGCUUGUUACUAGAAAGGUUUAGCUGCUCAAGAUUCUCCAAUAAUGCAAUGUGUGCUGGGAUUAUGCCGCUUAGUUGGUUCUCUGCAAAGGACAUUACCCUAAGACCACUUAGAUUUGAUACUGUCACUGGAAGAGCCCCGGUUAAAUGAUUCCCGGCUGCACUGAGGUAUGUCAAUUUUGUGGAGAGGUUACCAAUAUAUGCAGGAAUGUUUCCAGUGAAGGAGCAAUAAAACAUGGCAAGCAAUCGGAGUUGUCUACAGUUUGACAUAGUGGCCAAGAACUCAAGGGUCCCAUUGAACUGAUUCAUUCCAAUAUGGAGACGGUUAAGGUACCUGAGGUUCCCAAUAGUUUCGGGGAAAGAUCCAGUUAAUUGGUUCCAAUCAACUAGCAGAUCAGAUAGUUGGGAUAGGUUGCCAAAAUUAGCUGGAAACGGACCUGUUAGUUUGUUUGAUGUAAGACGUAAAUCUGUGAGCUGACUCAUUUCCCCUAGCUCGGCUGGAAUAUUUCCGCUUAGGUUGCAGAAUGAGAGGUCAAGAAGACGGACAAGAGUAAGAUUUCUGAGCACACCUGGAAUUGACCCGCUAACAUCGUCGUUGCCACCUAUAGUAAGAAAAGUGAGUCGUGAUAGUUGAGCGAGCCAUUCUGGGAUAUUGUCCACAAAGGAGUUUCCAGCUAGAGAAAGUAGCACUAGUAACUUGCAGGAUACAAGGCUUGAGGGAAAUUGACCUGUGAAACUAUUGAGACCAAUGAAGAAGACAGUUAACAUGGGCAACUUAAAGCUUUCAUUGGUAGGGAUUGUUCCUAUGAAGUGGUUAGAUGUGAGGACAAGCACGUCAAGUCUAGACUUGUUGAAUAUGGUUAGAGGUACUAGUCCGGACAGCUGGUUAUAUUCAAAGUUGACCCAUUCAAGCAUGGGACAUGCGGCAAUACCUUGUGGUAUUGGCCCAGAUAGACUGUUGUUUUGGAAGUCAAGAUGGGUUAAUAAAGGCGUGUUGUUGAAGAACUGGUCUGGUAUGAGGCCACUUAACUGGUUCAGCCCGAGAUGUAUCCUCCUCAUGCUGUUCAAGUUGUGGAGGAGUUGAUCUGGGAUAUGUCCGGAGAGAGCAUUUCGGCGUAGAGAAAGGCGUUGAAGCUUUGUGAGGUUUCCUAGGGUGUCGGGGAUGGCGCCUGAGAGGCGGUUAGAGCUAAGAUCAAGAUCGGUGAGGCGACGUAGUCGGCCUAUAUCGGAUGGGAUGGUGCCCGUGAUCUCUGUGUUUGAAAGAGUGAGGACGGCGAGGAAAGAGAGGUUACCGAGAUGAGGAGCGAUCUCCCCAUGGAGAGGAACGUCUGCCAGCACAAGAGCAGUGACGCGCUGCCGGCGGCGGCUGCAGGAGACGCCAACCCAAGAGCAGAAGGAUGUGCCGGCUGUCCAGUUCCUAGACAGAAGGCCAAGCGGAUCGGAGAGCCCGGCUUUGAAGGCCACCAGAGCUGAAAGGUCAGAGUCGUUGCUGGAAGCAGCAGCCACGCUCGUGAUCACAAGAAGAGAGAUGGAGAGUAGCAUGAUGGGACAACGUAACGGAUGGGCCAUGCUGCUAGCUAGCUAGAGUGGUGCUCACAGAGGACUAGUAAUUUGGUACUACCAUCCAUAACCAUAAGCCAGCUGCUCUCUACUUAAGUAGUACUGCAGGUUAGAAGAACCCAGCAGCUUCAUAGACUUGAUGACAACCCGUUUCAGACAUGGCGCCGGGUCUUCCCCGUUACGCACGCUGCCUCGAAAUCUCCUAAGACGCAUUCAAAUGAGUGAAUUCGUCAAGGCCAGUACUAGGCGCCGGCCGGCCGGCCAAAAUUUGAGCCGGUCACUGCGCGUACGUCCGAUGCACUUUUUCUUAACCUUCUGAUUAAUUAGCUUCGUCCCAAGAAGUCAAACCUACAGGGAAAACUUGAUACAAAUAAGGGGGCACUACUGGAAUUUUCCUUUUUGCCGAGUGCAUUAUGUCAGGCACUCGGCAAUAGUAUCUUUGCCAAGUACCUAACUCGGUAAAAACGUGAAACACGGCAAACAGGCACUUUGCUGAGCGUCGUGGAUAAAACACUGGGUAAAACAACAAAACACAGCAAACAGGGUUGUUCAUUUUGACGGGACGGACAAUUUUCAUGUUGAAAACUUUUUCAUUUUAGGCCAUAUUAAUUACACUUUUUGGUAUGCUAAAUAUUAAUAUAGUCUCAAAUAACCAAGGUGAUGACCAUAUUCAUUGCAUAGUUUAUUAUAAUGUUUCCAAAUUAGACAUAUAGGUGCAUCUUGACAUUACAAACAAUGCUGUGUCAAGUACAGUUUCCUACUUUUUUCUACAAAGAAAUCAAUUUUCAUUUUUGAAGUGUCAAAACUGGGUGUUUUUUUGUGAAGCAACUACAAAAAUCAGGGUGCAAAAUGGCACCACUCGAAUUAGCACACUAAGUAGACCAUAUUUUAUGCACAAUUCCCAAGUUUCAUGGAUUUUCUAGUUUUCCAGCUACUUUCGCACAUUUAAAUGACUUUAUGUCAAUUUCUCAAAAGUAAUUCAAUAUUGAACUGCAAGUGUGUAAUAGCUCAGUCAUAAAAAAAUGAGAAAAGUAUAUUUUUCAUCCCUCAAUUCUUCGUGAAGUCUAGAUUUGGUCCCUUAACUUCAAAACCGGACAACUUGCAUCUUUAACUACUGAAACCGGACAAGAUUCAUCCCUAGUCACGGUUUUUGACCGGUUUUGGUGUUGUCACACCCCGGUUUUGACCGUGCCGACUCAAAUCCGCGUACAUUUUCUAAUUCCGCUUAAUGUUUUCAAAUUCGGGUACUUUUUCAAAUACGUGAACUUUUAAAAAAAUUGUGUACUUUUUCCAAAUCCGCGUACUUUUUCCAAGUACACAUAUUUUUUAAAUCCGCGUACUUUUUUAAAGUUCAUGUGGUUUUUUCAAAUUCGUGUAAUUUUCUAAAAUUGACGUACUUAUUCAUAUUCGCGUACAUUUUUUUGGAUUUGAAAAUUUUAUGCGAACUGAAAACGUACGCGGAUUUGAAUUUCUUUCACGCAAAAUAGAAAAAAAUGUGUGGAGUUGAAAAAUUAUGUCAACUUGAAACAAGUAUCUGAAUUUCAAACAAAGUUCAUGGAUUGGAAAAGGAACAUGGAUUAAAAAAAUACACCAACUUUACAAAGUAUGCGGAUUUGAAACAAAUACGCGAAAUUCAAAAACACUUCAUAGAUUUGAAAAAAAAUACUUGGAUUUGAUAAAAUCACACGAACUUGAAAAAAUACACUGAUUUGAAAACAGUACACAAAUUUCAAAAAGUUCAUGGAUAUGAAAAAAUUAGACGAAUUUGAGUCAGCACCGGUCAAAACCGGGGUCAGUCAGCACUAAAACCGGUCAAAAUCGAGAGCAGGGACGAACCUUGUCCGGUUUCGUUAGUUGGGGGUGCAAGUUGUCCGGUUUCGGAGUUGAGGGACCAAAUUUAGACUUCACCUAAAGUUGAGGGACGAAAAAUAUACUUUUCUCUAGAAAAAUAGCAAAAUAAAUAUUUUUAGAUAGACAUAGUCAUUAUAUGGGAGAACCACUUAGAGUUUAUUUGUGAGAUUCAACCCCUUGUGAUGAAUAGCCAUGUUGACCAUUUUGACCCCAUUUUGGAAAAAAUGAAACAAAAAUAAUACAAGUUUAAAAAAUGCAAUUCUUUCGCAUGGAGUCCUUUUAUGUGUACUAGUUGCGAGGAAAAAUACCAAACUUUCAAUAUAAUAAAUUUGAAAAAAAAAUCCUUAACAAAACGGGCUAUCGUGUAUAAACAUUCAUGGCUUUCAAGUCAAAGGACCAAGGUGAUGGUCAUAUUCAUUGCAUAGUUUAUUACAAUGUCCCCAAAUUAGACGGAUAGGUGCAUCUUGACAACACAAACAAUGUUGCCAAAUAGAGUUUCCUACUUUUUUGUACAAAAAAUGGUUUUCAUUUUCUAAGUGUCAAAAAUGGGUGUGUGUUUUAAGCAAGUACAAAAAUUAAGGUGCAAAAUGGCGCCACUCCAAUUAUCACAGUAAGUAGACCAUAUUUUAUGCACAGUUCCCAAGUUUCAUGAAUUUUCUAGUUUUCUAGCUACUUUCGCACAUUUAAGUGACUUUAUGUCAAUUUCCCAAAAGUAAUUCAAAAUUGAAUUGCAAGUGUGUGAUAGCCCAGUAAUAAAAAUUAGCAAAAAAUAUUUGUAGGUACACAAGUAGUCAUUAUAUGGGAGAACCACUUAGUGUUUUGAGAGAUUCAAUCCCUUGUGAUGAAUAGCCAUGUUGACCAUUUUGACCCUGUUUUAGACAAAAUAAAAGAAAAAGAAUACAUGUUUAAAAAUAUGCAAUCCUUUCGUAUCGAGUCCUUUUAUGUGUACUAACUGCGAGGAAAAAUACCAAACUUUCAAUAUAACUAAUUUGAAGAAAAAAAUCUUUCACAAAACGGGCUGUCGUGUAUGAACUUUCAUCACUUUUAAGUCAAAUGACCAACGUGAUGGCCAUAUCCACUGCAUAAUUUAUUAUAAUAUGACCAAAUUAAACAUACAUGUGCAUAUUGCCAUUACAAACAAUAUUGUCAAAUGGGUUUUCGAACUUUUCUGUAAAAGAAUUUUUUUUUUCAUUUUUGAAGUGUCAAAAAUGGUUUUUUUUGUGAAGCAAGUACAAAAAACAAUGUGCAAAAUGGUACCAUUCCAAUUUUCACAGUAAGUUGACAUUAUAUUAUGCUUAAUUCCCAUGUUUCACGAAUUUUUUGGAUUUCUAGCUACUUUCACAAUAUAAAUGACUUUAUGUUGAUUUUUUUUUUGAAAGAUCCAGCAUCGCUGGGAUUCAUUGAUAAUAGCAGGAAGCAACGGAAAACAACAAGGUGAUGAAGGUCCUAGGACCAGACGAUCCGAAGAUCAAAGAAAAAAAGAAAAACAGCAGCCUAAAAGCUGCAACACCACACUCCAUACAAACCAUACUAGGCACCGCAGCUCCGACUCCGACGAUGAACUACUAAGGAAACUGGGCAGGAAUGGCGUCACGGAGGGUUGCCGAACGAACCACCUGUCACGCAUCAUCAUAUACCACCGGCCCCCAUCGCGGCUUCGACUUCACAGCAACAAACAGUCGAGGCACUCCCUCGGACACGCCGGAGAAGAAGAGCCGACUACCACAACCAGAGCCACACCUCCAACAUUGCUCACCGCCGUCACCGUUGCCACAGAAGCCACCGUGCACGUCCAGUCGUAGGAAGCACCACAGGGAUCAAAGUCUUCAAGACGGCGUCCUAAAGAGGGGAACGACGUCGAAGACGGCGCCACCGCCCGACCCUGCAGCAGGAUCUAGGUUUUCACCCGAAGUACUUGAUCUGGGAGAUCUGAUUGUGAGACUUCGAAUGAUGCCUCCAAGGAGGAUAGCGACGCCCACAGGCGCCGUCGCCGCCGGCUGGCCAGAACCGGCCAGGCUUUCACCCCGAGCAGCCACUCCCACGCAGCAGGCCAAAAAUGACCCGUGCCUCCACUGGACCGCGCACCCCACACACAGCAAGCGCGCCAUCGCUAUGUCGGGCCACCACCAAGCCUCCCCGACGACGGGCCUGCAGAGACCAGAACGGGUCCUGCACUCCGCAUCCAAACCGCGGCCGGAGCCUCGCUGCUCCAGCACCGCCUGCACUCGCGAACUGGACGUGGUCACCACGCGCCACCACGCCGAGAUCCACGCAGCCUGGAGCCCUCCUACCCCUCACGCCUCCUACACGCCACGCAACCACGCAGCCUGGAGCUCCAGCACCGACUUUAUGUUGAUUUUUUUAACCAGGUCUUGUCCGAGAGCAACACUCGGUAAAGUGUGCAUGUCUCUGAUUGGUUGGAAGUCAGUGUCACGGAUCGAUGACAUGGCAAGCAGGUAGCCACACAUCUCGUAUAUCUUGCGCGCGCGCGCGCGAGAGAGAGAGAGAGAGAGAGCAUCUUAUUACAUUAGAGAGAUGCUCCCAUAUUUAUUUCAUAUUUUUUGAUAACUUUUAAACCAUUAAAAGUUUAGCGACCCUUAAUUAGUUCUGUGACAAGCUAUGAUAGACACAGUUUUACCUAUAUAUAUAUACACACACGGUGGUGCUAUUUUGAGCGAGCGCGCAGAAUGAGCUUAGCAUACGCUCCGGUCGGUCCUAAUUAGGCGGACGGGUCACGCGGAGAAGGGCUGCUCUACACCACUAAUUUAUUGAGGGUAACGGUCUAUACAAGAAAAAGUAAUGCAUUUAAUUUUGUUACCAUGUGUGGUUCACUCCAUCCCGAUUCUGAGGUGACUAUUCAUUGAUAGUAGUAAUAAGGAUAGUGUACAUGGUAAUGGACAAAGACUCUUUACUAGGGAAAGGGUUAUCGAUGGUUUGAUCCCACAAUAUAGUAAAACCUUGUUAACAUAUAGUGAUGAAUUACUGCAUGCUCACUAAUUGGCAGCAGUAAAAAGGAUGGAGUGGAUGGUAAUGAAAAAAAUACCAACAAAAAAUUAGAGAUGCUUCGAUUCUGCGCAUGGUAAACCAAGUACCACUGCGAUGUGAACUAGAUUAUUGACUCUAGUGCAAGUGGAAGACUGAAGGAAAUAUGCCCUAGAGGCAAUAAUAAAGUUAUUAUUUAUUUCCUUAUAUCAUGAUAAAUGUUUAUUAUUCAUGUUAGAAUUGUAUUAACUGGAAACAUAAUACAUGUGUGAAUACAUAGACAAACAGAGUGUCACUAGUAUGCCUCUACUUAACUAGCUCGUUGAUCAAAGAUGGUUAAGUUUCCUAGCCAUUGACAUGGGUUGUCAUUUGAUUAACGGGAUCACAUCAUUAGCACCCGAUCGUUUAGUAUGUUGCUAUUUCUUUCUUCAUGACUUAUACAUGUUCCUAUAAUUAUGAGAUUAUGCAACUCCCGUUUACCGGAGGAACACUUUGUGUGCUACCAAACGUCACAAUGUAACUGGGUGAUUAUAAAGGUGCUCUACAGGUGUCUCCGAAGGUACUUGUUGGGUUGGCGUAUUUCGAGAUUAGGAUUUGUCACUCCGAUUGUCGGAGAGGUAUCUCUGGGCCCUCUCGGUAAUGCACAUCACUUAAGCCUUGCAAGCAUUGCAACUAAUGAGUUAGUUGCAGAAUGAUGUAUUACGGAACGAGUAAAGAGACUUGCCGGUAACGAGAUUGAACUAGGUAUUGAGAUACCGACGAUCGAAUCUCGGGCAAGUAACAUACCGAUGACAAAGGAAACAACGUAUGUUGUUAUGCGGUCUGAUCGAUAAAGAUCUUCUUAGAGUAUGUGAGACCAAUAUGAGCAUCCAGGUUCCGCUAUUGGUUAUUGACCGGAGACGUGUCUCGGUCAUGUCUAGUUCUCGAACCCGUAGGGUCCGCACGCUUAACGUUUCGAUGACAGUUAUAUUAUGAGUUUAUAUGUUUUGAUGUACCGAAGGUUGUUCGGAGUCCCGAACGUGAUCACGAACAUGACGAGGAGUCUCGAAAUGGUCGAGACAUGAAGAUUGAUAUAUUGGAAGCCUAUGUUUGGAUGUCGGAAGUGUUCCGGUGAAAUCGGGAUUUUACCGGAGUACCGGGAGUUUACCGGAACCCCCCGGGAGGUUAAUGGGCCAUAGUGAGCCUUGGUGGAAGAGAGGAGAGGCGGCCAGAGCAAGGGCCACGUGCCCCUCCCCCCUAGUANNNNNNNNNNNNNNNNNNNNNNNNNNNNNNNNNNNNNNNNNNNNNNNNNNNNNNNNNNNNNNNNNNNNNNNNNNNNNNNNNNNNNNNNNNNNNNNNNNNNNNNNNNNNNNNNNNNNNNNNNNNNNNNNNNNNNNNNNNNNNNNNNNNNNNNNNNNNNNNNNNNNNNNNNNNNNNNNNNNNNNNNNNNNNNNNNNNNNNNNNNNNNNNNNNNNNNNNNNNNNNNNNNNNNNNNNNNNNNNNNNUAUAUACGAGGGCAGGUGGGCACCCCAAAGACACAACAAUUGAUCAUUGAUCUUUUAGCCGUCUGCGGUGCCCCCCUCCAUCAUAGUCCACCUCGAUAAUAUUGUAGUGGUGCUUAGGCGAAGCCCUGCGUCGGUAGAACAUCAUCAUUGUCACCACGCCGUCGUGCUGACGAAACUCUCCCUCAACAGUCGGCUGGAUCGGAGUUCGAGGGACGUCAUCGGGCUGAACGUGUGCUGAACUCGGAGGUGCCGUGUGUUUGGUACUUGAUCAGUCGGAUCGUGAAGACGUACGACUACAUCAACCGCGUUGUGCUAACGCUUCCGCUUUCGGUCUACGAGGGUACAUGGACAACACUCUCCCCUCUCGUUGCUAUGCAUCACCAUGAUCUUGCGUGUGCAUAGGAAAAUUUUGAAAUUACUACGUUCCCCAACAGUGGCAUCAGAGCCAGGUUUUAUGUGUAGAUCUCAUAUGCACGAGUAGUGAAGGAAAUAUGCCCUAGAGGCAAUAAUAAAGUUAUUAUUUAUUUCUUUAUAAUCAUGAUAAAUGUUUAUUAUUCAUGCUAGAAUUGUAUUAACCGGAAACAUAAUACAUGUGUGAAUACAUAGACAAACAAAGUGUCACUAGUAUGCCUCUACUUGACUAGCUCGUUAAUCAAAGAUGGUUAUGUUUCCUAACCAUGAACAAUGAGUUGUUAUUUGAUUAACGGGAUCACAUCAUUAAGAGAAUGAUCUGAUUGACAUGACUUAUUCCAUUAGCUUAGCACCCGAUCGUUUAGUAUGUUGCUAUUGUUUUCUUCAUGACUUAUACAUGUUCCUAUAACUAUGAGAUUAUGCAACUCCCGUUUACCAUAGGAAUACUUUGGGUACUACCAAAUGUCACAAUGUAACUGGGUGAUUAUAAAGGAGUACUACAGGUGUCUCCAAAGGUACAUGUUGGGUUGGCGUAUUUCGAGAUUAGGUUUUGUCACUCCGAUUGUCGGAGAGGUAUCUCUGGGCCCUCUCGGUAAUGCACAUCACUUAAAGCCUUGCAAGCAUUGCAACUAAAUGAGUUAGUUGCGGGAUGAUGUAUUACAGAAUGAGUAAAGAGACUUGCCGGCAACGAGAUUGAACUAGGUAUUGGAAUACCGACAAUCAAAUCUCGGGCAAGUAACAUACCGAUGACAAAGGGAACGACGUAUGUUGUUAUGCGGUCUGACCGAUAAAGAUCUUCGUAGAAUAUGUAGGAGCCAAUAUGGGCAUCCAGGUCCCGCUAUCGGUUAUUGACCGGAGACGUGUCUCGGUCAUGUCUACAUUGUUCUCGAACCCGUAGGGUCCGCACGCUUAAGGUUAUGAUGACAGUUAUAUUAUGAGUUUAUGCAUUUUGAUGUACCGAAGGUUGUUCGGAGUCCCGGAUGUGAUCACGGACAUGAUGAGGAGUCUUGAAAUGGUCGAGACAUAAAAAUUGAUAUAUUGGAAGCCUAUGUUUGGAUAUCGGAAGUGUUCCGGGUGAAAUCGGCAUUUUACCGGAGUACCGGGAGGUUACCGGAAACCCCCGGGAGCUAGAUGGGCCUUAUUGGGCCUUAGUGGAAAAGAGAAGAGGCAGCCCAUUGUGGGCCGCGCGCCCCUCCCCUCCCUUGGUCCGAAUUGGACAAGGAGAGGGGGUCGGCCCCUCUCUCUCUUUUCCCCCCUCCACGAGUCCUAUUCCAACUAGGAUUGGGGGGGGAAUCCUACUCCCAGAGGGAGUAGGACUCUCCUGGCGCGCCCCUCAUGGCCGGCCAGCCUCCCCCCUUUAGUCCUUUAUAUACGGAGGCAGGGGCACCCUAGAAACACACAAGUUGAUCCACGUGAUCUUUUCCUUAGCCAUCUGCGGCGCCCCCAGCCACCAUAGUCCUCGAUAAUAUUAUAGCGGAGUUUAGGCGAAGCCCUGCUGCUGUAGUACAUCAAGAUCGUCACCACGCCGUCGUGCUGACGGAACUCUUCCCCGACACUUUGCUGGAUCGGAGUCCGGGGAUCGUCAUCGAGCUGAACGUGUGCUAGAACUCGGAGGUGCCGUAGUUUCGAUGCUUGAUCGGUCGGAUCGUGAAGACGUACGACUACAUCAACCAAACGCUUCCGCUGUCGAUCUACUAGGUAUGUAGAUCAUACUCCCCCUCUCAUUGCUAUGCAUCACCAUGAUCUUGCGUGUGCGUAGGAAUUUUUUUGAAAUUACUACGAAACCCAACAGUGGCAUCCGAGCCUAGGUUUUAUAUGUUGAUGUUAUAUGCACGAGUAGAACACAAGUGAGUUGUGGGCGAUAUAAGUCAUACUGCCUACCAGCAUGUCAUACUUUGGUUCGACGGUAUUGUUGGAUGAAGCGGCCCAGACCGACAUUACGCGUACGCUUACGCGAGACCGGUUCUCCCGACGUGCUUUGCACAGAGGUGGCUUGUGGGAGACAGUUUCUCCAACUUUAGUUGAACCAAGUGUGGCUACGCCCGGUCCUUGCGAAGGUUAAAACGGAGUCAAAUUGACAAACUAUCAUUGUGGUUUGGAUGAGUAGGUGAGAUUGGUUCUUACUUAAGCCCGUAGCAGCCAUGUAAAACUUGCAACAACAAAGUAUAGGACGUCUAACUUGUUUUUGCAGGGCAUGUUGUGAUGUGAUAUGGUCAAGACAUGAUGCUGAAUUUUAUUGUAUGAGAUGAUCAUGUUUUGUAACCGAGUUAUCGGCAACCGGCAGGAGCCAUAUGGUUGUCGCUUUAUUGUAUGCAAUGUAAUCGCGAUGUAAUGCUUUACUUUAUCACUAAACAGUAGCGAUAGUCGUAGAAGCAUAAGCUUGGCGAGACGACAACGAUGCUACGAUGGAGAUCAAGGUGUCACGCCGAUGACGAUGGUGAUCACGAUGGUGCUUCGAAGAUGGAGAUCACAAGCACAAGAUGAUGAUGGCCAUAUCAUAUCACUUAUAUUGAUUGCAUGUGAUGUUUAUCUUUUAUGCAUCUUAUCUUGCUUUGAUUGACGGUAGCAUUAUAAGAUGAUCUCUCACUAAAUUAUCAAGAAGUGUUCUCCCUGAGUAUGCACCAUUGCGAAAGUUCUUCGUGCUGAGACACCACGUGAUGAUCGGGUGUGAUAGGUUCUACAUUCAAAUACAACGGGUGCUAAACAGUUGCACACGCGGAAUACUCAGGUUAUACUUGACGAGCCAAGCAUAUACAGAUGUGGCCUCGGAACACGGAGACCGAAAGGUCGAGCGUGAAUCAUAUAGUAGAUAUGAUCAACAUAAUGAUGUUCACCAAUGAAACUACUCCAUCUCACGUGAUGAUCGGACAUGGUUUAGUUGAUUUGGAUCACGUGAUCACUUAGAGGAUUAGAGGGAUGUCUAUCUAAGUGGGAGUUCUUAAGUAAUAUGAUUAAUUGAACUUAAAUUUAUCAUGAACUUAGUCCCUGAUAGUAUCUUGCUUGUUUAUGUUGAUUGUAGAUAGAUGGCUCGUGCUGUUGUUCCGUUGAAUUUUAAUGCGUUUCUUGAGAAAGAAAAGUUGAAAGAUGAUGGUAGCAAUUACACGGACUGGGUCCGUAACUUGAGGAUUAUCCUCAUUGCUGCACAGAAGAAUUACGUCCUGGAAGCACCGCUGGGUGCCAGGCCUGCUGCAGGAGCAACACCGGAUGUUAUGAACGUCUGGCAGAGCAAAGCUGAUGACUACUCGAUAGUUCAGUGUGCCAUGCUUUACGGCUUAGAAUCGGGACUUCAAUGACGUUUUGAACGUCAUGGAGCAUAUGAGAUGUUUAAUAUUUCAAGAAAAUGCCCGGGUUAAGAGAUAUGAAGUCUCCAAUAAGUUCUAUAGCUGCAAGAUGGAAGAGAACAGUUCUGUUAGUGAGCAUAUACUCAAAAUGUCUGGGUAUAAUAAUCACUUGAUUAAUUGGGAGUUAAUCUUCCAGAUGAUUGCGUCAUUGACAGAAUUCUCCAAUCACUGCCACCAAGCUACAAGAGCUUCGUGAUGAACUAUAAUAUGCAAGGGAUGAAUAAGACUAUUCCCGAGCUCUUCGCAAUGCUGAAAGCUGCAGAGGUAGAAAUCAAGAAGGAGCAUCAAGUGUUGAUGGUCAACAAGACCACUAGUUUCAAGAAAAAGGGCAAAGGGAAGAAGAAGGGGAACUUCAAAAAGAACGGCAAGCAAGUUGCUACUCAAGAGAAGAAACCCAAACCUGGACCUAAGCCUGAAACUGAGUGCUUCUAUUGCAAGCAGACUGGUCACUGGAAGCGGAACUGCCCCAAGUAUUUGGCGGAUAAGAAGGAUGGCAAGGUGAACAAAGGUAUAUGUGAUAUACAUGUUAUUGAUGUGUACCUUACCAAUGCUCGCAGUAGCACUUGGGUAUUUGAUACUGGUUCUGUUGCUAAUAGUUGCAACUCAAAACAGGGACUACGGAUUAAGCAAAGAUUCGCUAAGGACGAGGUGACGAUGCGCGUGGGAAAUGGUUCCAAAGUCGAUGUGAUCGCAGUCAGCACACUACCUCUACAUCUACCUUCGGGAUUAGUAUUAGACCUAAAUAAUUGUUAUUUGGUGCCAGCGUUAAGCAUGAACAUUAUAUCUGGAUCUUGUUUGAUGCGAGACGGUUAUUCAUUUAAAUCAGAGAAUAAUGGUUGUUCUAUUUGUAUGAGUAAUAUCUUUUAUGGUCAUGCACCCUUGAAGAGUGGUCUAUUCCUGUUGAAUCUCGAGAGUAGUGAUACACAUAUUCAUAAUGUUGAAGCCAAAAGAUGCAGAGUUGAUAAUGAUAGUGCAACUUAUUUGUGGCACUGUCGUUCAGGUCAUAUCGGUGUAAAGCGCAUGAAGAAACUCCAUACUGAUGGGCUUUUGGAACCACUUGAUUAUGAAUCGCUUGGUACUUGUGAACCGUUCCUCAUGGGCAAGAUGACUAAAACACCGUUCUUCGGUACUAUGGAGAGAGCAACAGAUUUAUUGGAAAUCAUACAUACAGAUGUAUGUGGUCCGAUUAAUAUUGAAGCUCGUGGCGGAUAUCGUUAUUUUCUCACCUUCACGGAUGAUUUAAGCAGAUACGGGUAUAUCUACUUAAUGAAACAUAAGUCUGAAACAUUUGAAAAGUUCAAAGAAUUUCAGAGUGAAGUGGAAAAUCAUCAUAACAAGAAAAUAAAGUUUCUACGAUCUGAUCGUGGAGGAGAAUAUUUGAGUUACGAGUUUGGUGUACAUUUGAAAAAUUGUGGAAUAGUUUCGCAACUCACGCCACCCGGAACACCACAGCGUAGUGGUGUGUCCGAACGUCGUAAUCGUACUUUACUAGAUAUGGUGCGAUCUAUGAUGUCUCUUACUGAGUUACCGCUAUCAUUUUGGGGAUACGCUCUAGAGACAGCUGCAUUCACGUUAAAUAGGGCACCAUCAAAAUCCGUUGAGACGACGCCUUAUGAACUGUGGUUUGGCAAGAAACCAAAGUUGUCGUUUCUAAAAGUUUGGGGCUGCGAUGCUUAUGUGAAAAAGCUUCAACCUGAUAAGCUCGAAUCCAAAUCGGAGAAAUGUGUCUUCAUAGGAUAUCCAAAGGAAAAUAUUGGAUACACCUUCUAUCACAGAUCCGAAGGCAAAAUUUUGUUGCUAAAUUCGGAAACUUUCUGGAGAAGGAGUUUCUCUCGAAAGAAGUGAGUGGGAGGAAAGUAGAACUUGACGAGGUAACUGUACCUACUCCCUUAUUGGAAAGUAGUACAUCACAGAAAACUGUUUCUGCGACACCUACACCAGUUAGCGAGGAAGCUAAUGAUGAUGAUCAUGAAACUUCAGAACAAGAUACUACUAAACCUCGUAGAUCAACCAGAGUAAGAUCCGCGCCAGAGUGGUACGGUAAUCCUGUUCUGUAAGUCAUGUUACUAGAUCAUGAUGAACCUACGAACUAUGAAGAAGCGAUGGUGAGCCCAGAUUCCGCAAAGUGGCUUGAAGCCAUGAAAUCUGAGAUGGGAUCCAUGUAUGAGAACAAACUAUGGACUUUGGUUGACUUGCCCGAUGAUCGGCAAGCAAUUGAGAAUAAAUGGAUCUUCAAGAAUAAGACUGACGCUGACGGUAAUAUUACUAUCUACAAAGCUCGACUUGUCGCAAAAGGUUUUCGGCAAGUUCAAGGGAUUGACUACGAUGAGACCUUCUCACCCGUAGCGAUGCUUAAGUCUGUCCGAAUCAUCUUAGCAAUUGCCGCAUUUUAUGAUUAUGAAAUUUGGCAGAUGGAUGUCAAAACCGCAUUCCUGAAUGGAUUUCUGGAAGAAGAGUUGUAUAUGAUGCAACCAGAAGGUUUUGUCGAUACAAAGGGAGCUAACAAAGUGUGCAAGCUCCAGCGAUCCAUUUAUGGACUGGUGCAAGCCUCUCGGAGUUGGAAUAAACGUUUUGAUAGUGUGAUCAAAGCAUUUGGUUUUAUAUAGACUUUUGGAGAAGCCUGUAUUUACAAGAAAGUGAGUGGGAGCUCUGUAUCAUUUCUGAUAUUAUAUGUGGAUGACAUAUUACUAAUUGGAAAUGAUGUCGAAUUUCUGGAUAGCAUAAAGGGAUACUUGAAUAAAAGUUUUUCAAUGAAAGACCUCGGUGAAGCUGCUUACAUAUUAGGCAUUAAGAUCUAUAGAGAUAGAUCAAGACGCUUAAUUGGACUUUCACAAACCACAUACCUUGACAAAGUUUUGAAAAAGUUCAAAAUGGAUCAAGCAAAGAAAGGAUUCUUGCCUGUGUUACAAGGUGUGAAGUUGAGUAAGACUAAAUGCCCGACCACUGCAGAAGAUAGAGAGAAUAUGAAAGAUGUUCCCUAUGCAUCAGCCAUAGGAUCUAUCAUGUAUGCAAUGUUGUGUACCAGACCUGAUGUGUGCCUUGCUAUAAGUCUAGCAGGAAGGUACCAAAGUAAUCCAGGAGUGGAUCACUGGACAGCGGUCAAGAACAUCCUGAAAUACCUGAAAAGGACUAAGGAUAUGUUUCUCAUAUAUGGAGGUGACAAAGAACUCAUCGUAAAAGGUUACGUUGAUGCAAGCUUUGACACUGAUCCGAACGAUUCUAAAUCACAAACCGGAUACGUGUUUACAUUAAAUGGUGGAGCUGUCAGUUGGUGCAGUUCUAAACAAAGCAUCGUAGCGGGAUCUACAUGUGAAGCGGAGUACAUAGCUGCUUCGGAAGCAGCAAAUGAAGGAGUCUGGAUGAAGGAGUUCAUAUCCGAUCUAGGUGUCAUACCUAGUGCAUCGGGUCCAAUGAAAAUCUUUUGUGACAAUACUGGUGCAAUUGCCUUGACAAAGGAAUCCAGAUUUCACAAGAGAACCAAGCACAUCAAGAGACGCUUCAAUUCCAUCCGGGAUCUAGUCCAGGUGGGAGACAUAGAAAUUUGCAAGAUACAUACGGAUCUGAAUAUUGCAGACCCGUUGACUAAGCCUCUUCCACGAGCAAAACAUGAUCAGCACCAAGGCUCCAUGGGUGUUAGAAUCAUUAUUGUGUAAUCUAGAUUGUUGACUCUAGUGCAAGUGGGAGACUGAAGGAAAUAUGCCCUAGAGGCAAUAAUAAAGUUAUUAUUUAUUUCCUUAUAAUCAUGAUAAAUGUUUAUUAUUCAUGCUAGAAUUGUAUUAACCAGAAACAUAAUACAUGUGUGAAUACAUAGACAAACAAAGUGUCACUAGUAUGCCUCUACUUGACUAGCUCGUUAAUCAAAGAUGGUUAUGUUUCCUAACCAUGAACAAUGAGUUGUUAUUUGAUUAACGGGAUCACAUCAUUAAGAGAAUGAUCUGAUUGACAUGACCCAUUCCAUUAGCUUAGCACCCGAUCGUUUAGUAUGUUGUUGUUGCUUUCCUCAUGACUUAUACAUGUUCCUAUAACUAUGAGAUUAUGCAACUCCCGUUUACCAGAGGAACACUUUGGGUACUACUAAACGUCACAACGUAACUGGGUGAUUAUAAAGGAGUACUACAGGUGUCUCCAAAGGUACAUGUUGGGUUGGCGUAUUUCGAGAUUAGGUUUUGUCACUCCGAUUGUCGGAGAGGUAUCUCUGGGCCCUCUCGGUAAUGCACAUCACUUAAAGCGUUGCAAGCAUUGAAACUAAAUGAGUUAAUUGCGGGAUGAUGUAUUACAGAACGAGUAAAGAGACUUGCCGGCAACGAGAUUGAACUAGGUAUUGGAAUACCGACGAUCAAAUCUCGGGCAAGUAACAUACCGAUGACAAAGGGAACGACGUAUGUUGUUACGCGGUCUGACCGAUAAAGAUCUUCGUAGAAUAUGUAGGAGCCAAUAUGGGCAUCUAGGUCCCGCUAUUGGUUAUUGACCGGAGACGUGUCUCGGUCAUGUCUACAUUGUUCUCGAACCCGUAGGGUCCGCACGCUUAAGGUUACGAUGACAGUUAUAUUAUGAGUUUAUGAAUUUUGAUGUACCGAAGGUUGUUCGGAGUCCCGGAUGUGAUCACAGACAUGACGAGGAGUCUCGAAAUGGUCGAGACAUAAAAAUUGAUAUAUUGGAAGCCUAUGUUUGGAUAUCGGAAGUGUUCCGGGUGAAAUCAGGAUUUUACCGGAGUACCGGGAGGUUACCGGAAACCCCCGGGGAGCUAGAUGGGCCUUAUUGGGCCUUAGUGGAAAAGAGAAGAGGCAGCCCAUUGUGGGCCGUGCGCCCCUCCCCUCCCUUGGUUCGAAUUGGACAAGGAGAGGGGGCCGGCCCCUCUCUCUCUCUCUUUUCCCCCCUCCGCGAGUCCUAUUCCAACUAGGAUUGGGGGGGGGAAUCCUACUCCCAGAGGGAGUAGGACUCUCCUGGAGCGCCCCUCAUGGCCGGCCAGCCUCCCCCCCCUUAGUCCUUUAUAUACGGAGGCAGGGGCACCCCAGAAACACACAAGUUGAUCCACGUGAUCUUUUCCUUAGCCAUCUGCGGCGCCCCCAGCCACCAUAGUCCUCGAUAAUAUUGUAGCGGAGUUUAGGCGAAGCCCUGCUGCUGUAGUACAUCAAGAUCGUCACCACGCCGUCGUGCUGACGGAACUCUUCCCCGACACUUUGCUGGAUCGGAGUCCGGGGAUCGUCAUCGAGCUGAACGUGUGCUAGAACUCGGAGGUGCCGUAGUUUCGGUGCUUGAUCGGUCGGAUCGUGAAGACGUACGACUACAUCAACCAAACGCUUCCGCUGUCGAUCUACUAGGUAUGUAGAUCAUACUCCCCCUCUCGUUGCUAUGCAUCACCAUGAUCUUGCGUGUGCGUAGGAAAUUUUUUGAAAUUACUACGAAACCCAACAAGUAGAACACAAGUGAGUUGUGGGCGAUAUAAGUCAUAGUGCUUACCAGCAUGUCAUACUUUGGUUCGGCGGUAUUGUUGGAUGAAGCGGCCCGGACCGACAUUACGCAUACGCUUACGCGAGACUGGUUCUACCGACGUGCUUUGCACACUAGUGGCUGGCGAGUGUCAGUUUCUCCAACUUUAGUUGAACCGAGUGUGGCUACGCCCGGUCCUUGUGAAGGUUAAAACAGCACCAACUUGACAAACUAUCGUUGUGGUUUUGAUGCGUAGGUAAGAACGGUUCUUGCUAAGCUCAGUAGCAGCCAUGUAAAACUUGCAACAACAAAGUAGAGGACGUCUAACUUAUUUUUGCACAGCAUGUUGUGAUGUGAUAUGGUCAAGACAUGAUGCUAAAUUUUAUUGUAUGAGAUGAUCAUGUUUUGUAACCGAGUUAUUGGCAACUGGCAGGAGCCAUAUGGUUGUCGCUUUAUUGUAUGCAAUGCAAUCGCCCUGUAAUGCUUUACUUUAUCACUAAGCGGUAGCGAUAGUCUUAGAAGCAUAAGAUUGGCGAGACAACAAUGAUGCUACGAUGGAGAUCAAGGUGUCGCGCUGGUGACGAUGGUGAUCAUGACUGUGCUUCAGAGAUGGAGAUCACAAGCACAAGAUGAUGAUGGCCAUAUCAUAUCACUUAUAUUGAUUGCAUGUGAUGUUUAUCUUUUAUGCAUCUUAUCUUGCUUUGAUUGACGGUAGCAUUAUAAGAUGAUCCCUCACUAAAUUAUCAAAGUAUAAGUGUUCUCCCUGAGUAUGCACCGUUCCGAAAGUUCUUCGUGCUGAGACACCACGUGAUGAUCGGGUGUGAUAGGCUCUAUGUUCAAAUACAAGGGUGCAAAAUAGUUGCACACGCGGAAUACUCAGGUUAAACUUGACGAGCCUAUCAUAUAAUAGAUAUGGCCUCAGAACACGGAGACCGAAAGGUCGAGCAUGAAUCAUAUAGUAGAUAUGAUCAACAUAGUGAUGUUCAACAUUGAAACUACUCCAUCUCACAUGAUGAUCGGACAUGGUUUAGUUGAUUUGGAUCACGUGAUCACUUAGAGGAUUAGAGGGAUGUCUAUCUAAGUGGAAGUUCUUAAGUAAUAUGAUUAAUUGAACUUAAAUUUAUCAUGAACUUAGUACGUGAUAGUAUCUUGCUUGUCUGUUGAUUGUAGAUAGAUGGCUCGUGCUGUUGUUCCAUUGAAUUUUAAUGCAUUCCUUGAGAAAGCAAAGUUGAAAGAUGAUGGUAGCAAUUACACGGACUAGGUCCGUAACUUGAGGGUUAUCCUCAUUGCUGCAUAGAAGAAUUACGUCCUGGAAGCACCGUUGGGUGCCAGGCCUGCUGCUGAUGUAACUGACGAUGUUAAGAACGUCUGGCAAAGUAAAGCUGAUGACUAUUCGAUAGUUCAAUAUGCCAUGCUUUACGGCUUAGAACCGGGACUUCAACGACGUUUUGAACGUCAUGGAGCAUAUGAGAUGUUCCAGGAGUUGAAGUUAAUAUUUCAGAAGAAUGCUUGGAUUGCAAGAUGGAGGAGAUUAGUUCUAUCAAUGAGCAUAUACUCAAGAUGUCUGGGUAUAAUAAUCACUUGAUUCAAAUGGGAGUUAAUCUUCCGGAUGAUAGCGCCAUUGACAGAAUUCUUCAAUCACUGCCACCAAGCUACAAGAGCUUCGUGAUGAACUAUAACAUGCAAGGGAUGGAUAAGAUGAUUCCCGAGCUCUUCGCAAUGCUAAAGGCUGCGGAGGUAGAAAUCAAGAAGGAGCAUCAAGUGUUGAUGGUCAAUAAGACCACCAGUUUCAAGAAAAAGGGCAAAGGAAAGAAGAAGGGGAACUUCAAGAAGAACAGCAAGCAAGUUGCUGCUCAGGAGAAGAAACCCACGUCUGGACCUAAGCCUGAGACUAAGUGCUUCUACUGCAAGCAGACUAGUCACUGGAAGCGGAACUGCCCCAAGUAUUUGGCGGAUAAGAAAGAUGGCAAGGUGAACAAAGGUAUAUGUGAUAUACAUGUUAUUGAUGUGUACCUUACUAAUGCUCGCAGUAGCACCUGGGUAUUUGAUACUGGUUCUGUUGCUAAUAUUUGCAACUCGAAACAUGGGCUACGGAUUAAGCGAAGAUUGGCUAAGGACAAGGUGACGAUGCGCGUGGGAAAUGGUUCCAAAGUCGAUGUGAUCGUGGUCGGCACGCUACCUCUACAUCUACCUUCGGGAUUAGUGUUAGACCUAAAUAAAUGUUAUUUGGUGCCAGCGUUGAGAAUGAACAUUAUAUCUGGAUCUUGUUUGAUGCGAGACAGUUAUUCAUUUAAAUCGGAGAAUAAUGGUUGUUCUAUUUAUAUGAGUAAUAUCUUUGAUGGUCAUGCACCCUUGAAGAGUGGUCUAUUUUUAUUGAAUCUCGAUAGUAGUGAUACACAUAUUCAUAAUGUUGAAGCCAAUAUAUGCAGAGUUGAUAAUGAUAGUGCAACUUAUUUGUGGCACUGUCGUUUAGGUCAUAUUGGUGUAAAGCGCAUGAAGAAACUCCAUACUGAUGGACUUUUGGAACCACUUGAUUAUGAAUCACUUGAUACUUGCGAACCGUGCCUCAUGGGCAAGAUGACUAAAACGCCGUUCUCCGGUACUAUGGAGAGAGCAACAGAUUUGUUGAAGAUCAUACAUACACAUGUAUGUGGUCCAAUGAAUGUUGAGGCUCGUGGCGGAUAUCGUUAUUUUCUCACCUUCACAGAUGAUUUAAGAAGAUAUGGGUAUAUCUACUUAAUGAAACAUAAGUCUGAAACGUUUGAAAAGUUCAAAGAAUUACAGAGUGAAGUUGAAAAUCAUCGUAACAAGAUAAUAAAGUUUCUACGAUCGAAUCAUGGAGGACAAUAUUUGAGUUACGAUUUUGGUUUACAUUUGAAACAAUGCGGAAUAGUUUCGCAACUCACGCCAUCUGCAACACCACAGCGUAAUGGUGUGUUCGAACGUCGUAAUCGUACUUUACUAGAUAUGGUGCGAUCUAUGAUGUCUCUUACUGAUUUAUCGCUAUCAUUUUGGGGUUAUGCUUUAGAGACGGUCGCAUUCACGUUAAAUAGGGCACCAUCGAAAUCCGUUGAGACGACGCCUUAUGAACUAUGGUUUAGCAAGAAACCAAAGUUGUCGUUUCUUAAAGUUUGGGGUUGCGAUGCUUAUGUGAAAAAGCUUCAACCUGAUAAGCUCGAACCCAAAUCGGAGAAAUGUGUCUUCAUAGGAUACCCAAAGAAGAUUGUUGGGUACACCUUCUAUCACAGAUCCGAAGGCAAGACUUUUGUUGCUAAAUUCGGAGUUUUUUAGAGAAGGAGUUUCUCUCGAAAGAAGUGAGUGGGAGGAAAGUAGAACUUGAUGAGGUAACUGUACCUGCUCCCUUAUUGGAAAGUAGUUCAUCACGGAAACUAGUUUCUGCAACACCUACACCAAGUAGUGAGGAAGUUAAUGAUGAUCAUGAAACUUUAGAUCAAGUUGUUACUGAACCUCGUAGGUCAACUGUAAUGCCCCGGAACGGAUGCGUGAGGUGUCUUCCAGUUAUUUGCCGUCAUUGCCAUGUCAUUUGCUUGCGUGUUGCAUUUUUCCAUGUCAUCAUAUGCAUUGCAUCCUCAUGUUUUUCAAAACUUGCAUCCGGUCCUUUGCCCCGUUGUCCGUUUCAAGUUCCGACACUCCUAUAUCCUCUGCUCCAUCCCCCCUUUUGUCUCUGUUGUGAGUGGGUGUUCAACAUUCUCGGAAUGGACCGAGGUUUGCCAAGCGGCCUUGGUACACCAUCGGUAGACCGCCUGUCAAGUUUCGUGCCAUUUAGAGUCCGUUUGAUGCUCCAACGGUUAACCGGGUAACCGCAAAAGCCCUCUUUGUGUUGCAGCCCAACACCCGUCCAAAACAGCCCAAUAACCCAUCCAAACCCCCUCCAUGCUCUCGGUCGUUCGAUCACGAUCACGUGGCCGAAAACCGCUCCCCAUUUGGACUCUCCUAACUCCCCCCGAAAAUCUCGCAGUCCAAACUCUAGUCUUCUUCCACCUCCCGCCGCCGUACUUGUCCAUCCCGAGCCGGACAUGUCCGCCGUCCACGUCGCCCCGGCCAACCAGGAAGCGCCACGUCACCCCGCUGCCGCUCUCCUCCAACCCCGCGCCGCCACGUGGCCUCCCAGCCAGACCCCGCCGCCGCCGGCCCGCGAAGCCCAUCGCGAGCCCGCGCGGGCCCGAACCGCCACCGCCCGGCCCAUCGCGUCGCCGCCGCCCUAGCGCGCCCGCGCCCCAGNNNNNNNNNNNNNNNNNNNNNNNNNNNNNNNNNNNNNNNNNNNNNNNNNNNNNNNNNNNNNNNNNNNNNNNNNNNNNNNNNNNNNNNNNNNNNNNNNNNNNNNNNNNNNNNNNNNNNNNNNNNNNNNNNNNNNNNNNNNNNNNNNNNNNNNNNNNNNNNNNNNNNNNNNNNNNNNNNNNNNNNNNNNNNNNNNNNNNNNNNNNNNNNNNNNNNNNNNNNNNNNNNNNNNNNNNNNNNNNNNNNNNNNNNNNNNNNNNNNNNNNNNNNNNNNNNNNNNNNNNNNNNNNNNNNNNNNNNNNNNNNNNNNNNNNNNNNNNNNNNNNNNNNNNNNNNNNNNNNNNNNNNNNNNNNNNNNNNNNNNNNNNNNNNNNNNNNNNNNNNNNNNNNNNNNNNNNNNNNNNNNNNNNNNNNNNNNNNNNNNNNNNNNNNNNNNNNNNNNNNNNNNNNNNNNNNNNNNNNNNNNNNNNNNNNNNNNNNNNNNNNNNNNNNNNNNNNNNNNNNNNNNNNNNNNNNNNNNNNNNNNNNNNNNNNNNNNNNNNNNNNNNNNNNNNNNNNNNNNNNNNNNNNNNNNNNNNNCCGCCGUUGCACCACCUCGCGCCCCACAUGGCCUCGCCGGAUCCGCCGCCUUCGCCGACCCGCGCCGCCCGUCGCCUGCCUCCGCCACGCCGCGCCCGGAUCCAACCGGCCCCGCCCUCUCCGGCCUUCCCCUCGCCUCCCCGCCACACCGCUAGAGCUCCGCGAGCUCGCCGGAGCCCGAGCUCGCCACCGGGACCGCCUCGUCCCGGAUCGGCCUCGUCCACCCCGAGCCCUCCAACCAAACGGCCGCUCCGUCCCGUUUUCUUUGCGCAGGGUAAAUUUCUCCAAGUCCCCAGAUUCCAAGACUAUGUGUGCAUCUUCUUCGCAUCAUAACUUCAUGCUCGGUGCUCCGAUUUGUGCAUGUAAUGUAUCGAAAUGCUCAUCAUGAGAUGCUCUUCAUUUCAUUCCAUUGGGUCAUGCUUGUUUGAGUUCAUCUUGAUGCCCUAAUCACCGUUGCAAGAGUGCUAUGUGAUGUUGUCUGCUGUAGUUUAACAGAACUUGCUCAUUUGUUAUUUUUGUAUCCUUUUGUGUGAUUUUAUUUUGAGCAUGAAGUCUACAUGUGUUAUGAGCUGUAACAUGCCAUCUUUACAGUGGUUCCAUCCAUGUAUUUUGUUAUGCUCUGUAGUGAGUGCAUCAAGCUUGUGAAGUGGGCUACUUGUUGUUACUGUUUUGCUAUGCUAAAUAUGAUAUAUUGUGAUGCUAUGUAAACCUGUUGAUACCAUGAGUUCUAUGCAUAAUCUGGAGAUGUUCACUAAUGGAAUUUUGUUACACAUGUUAUGCUCUAUCCAUCCAUGCCCCUGUCUGCAUUUUUGGAAUGCUCUAGUAUGUCUUAAUCUUGCUCUACUUUUGCUAUAAAAUAUUCCUGGCAGAUUGUUUACAUGUUAAUCAAUUUUGCCAUGGUUGUUGUUAGUGAUCCAAGCAUGCAAUGAACUUGCUCUUGCCAUGGUUAGCUUCAUGAACAUGUAUUCUUGUUGAUGCUAUGAUUGUCUAUUCAUGCAAUGCUUUGUGAUGAGUGAUUUGAGCUCGCAAAGAUGCCUUCAUAAUUCUGUUUAUGCCAUGCUCAGUUUUUCUGCUAAGUCUGAACCUGUAUAUGAAACUUGCUAUGUUUACAUGGGUGCCAUCAUAUCCGCUGUGCCUUUUUGGCUCAUGAUCAGUAAGGGACAUUUGUUAUAUGCAAUUAGUAGAUUCAUGCCAUGCCUUUGGUUGCCAUGAUCAGUUCCUGUAGCAUGUUGUUUGAUAGCUCUAAACUUUGUAACAUGAUGUUAUUUCUGCCAUGCCUGGUGAUUUUCACCAAGUCUGUGAACUGUUAUUAUUUGCAAUCUUGCCAUGUCCUUUUGAGCAUGUUCUACUGAUUUCUGGAGAUAGCUCAGUGUUCAUGUUUUGUAAUGCUUUACCUGUAAAUCAUGUCCAUGCCUUUUGUUUUCAUGUUGAGGUGUUGUAGAAUGUUGUUUUGAUACUUGCAAGUUGCCUAGUUGCUGUUUUGGACAGCUUGUCCUUUAAACUUGUUUCAUGUGUAUGUGUUGAACCGUUGCUCCGUUUUGAGUGUGCUCUAUAUGAAACUUGCUUAGUUUUGCAUGUAGCUUUAUGUUACCUUGUUACAUCCAUGUUUUGAGGUGUGUGCUUGAUGUUUGAAUGCAUUUUGCAUCAAUGCCAUGUUUAACUUGUUUUGCUCAUAUCUUCUAGGCCGUAGCUCCGAAUCUAAUGAACUUUAUAUGUAACUUGACUAGAAUUUCGUGUAGAUCAUCGUGGUGCAUCUUAACUUGAUGUUUAACAACUUGAACAUAAGGUUUAUUCAGAUCUGGACCAAUGUCGAAAUUUUGCAUAUGGGGACUUACCGGAAUUGUUACAUGUUGUUUCUGGCCUCAUUUAAACUUGCCUUGUUGUGUUGUUCUUGUAUGCAUCAUCCCUUGCCAUGAGUAGCUUCAUGUAGCCUUGUCAUGCAUCAUACUUGGUUGAGCAUCAUGCCUUGUUCAUGUGUGGUGUGUUUAUCAUGUUGUGUGCUUCUUCUCGAUAGUUCCCGUUUCGUUGUGAUCGUGAGGAUUCGUUCGUCUAUGCUUGGUUCGUCUUCGUGGCUUCAUCUUCUUCAUGGACUCAAUCUUCUUCCUAGCGGGAUUUCAGGCAAGAUGACCAUCACCUUCGAUCUCACUACUAUCAUUGCUAUGCCAGAUGCUUCGUUCUGUCGCUAUGCCGUGUUUCCUACCACUUGCUUUUCAAGCCUCCCAUAUUGCCAUGAACCUCUAACCUUUGUCACCCUUCCUAGCAAACCGUUGUUUGGCUAUGUUACAGCUUUUGUUCAGCCCCUCUUACAGCGUUUCUAGUUGCAGGUGAAGAUGAAGAUUGCUCCAUGUUAGAUUAUGUUUUAUGUUGGGAUAUCACAAUAUCUCUUAUAUUAUUAAUGCAUCUAUACACUUGGUAAAGGGUGGAAGGCUCGGCCUUAUGCCUGGUGUUUUGCUCCACUCUUGCCGCCCCAGUUUCCGUCAUAUCGGUAUUAUGUUCCCGGAUUUUGCGUCCCUAACGCGGUUGGGUGUUAUGGGAACCCCUUGACAGUUCGCCUUGAAUAAAACUCCUCCAGCAAGGCCCAACAUUGGUUUUACCAUUUGCCUAACAACCUAUUACCUUUCCCUUGGGAGUAAUUAACCCGAGGGUCAUCUUUAUUUUAGCCCCCCCGGGCCAAUGCUUCUCUAAGUGUUGGUCCGAACUAGAGCACCGUGCGGGACCGUCCCUUGGCAACUUGGGUUACGUUGGUACCUGUACGCUUCGCUUAACUGGUGUUGCCCUGAGAACGAGAUAUGUGCAGCUCCUAUCGGGAUGUCGGCGCAUCGGGCGGUCGUGCUGGACUUGUUUUACCAUUGUCGAAAUGUCUUGUAACCGGGAUUCCGAGACUGAUCGGGUCUUCCCAGGAGAAGGAAUAUCCUUUGUUGAUCGUGAGAGCUUAUCAUGGGCUAAGUUGGGACACCCCUGCAGGGUUUGAACUUUCGAAAGCCGUGCCCGGGGUUGUGGCAGAUGGGAAUUUGUUAAUAUCCAGUUGUAGUAAACUUGAAGUAAACUCUUCUAAAAUACACCAACCGUGUGUGUAACCGUGAUUGUCUCUUUUCGGGGUUGUUCGAGAGGAGAACACGGUUUUUGGGUUAUAUUUGACGUAAGUAGGAGUUCAGGAUCACUUCUUGAUCAUUUCUAGUUGACGACCGUUUGCUAAGCUCUUCUUCUCGCUCUUGUUUCGUAAGUUAGCCACCAUACUUUGCUUAGCCGCUGCUGCAACCUCGCCACUUUACCCCUUCCUUACCCAUUAAGCUUUGCUAGUCUUGAUACCCAUGGUAAUGGGAUUGAUGAGUCCUUAUGGCUCACAGAUUACUACAAUAAUAGUUGCAGGUACAGGUUAUACGAUGAUCAUGACACGAGAGUGAUGUGUACUUGUGUUGGAGUUCUUCUUCUUCUUCGUUGAUCUUGGGAUAGGUUCCUGGUCGGCAGCCUGGGAUAGCAAGGUGGAUUUCGUUUGAGUUUCUGUUUAUGUUUCAUCCGUAGUCGGAUGUUGAUCUUAUGUAUGAUGUAUUGUUGUAUUCAUGUGACAUUGUAUGUCUUGGAUGUAUCCCCACUAUUAUGUAAUGGUACGAUGUAAUGAUAUCCACCUUGCAAAAGUGUCUUCAAGAUGCGCUUCUAUCCUUGGUGGGACCUUCGAGUUCCUUUAGGAUAGGGUCGCAUCUUGGGUGUGGCAUCAACCAGAGUAAGAUCCGCACCAGAGUGGUACGGUAAUCCUGUUCUGGAAGUUAUGUUACUAGACCAUGACGAACCUACGAACUAUGAAGAAGCGAUGGUGAGCCCAGAUUCCGUGAAAUGGCUUGAGGCCAUGAAAUCUGAGAUGGGAUCCAUGUAUGAUAACAAAGUGUGGACUUUGGUUGACUUGCCCGAUGAUCGGCAAGCAAUUGAGAAUAAAUGGAUCUGCAAGAAGAAGACUAACGUUGACGGUAAUGUUACUGUCUAUAAAGCUCGACUUGUUACAAAAGGUUUUUGACAAGUUCAAGGGAUUGACUACGAUGAGAUCUUCUCACCCGUUGCGAUGCUUAAGUCUGUCCGAAUCAUGUUAGCAAUUGUCACAUUUUAUGAUUAUGAAAUUUGGCAAAUGGAUGUCAAAACUGCAUUCCUCAAUGGAUUUCUGGAAGAAGAGUUGUAUAUGAUGCAACCGGAAGGUUUUAUCGAUCCAAAGGGAGCUAACAAAGUGUGCAAGCUCUAGCGAUCCAUUUAUGGACUGGUGCAAGCCUCUCGGAGUUGGAAUAAAUGCUUUGAUAGUGUGAUCAAAGCAUUUGGUUUUGUACAGACUUUUGGAGAAGCAUGUAUUUACAAGAAAGUGAAUGGGAGCUCUGUAGCAUUUCUGAUAUUAUAUGUGGAUGACAUAUUGCUGAUUGGAAAUGAUAUAGAAUUUCUGGAUAGCAUAAAGGGAUACUUGAAUAAGAGUUUUUCAAUGAAAGACCUCGGUGAAGCUGCUUAUAUAUUGGGCAUCAAGAUCUAUAGAGAUAGAUCAAGACGCUUAAUUGGACUUUCACAAAGCACAUACCUUGACAAAGUUUUGAAGAAGUUCAAAAUGGAUAAAGCAAAGAAAGGGCUCUUGCCUGUGUUACAAGGUGUGAAGUUGAGUAAGACUCAAUGCCCGACCACUGCAGAAGAUAGAGAGAAAAUGAAAGAUGUUCUCUAUGCUUUAGCCAUAGGAUCUAUCAUGUAUGCAAUGUUGUGUACCAGACCUGAUGUGUGCCUUGCUAUAAGUUUAGCAGGGAGGUACCAAAGUAAUCCAGGAGUGGAUCACUGGACAGCGGUCAAGAACAUCCUGAAAUACCUGAAAAGGACUAAGGAUAUGUUUCUCGUUUAUGGGGGUGACAAAGAGCUCAUCGUAAAUGGUUACGUUGAUGCAAGCUUUGACACUGAUCCGGACGAUUCUAAAUCGUAAACCGGAUAUGUGUUUACAUUGAACGGUGGAGCUGUCAAUUGGUGCAGUUCUAAACAAAGCGUCGUGGCGGGAUCUACGUGUGAAGCAGAGUACAUAGCUGCUUCGGAAGCAGCAAAUGAAGGAGUCUGGAUGAAGGAGUUCAUAUACAAUCUAGGUGUCAUACCUAGUGCAUCGGGUCCAAUGAAAAUCUUUUGUGACAAUACUGGUGCAAUUGCCUUGGCGAAGGAAUCCAGAUUUCACAAGAGAACCAAGCACAGCAAGAGACGCUUCAAUUCCAUCCAGGAUUUAGUCCAGGUGGGAGACAUAGAAAUUUGCAAGAUACAUACGGAUCUGAAUGUUGCAGACCCAUUGACUAAGCCUCUUCCACGAACAAAACAUGAUCAGCACCAAGGCUCCAUGGGUGUUAGAAUCAUUAGUGUGUAAUCUAGAUUAUUAACUCUAGUGCAAGUGGGAGACUGAAGGAAAUAUGCCCUAGAGGCAAUAAUAAAGUUAUUAUUUAUUUCCUUAUAUCAUGAUAAAUGUUUAUUAUUCAUGCUAGAAUUGUAUUAACCGGAAACAUAAUACAUGUGUGAAUACAUAGACAAACAAAGUGUCACUAGUAUGCCUCUACUUAACUAGCUCGUUGAUCAAAGAUGGUUAAGUUUCCUAGCCAUUGACAUGGGUUAUCAUUUGAUUAAUGGGAUCACAUCAUUAGGAGAAUGAUGUGAUUGACUUGACCCAUUCCGUUAGCUUAGCACCCGAUCGUUUAGUAUGUUGUUGUUGCUUUCUUCAUGACUUAUACAUGUUCCUAUGACUAUGAGAUUAUGCAACUCCCGUUUAUCGGAGGAACACUUUGUGUGCUACCAAACAUCACAACGUAACUGGGUGAUUAUAAAGGUGCUCUACAGGUGUCUCCGAAGGUACUUGUUGGGUUGGCGUAUUUCGAGAUUAGGAUUUGUCACUCCGAUUGUCGGAGAGGUAUCUCUGGGCCCUCUUGGUAAUGCACAUCACUUAAGCCUUGCAAGCAUUGCAACUAAUGAGUUAGUUGCGGAAUGAUGUAUUACGGAAUGAGUAAAGAGACUUGCCGGUAACGAGAUUGAACUAAGUAUUGAGAUACCGACGAUCGAAUCUCGGGCAAGUAACAUACCGAUGACAAAGGAAACAACGUAUGUUGUUAUGCGGUCUGACCGAUAAAGAUCUUCGUAGAAUAUGUGGGAGCCAAUAUGAGCAUCCAGAUUCCGCUAUUUGUUAUUGACCGGAGACGUGUCUCAGUCAUGUCUACAUAGUUCUCGAACCCGUAGGGUCCGCACGCUUAACGUUUCGAUGACAGUUAUAUUAUGAGUUUAUAUGUUUUGAUGUACCGAAGGUUGUUCGGAGUCCCGGAUGUGAUCACGGACAUGACGAGGAGUCUCGAAAUGGUCGAGACAUGAAGAUUGAUAUAUUGGAAGCCUAUGUUUGGAUGUCGGAAGUGUUCCGGGUGAAAUCGGGAUUUUACCGGAGUACCGGGAGGUUACCGGAACCCCCGGGAAGGUUAAUGGCCAUAGUGGGCCUUGGUGGAAGAGAGGAGAGGCGGUCAGGGCAAGGGCCGCGUGCCCCUCCCCCUAGUCCGAAUAGAACAAGGAGAGGGGGGCGGCGUCCCCCCUUUCCUUCUUCUCCUCCACCUCUUUCCCCCCUCCACUCCUAUUCCAACUAGGAAAGGGAGGGAGUCCUACUCCCGAUGGGCACGUGGCGCGCCCCCUCUCCUGGCCGGCCGCACCCCCCCCCCUUCUCCCUUUAUAUAGGGGGGCAGGGGGCACCCCAAAGACACAACAAUUGGUCAUUGAUCUUUUAGCCGUGUGUGGUGCCCCCUCCACCAUAGUCCACCUCGAUAAUAUCGUAGCGGUGCUUAGGCGAAGCCCUGCGUCGGUAGAAUAUCAUCAUCGUCACCACGCCGUCGUGCUGACGAAACUCUCCCUCAACACUCGGCUGGAUCGGAAUUCGAGGGACGUCAUCAGGCUGAACGUGUGCUGAACUCGGAGGUGCCGUGUGUUCCGUACUUGAUCGGUCGGAUCGUGAAGACGUACGACUACAUCAACCGCGUUGUGCUAACGCUUCCGCUUUCGGUCUACGAGGGUACGUGGACAACACUCUCCCCUCUCGUUGCUAUGCAUCACCGUGAUCUUGCGUGUGCGUAGGAAAAUUUUGAAAUUACUACGUUCCCCAACACUAAGAACUAAUGCGCGCAAGCUAUAUAUAUAUAUACAUCAUCGUGAGUCAAUUACACGGGUGGUGCUUGAACUUGACGCGAACGCUCACUUUGGUGCUAGAACUCGCAGCAUACAUCGAACUGGUGUAAUAACUUGGCUCCGGUGUGCAAAUACGGUGCAAAUCUCGGUUGUGUACGUUUGAGCCCUUGACUAGAUGCGCCAACAUGGCAUGGGUCCCGCCGCCAGCGACCCAACGACAAAAGAGGGCGUGUGGCCAGGUUUUUUCGAAAACCCCCUCGAUUUUUUCUCACAAAAAAGCCCAGUUGACGUUGGAAAGAUGGCAUUUCAUUUUUGUUCGACUCUACGGCCAGUGGGUCCUGUGUGUACAUACUAAAAUUAUAACACAAAAAGUUAGAGGGCUCCUCUUAUCGAACACGCGACCCUUGGUUCGGUUAAGGUCGGUCCUGACACCUACACCAUUCACGUCUUGACAUCUUCAAGUGGAUACCUGUGUUAACGUAGUCGAAUAGAGGUGCUUUUUUUCAGAAUAGUCGAAUAGAGGAGCUUGUGGGGCUGAAAUGGGUUGCCGUCAGUCUGCCCCAUUUGCUCCUGUUAGCUUUAUUUAGAAAUAUGUAGGUAGUGUAAGUUCUAAUCUUAGUAACAAAAAUACACCCAUUCUCUCCCUUCUCUCCCCAAACAAAUAUACCCAUUUAUUUUAUGUUUGCUAACUUAAAUCAUUCAUAUCUUUUAGACCAAUAUUAUGAUUUAAAAACUUUUUUAUAUGUUUGAAGUCAUGUCGCAAAGACCUUUAAAACAAGAACGAUUUUGAUACAUUUUAAAUGAGUUUAAAAUUCAUGAAACAUAUUUCACCCGCUUGAAAUCUUUGAAAUAAAUGAUUGAUUUCAAGCAGUUUCACAAGUUGACAUUUCUGUUUCAUGUUGUUUUUCAUUUUCAGAACUGUCAUUUCACUUUCCACGGGCGUGUUUCAGAAAAAUCAUAUCUACUUCAAUUGCACAUUUUUGAAAGAACAUAUUUCAAUAUUUUAAAAUAAAAUGUUUCACAUUUCCAAAUAAUCGGUUUCAUAAAUUAACAUUUUAGUUUCAUAUUGUUUUCAGUUUCAGAACAUGAAUUUGACUUUCCACUGGCUCGUUUCACAGAAAACACAUGUAUUUCAAUUGCACAUGUUUGAAAUAACAUGUUUCACUCUUUUAAAAUAAAUUGUUUCACAUUUAAAAAUAAUCGGUUUCACAAGUUAACAUUUUAGUUUCAUAUUGUUUUCACUUUCAGAACAUGAAUUUGACUUUCCACUGGCUGGUUUCACAUAAAACACAUAUAUUUCAAUUGCACAUGUUUGAAAUAGCGUGUUUCACUCUUUUGAAAUAAACGGUUACACAUUUGGGAAAAAAUCACUUUCACAAGUUAACAUUUCAGUUUCAUAUUAUUUUUCACUUAGCGAACCUACAUUUCACUUUCCACUGGCUUGUUUUAUAAAAACUGAUAUAUUUUAAUUGCACAUUUUUUAAAUAAGUUGAUGUUUCACUUCUUUGAAAUAAACUAUUACAUUUCGGAAAAAAAUAGUUUUACAAGUUGACAUUUCAGUUUAUAUUGUUUUUCACUUUCAGAACCUACAUUUCACUUUGAACUGGCUUGUUUCAAAAAAUUACAUCUAUUUCAAUUUCUUGUUAUUGAAAUACCAUAUUUCGCUCUUUUGAAGUAAAUUGUCACACAUUUCAUAAUUUUCAAUUUCACAAGUUCAGAUUUUAGUUUCAUAUUACUUUUUUAACUUUUAGUAGGUGCAUUUUACUUUUCACUGGCUUGUUUCACAAAAUCACAUCUAUUUCAAUUGUUCAUUUUUGAAAUAACAUAUUUUACUCUUUUGAAAUAAAAUGUUACACACUUCCAAAUAAUUUGUUUCACAAGUUGACAUUUGACUUUCAUAUUUGGGUUAAAUAGGUUUAUGUAAAAAAUGUUAUUUUCACAUAUUUCUGGUGAAAUAGGUUUGUUUCAGAUUUUUCUAGUGAAAUGGAUUUAUUUCUCAUAUGAAAUGUGAAUCGUCAAAAAUUAAAUGUAUUUGAAAUGUAUCCAAAAUUGAUCUAAUUUUAAUGUUCUUGGUGCCAAGAGUGCAAAUAUAUAAAAGUUUUAAAAACGAGUAUAUAGUUUAAAAGAUAGGGUUGAGUUAAAUUGUCUUAGAGGAAAUAAAGUAUAUGGAUUUGUUCUGUAUGGGUAUCUUCCCCGCCAAAUGGUGUACUUUGGGGUUCAUUAUGCUGCUACUGAUUUGACUAAAAAAUAUAAAAAUAUACUAGUGCUAUACAUUUAGGCGGGCCAUACAAUCUCACAAAUCUCAAAACAAGUGGAUGAUUUUAGAUGUACCGGUACCUGACCUAACCGUGCAAAAUGACUUUGCGGAGGAAGACGAUGCAGUUGCUACGAGAGAGAAAAACGUGCGGUUGAGAAAAAAAAAGAUAAGGCUAGAGGAGGAGAAGGAUAAGGUGAGAGAGACGUGCGGCCCCGAUUUUGCCGCUUCACUGGGACACGCGUGAGCCGUUCGAUCCGCCUCUUCUCUUCCCUGUCAUGCUCAUCCUCAUGGAUCCUAGCCACUUGUGGAACAGCUAGCCUCUAGAAGUCAGGUGCCCAUCGAGUCCAGCGGAGCAUUUUCAGUCUGGGCCAGUAUGUCACACACACAAAAACGCUAGUGCCCUCAGCGCUCACCAUUUCUGCCCAACUUGAAGAAGAUUGAAGCCAAAUUUUGGUAAAGCUCUAACAGAAUUGUCAACAUUUGACAAUUGCGGCUAGUGUUUGAUUAAACAGUUGCCAAAGUUUUGAGCCUAACAAAUCGGCUGCCAGUUUAUUAGGCUCGCUAAUAUUUUUUGGCUCCAAACCAAACAAGCUCUAGGGGCAUCUCUAACGGCGACUCGCAAACUGCCCGCAUAUGUCCGGACAAAGAAAGCCAUUCAACGUGACCCUGUAUUAGUCUGCGGCACGGUCCGGACGUGUUUUCUCUCGUAAACCGGAGACAAAUGUGGGGGCUUCGUGGGAGUCCGGACACGCGAAACAUUGCUCUCUGCCCUUCUAGCCCACCCAAAAGGAAGACGGAGCCCGCGCUUUUGGAGUAUCCCGCAUUGUUUCCAUGCUAAAAUCCCCCAUUCUCUUUUUCCAUCCCCGCCGCUCUCCACCCAAUUCCCACUCUUUUCUCCCACCCUCUCCUUCCUUCCGUUGCCGCUGCAUGGAAUCGUCGGAGAUGGAGCCGAUGGAGGUGCCGGAGAACCCGAGUAUCAUGCUCCCCCGGAAGAUCAGCUCGGCUACGCGGCAAACCCAUCGCGUCAAAGCGAAGGCCGCAAAGAGGAGAAGCUCAAGAAAUGGUUGGCCUCCGAUGGGCCUGGAGGUGGCGUUGGGCGUGGAGGUCGUGGCGGACGAGGCGGUCGUGGCGGACGCCGCCAGACGGGCAUUCCCACGGUACAGAUGGCGCCGUGGACGGGGCAUUACAAGCCUAUGCACGACUACCCCUCCAAGCAGCUCGGAAACCCCGCCGGUACGGUGCCUUCCAUCGUUGAUGUUAAAGCGACGCCGCUCUUCUCCGAGUAUUCUUUGUCGCAGCUCGUCCGGGCGCGGAGCGGAUGGGUCCCCGCAGACUGUUCGUUGUGAUGCCUAGAGUGGGGGAGCCGGCGUACGAUGACCCGGACAGGCGGAUGCUCAACAUCAUCCACGACGGUGGCGAGGGAGGAGGAGGGCUCUAUGAGGAUAGGCAGGUGGAAGACUCGGACCCCACCUAGUCCGGUAACUACCAGCAGCAUCAGUCCUACACUCAGACGGCCACGCAGCAGUCCUACACCCAGACCGGCGAUGGCAUACAGUACACAGCAACAGCAGCAUUGGGUCGUCGGAUAGAAGCAGCCGGAGGAGAAGGAGGAGGAGGAUACAGGCGGCGAUCCGAAGAAGAAGGGUAGAAGAGAAAGCUUCAACACGUGGGAGGACGAGCUGUUGUGCGAUGCAUGAUUGGUCUCAAGCUAGCCUCGUUCCUGUCCAUGGCAUGGAGCAAAAGGGGACAACCUUUUGGAGGAACAUUCACAUAUGGUUUCAUGAACGCAAGCAUUUCGCGCCCUACUCCGACGUGGUCAUCAGCAAUCGUGAACGGAAGUCCCUCAACCAUCGAUCGUACGCCAUCCAAUAGGUCGUGUCUAAGUAUUGCGGGCACUUGAAGCAUCUUAUCAUACGGUGGCCUAGCGGUGCACAAAUCACAGAGCAAGUAAGUUGAUCACUAGCCGGAUAUGCUUAGUUUUGUUGAUCACUAGCCGGACAUGUAUUGUUUUGUUGCUCACUAGACGGAUAUGCAGUCGACAAUGUUUAACUUUGUGGCCUACUCGUGCUUGUGUUGUGUACAAGAAGUUGGAGAAGAAGUGAUGCAUUGUUGGUUGAAGUUGAAUGGACAACCUAAGUGAAUCUUUUCAUUGCCAAGAUCGUCGCCCAAGCCAACGAGGUAAACCGGUGACCCUAUCGACCCAACCCAAGAACUGUUGAAAAAAGUUAGAAGAAAUUUACUGAAGAACGUAUACAUUAUAAUUUUGGAUGGAUGUCUCCUGCAUCCGUGUCCCUGGACUAGUCCUCCCCUGUCCGCGAUGGAUGCGGGAGGAAAUUUGUGGGUUGCUGGUAGAGAUGCCCUAAGUGCUUGAUGAUAUGCCGGUUUGAUCUCUCGAAGGUGCUCAUAGGGAUAGGUUGUGCGUGUGUGCGUUCAUAGGAUGAGCGUAUGCACGUAUUUAUGAGCGCUUGCAUCUGUACUGUGCUAAAAAAAAUCAACGCAUGUGUGCAAACUAUGAACGUCACGACCUCUUUAUGUGUACAAUGUGCAUCCCUUUGCUUUUGUAUGGAGGAUAUGGUUUGCGUAUAUUUCAAUUAUCUUUUUUUUUUCUUUGCAAGGGUAAAACAGAGUUAUCUUUCUUUUCUUUUUUUUGAGGGGAGUUAUCUUUCUUUUAACAAGUAUAAGUAUAAGGGGUGUUCUCGCAAAAAAAAAACAAGUAUAAGGGGUGCUUAACCACGAAGUCGCCUUUGGUCACAUGCUAGACGAUAGGCUUUAAGUUGUUGAUUGGUUUCAUCGCAAAAAAAAAGUUGUUGAUUGGUUUGGAGCCAUAAUUUGGUGAAGCUCUAAACCUAGAGCCAACAUUUGGCUAGUGUUUUUGAGGAAAUGCCAACAUCUAACAAAUUUUGGCUAGUGUUUAAUCAGAGGAACAGCCAAAAACUAGAGCCUAGCAAACAAAUCGGCUGCCAAUUUAUAAGGGUCACCAAAAGAAAAUUGGCUCCUAGUCUUUGAUUUGAAGAAGUGCCAAAAAUUGGACCCCAACAAACAAAUCGGCCGCCAAUUUAUUAGGGUUGCUAAGGCCCUGUUUGGUGCAGCUUUUAUCAACGAAUUCCUCUGCCACGCAGCAGAAUCUGAACCAAAGGGUGAACCCAGCAAAGUUCGAUUCCAGAAAUCCGCUGCCAAAAUCUGAACCAAAAAUAGAAACAGCCCAAGGCGUGCUUUCCAAAAUCUGAUUCCGCUGCGGGCCAAAAUCUAAAAAAGUUGUAUCAGCUGAUUUGCCAAAUGACCUACAUCUUUUUCACAUCAGAUUUUUCACAGCUGUUUUUCCACAGUAGAUUUUUCACAGCUGCUUUUAGAAAUCCACAGCCAGAGCCUAAGAACGUUGGCACCAAACCAAGCAAGCUCUAACAUUCAAAAUGUAGAGGCUUCACGCGGCUUGUGAGCCAAAUUCAACUGAAUUCCUUGGAAGCAACUCAAACUCACAUGGCCAUCGUUGAGCAUGGUUCACGCCAUCCCAGCCGUCCACGUGUCCUGUCGUGCGCCUCACUGGUGUCGGCCGCCGCUGAUCCGUCGCAGUCAAGCCAAUGAUCCACACCUUUCCUGCCACCGGCCGCCAACCCCACCCAAACCACCUAUAUAUCCGCCCCCCUCCCCGCGCCACCAACCCAGCCCACCUCGCCGCCGCUCCAGAUCUGCCUCCGCCGCACCGGCUCGCCGCCGUCGCUCCCUCCCCCUCCCUCUCGAUCUCAGUCUCCAGGAGAGGCAUGAUGGCAUUGCCUCGCGCGGCCUGCCUGGUUCUCCUCCUCGUGGUGGUGGCGGCGCCGGUGCUCUGCGCCGCGCAGAGCCCCAUCUCGCAGCCGCCGUCGUCCGGCGCGCCCACCGCGUCCCCGCUCUUCCGCCCCGACGCCGACUCCGAUGGCGGCGACAAUGGAUCCGCUGCGUCCCCCUCCCUGCCCCCUGCGAGCUCCCCUGGCGAGGACAAGGCGGCGGCGGCGUCCCCUCCCGCGCCCACCGACACGUCCCCGCUCCCGUCUCCCACCGAGGCCCCCUCCUCCGCCGCGCACUCGCCGGCCCCGGCGCCGUCGUCGUCCCUGCACUCCGCCGCCGCGCCGGCCCCUGCUCCUGCCGCCGACAAGGAAGGCGACGACGACGACGAUUACAGGAAGAAGAAGGUGAAGGCCCCGGCGCCCGCCCCGGCCGCGAUGGAGGUGAAGGCCGGCACGGCCGGCGCCGACGAGCAGCGGGCGGUGGACGCGGAGAGGCGGGACGGGGAGGGCGAGAUGAACGGCGGGAAGAAGGCGGGCGUGGUGGUGGGCGUGUUCUCGGCGGCGGCGGUGCUGUGCCUGGCCGCCGUGGUGUACCGGAAGCGGCAGGCCAACAUCCGGCGGUCCAGGUACGCCGACUACUCGGCGCGGCUCGAGCUCGUCUGACCGGCGACCGCUACCGUCCGUCCGUCCGAGCGCUACCGCGUAUGGUAUGGAGAUCGACGACUGGAGAUGCAAUCCUGGCUCUGAGAUCUGUGGGUCGACGUGCCACACACAUACAGCGUUGUUUUGAUCCGUGUUAAUUAGGUUCACGCAUGGUGUCCAUUCUUGGGGCUCGGAGACUAUUACAUAAUAUUCUUUGAUUAGUGGGAGGUUGAGAUCGAGGAGAGCAAUAACAUUGGGUCGAGGAAGAGAAGAUUAUACUUGGAGUUUUUCUCUCUUUUGUACACUACAUACAGAGAUGCAUUACAUUAUAUGUAUUUUGACCAUUUGUCACUGGUACAAAUACCUACACUAGUUGAGUAAACAAAUAUAAGAGCUCUUAUAGUAUCCAAAACGUUAUUAUAUUAUGAGACGGAGGGAGUACAUUGCAUUCUUGUUGUCACUGGGGUGGCUUGCAUGAACAAAGAGGUAGCCUUCAGAUCCAAAAUUUGGGCAGAUGGGGUCUCCAUCUAUCUGUCUGCGUCGUUGCUGAGAUCUACUCCAGCUGGGGACAGACUUGAAUUACAAACAACAUGGUUUUCUUUCCCGUUGUUUAUUUUCUUGGUGUCUGUCGGUUGCCUCUCUCUCGGAGUUGAGCUUCUUCUCUGAAUCUGAAUGGGCCUAGUCGUCAAAGUGCAACGCGUCGUCUUUUGAUGCUCUUGUUUUGACCCUGCAUUUCUACUCAAAGCGGUCGAGCUGUGACUAGUGCUUGUUUUGGCUACAGAAAGAGUGGCCAAAACACCUACAGACCGCGUUGCAUUGCAUGGACCGUUCUGAAUUACUUGUUGCAAGAAUGAAUGUAUCUAGAUGUAUUUUAGUUUUUUUUUUUCUUUUUUUUAAAGGGAGAUGUAUUUUAGUUCUAGAUACAUCCAUUUCUGCAUCAAUCAAAUGUUUGACCGUGAGCUGUUUGUUGACUGUACUGCCAACCCAACAUUCAGGUUCGGCUCAGGGACGACCGAAUUUCUACUCACGGGAAAGUGACAAGUGUAUGCGGACAGGCACCUUAAUUUAUUUGAUAUACUCCUGGAGACUCUGGCUGUUGCGCGGCGUCGGCGUCGGACGGCAGGCGUGCUCGGGGCAGGCCGGGCAUCGAGGCUACUACAUGACUCUCUUUCUUCAUUUAUUGCUUGCCACAUCAUCUAUUUUAUCUAAAUAUGUGUGAUGUUACUACCUCUGUUACUCUCAUUGUGGGUAGUCUUAUACAUUAUAGAACAAAGGAAGUAGCACAUCUCAUCCAGCAUCUUCUCGUGUUGAUUCUAAUAUAGGUGGUUUCCACCCCGAGUGAAAUUUCAGACAUUGCGUACAUAACGACGUUAUCAAUUGCCUUCUGGGUCCAAAAUAUCACAGCCAUUAUGCCGACAUGCUUAACAAAAAAUCAGACUUGUUUCGAAUUAUCAUAACAUAUUUUUUUCAGCCACCCCCCUUACCUCCCCGGCGUGUGGAAACACAGUGAAACUCGACGUUUUCGGAAACCGAAAUUAGGAACCACAAUUCUGACAAAGGCACUCAGGGGAAUUUCAGUAGAUUUCCUCAUGAGACCAGAAAGUGUUCCAUCGAUUCGGCUGCAUCAAUUCCGGCUCUGGGUUGGGUCGAAAUCAACGGAAUGAGUGAUGCCAAAAGGCCGCACAUCUGUAUAUAUGGAUCAGGUGGAUGUGGUGCUGCCAAGUGCACGCCUGCCUUAAAUCACACACAAUUUUUUGGUCCAACACCUAGUGGUUCGUAUCAUAGAGAAAUAGUAAUUCUUAACUGAUCGAUGUUGCAUCUGACCAUUGGAGUACUUCACGUGACAACGUUUGGCUUGCAGCUGGUACGGAUUAUUAAAGGAAAACUGCAGCUCGACUAAAAAACCUACAGCUUGAGGCAAAAAAAAAAAAUCGUAACUAGGAGUAGCACCUACGCCGCAUUCAUCCAAUCGUUGACUCUUUCUUGGCCCGACUGACAGGAACUCCAGAAUAAAACGGUUAUUAGAAGGGUUGGGCGCACUUUGAUGAACUGCUAGUGUUGUUGGAUUUUCAUAAAUUUUCUACAACCCGUGUGUCAAAACAUAAUGUGUAUUAGUUUUUCGAAAAGUCGGAUCUCUUUAAAUUUGACCAAAUUUGUAGAGAAAUAUAUUAAAUCGGUAUCAGUAGAUUCGUCAUAGAAUGAUUUUUCAUAUUUUAUUUAUUUAGUAUUGUGGAUGUCGGUGUUCUUGGCUAUAAACUUUGUCAAACUUAAAGAAAUUUCACUUUUUAAAAACUAUUGCGCCUUAUAUUUUGAAACUGGGGGAGAUUUGAUUUGGCGAGUGGAGGAGGUGAUGCAGUGUGUUUUUAUUUACUCCCUCUAUAAAAAAAUAUAAGAGCAUUUAGAUCUCUUAUAUUUGUUUACGGAGGGAGUAUUUAUUUAGAAUGUGGUGUUUUGGUGGGGCCUUCGCGGUGUGAUUCUGUGUUAUCUGCUAAACAACCCUUACUUAUGUAGGCUAAAUUUCUACGUCGGUGGAUGCAUUUUUAUUAUAUUGGUGUUACAUUAUCACAUAUUGGCAUUUCCUUUUUCUAGGUGGUGAGUGGGUGCGCAGACUGAUAUGUUUUUAUAGGUCGGUUGUUGUCGAUUGAUUUGAAAAUUGUUGACCUGGUCAAACAUGAACCAAAUGCAAAAUCGAAUAUCUGCAUUGAAUGAGAGAGCUCCAAAAUUAGGAAGCAUAAUUAAUUAAAAUAAUUGUUGGUGUUACUAUAUCACAUAUUGACGUUUCUUUUUUCUAGGUGAUGAUAGGGUGCAUGGGGCUGCUAUGUUUUUAUAGGUCGGUUGCUGUCAAUUGAUGAAAAACAUUGAUCCGAUCAAAAUCAUGAACCAAAUUCAAAGCUGAAUACCUCUAAAAUUAGGGAGUAUAUUGAACUAAAAGAAAUUGAAUGAGAGAACUUCUCAAAAAAAAUUAUUGACCUGGUCAAAAUCGAGUCACCAAUUCCAUAUUGAAGACCUCAAUUGAUUAUGAGGCCUUAAAAACUAGGGAGCAUAGUGCAUUUACUUGAAGGGUUAGGCACGCUUUGCUGCACCGUUCGUGUUGUUGUUUUUUAAAUAAUCACUAUGUUUCAAAAUAUAAGGUGUAUUCCUUUUUUGGAAAGUAAAACCUUUUAAAUUAGAUCAAAUUUGUAGAGAAAUAUAUCAAAGUCCGUAAUAUCAAAUCGGUAUUUUUAGAUUCAUCAUGGAAUGAAUUUCCCCAUACUUAUUUUGUUUAUAUUUUGGAUGUCUAUAUUUUUACUAUGAAAUUGAUCAAGGUUAAAGAAAUUUGAUUUUUCAAAAAAAUAAUACCCCUUAUAUUUUGGAACUGAUGGAAUAUUUAGUUUGGUGGGUGGGGGAGAUGAUAGAGUGUGUUUUCUUUUUAUUUAUAAUGCGGUGAUUUGGUGGCCCUUUCGUGGAGUGAUUCCGUGAUCUACUAACCAACCUAUUAUUAUGUUGGGAAUUUUUUGUGUCAAUAUGGUUGCAUGUACUAUAUUGGUGCUACAAUAUCACAUGAUGGUUCUUCUUUUUCUAGGUGGUGGCAGGGUGCGCAGGAUUGAUGUUUUUAUAGGCCAGUUGUUGCUGAUUGAUUUAAAAAUUCGUUGGCUUGGUCAAAAUCGUAAACCAAAUCCAAAAUUAAAUACCUAAAUUGAAAGAAAGAGCUCAAAAUUAGGGAACAUAAUGAAUUAGAAAAUUUGAAUGGGAGAGCUUGCAAAAUUAUCGAGUCGGUCAAAAUGGGAUGACCCAAUUCUAAAUUGAAUACCUUAAUUAAUUGUGAGGCCGUAAAAUUUGGAAGCAUAGUGUAUAGUAUAAAAGAAUUGAAGGAGAGAGCUUUGAGAAAUUGUUGAACCAGUCAAAAUCGGGUGACCCAAUUCUAAUUGGAGAUCUCAUUUGAAUGUGGGCUCUUUAAAAAUAGGGAGCUUAGUGUUAUAGAGGACUAGAAGGAUUGGGCGCACUUUGUUGCAUCAUUGGUGUUGCUAGGUGUCAAUAAUUUUUCUACUCCCUUUGUUUCAAAAUAUAAGAUGUACUCUUUGAAUAAUCAAACCUCCAUAAGUUUGACCAAAAUUGUAUAGAAAUAUAUCAAUAUCCAUAAUAUUAAAUUGGUGCCAUUUGAUUCAUUACGAAAUGAAUUUCCAUAUUUUAUUUAUUUAGUAUUGAGGAUGUGGAUGUUUUGUCUGUCGGUUGAUUUAAAAAAUCAUUGACCUAGUUAAAAUUGUGAACCAAAUCCAAAAUUGAAUGCCUCGACCAAGUGAGGGACCUCCAAAAUUAGGAAGUUAGUGGAUUAAAUGAAUUAAACGAGAGAGCUCCUUGAUAAAAAAUAUUGUUGACCCAAUCAAAAUCGGGUGACCCAAUUCUACAUUCAGGACCACAAUUGACUGUGGGUACUCUAAAAUUAGAUAGCAUAGUGUAUUUAUAGUUAGAUGUCAUCGAAUUCGUAAUUGUCACCAAAUCCCUCCCUUCCAAUUUAUGUACACCUAAUAUGAGAAGGAAAAAAUUAGUAAUUAUGAAAAAAGCAAAAAUAAACUUUACUUAAAAUAAACUUAACCUUCUAUUGUCCUCGUAUAAAAAGUUUCACGAAGGAAAAAAACCAUCAACUUCUGGAUAAAAAAACAAAAUUUCAGUGACAAAAUAUGUGGAUAGUAAUUUGUAUGUGGUGUUGAUUUUGUUCUUUUUCACCCAGAAUACCAUGAAAUUUAUUCCUUGGCCAAACUGUUUAUACAAGCACAACAAAAGGUCAACUUCAUUUAAGAAAAAGUUUUGGAUUUUUUUGUAGUUACUUAUUUAUAUAUAGGGUGUAUAUACAUCGAAGAGCCAAACGUGUUUGUCCCUAAUACAUCUACAUAUAUAAAUAUAUUUUUGAAAUAUGAGUUAGAGAAGGUCACACUAGCGCCAUUACAAAUAAAAUUAACUCCGCUAACCAUAUUUGUCUAGUUAAGUUAGGAUUAGCUAGGCUCCGUCCCCUACCGCCACCUCAUCUUAGGGGCAAGGGACGGAGCUCUCAGAUCUGGUGUUAUCUUCUAUUCCAGUCGUUGUAGCAUGCAGAUUUGGUUUGGGCCAGCAGGCUUCAUGCGACCACCCCUCCCUCGGUAGUGUCUUGAAGAACGGUGGCCCCACAUCGACCCCAACUCCGGUGGCGGCCUCGAGCUCACGGCCACAAGAUCUGGUGUCGCCAUGGCCGAAAACCACGGCUGUGUGGUGGCUUCGACGACAUCGACGCGAAUUUACGUCAGGUUAACCCCUAUCUGAAUGGUCGUGAUCCAGCUUGGGCCAAUGAACACUUCUAGACUGAAACUCAGGAGAAAAUCUACAAUGAGGUGUUUGUGUUACGAAAGAACAAAUUUGUGAAGAAGCACACGAUCGGCGUUGCACACAUGAGGGCAAAGCUGGAGUAUUUUGGUGAGGCUCUGGCAAUCUGUGAGCAGUUUGGUCUGUUUCCUCUUAUGAAGUUUAACUGUGACUUUGAUGACACUUUGGUAGCUUAGAUCCUUCACUAGUGCAGAACCGGGCAAUAGCACCGGUUCGUAAGGCCCUUUAGUGCCGGUUUGGUAACCGAUGCUAAAGUGUAGGCACUAAAGGUGAAGGAGAUAUGCCCUAGAGGCAAUAAUAAAGUUAUUAUUUAUUUCCUUAUUUCAUGAUAAAUGUUUAUUAUUCAUGCUAGAAUUGUAUUAACCGGAAACAUAAUACUUGUAUGAAUACAUAGACAAACUAAACGUCACUAGUAUGCCUCUACUUGACUAGCUCGUUGAUCGAAGAUGGUUAUGUUUCCUAACCAUAGACAUGUGUUGUCAUUUGAUUAACGAGAUCACAUCAUUAGGAGAAUGAUGUGAUUGACAUGACCCAUUUCGUUAGCUUAGCAUCCGAUCGUUUAGUAUGUUGCUAUUGCUUUCUUCAUGACUUAUACAUGUUUCUAUGACUAUGAGAUUAUGCAACUCCCGUUUGCCGGAGGAACACUUUGUGUGCUACCAAACGUCACAACGUAACUGGGUGAUUAUAAAGGAGCUCUACAGGUGUCUCCAAAGGUACAUGUUGGGUUGGCGUAUUUUGAGAUUAAGAUUUGUCACUACGAUUGUCGGAGAGGUAUCUCUGGGCCCUCUCGGUAAUGCACAUCACAUAAGCCUUGCAAGCAUUACAACUAAUGAGUUAGUUGCAAGAUGAUGUAUUACGAAAUGAGUAAAGAGACUUGCCGGUAACGAGAUUGAACUAGGUAUUGAGAUACCGACGAUCGAAUCUCGGGCAAGUAACAUACCGAUGACAAAGGGAACAACGCAUGUUGUUAUGCGGUCUAACCGAUAAAGAUCUUCGUAGAAUAUGUGGGAGCCAAUAUGAGCAUCCAGGUUCCGCUAUUGGAUAUUGACCGGAGACGUGUCUCGGUCAUGUCUACAUAGUUCUCGAACCCAUAGGGUCCGCACGCUUAAGGUUUUGAUGACAGUUAUAUUAUGAGUUUAUGCAUUUUGAUGUACCGAAGUUUGUUCGGAGUCCCGGAUGUGAUCACGGACAUGGCGAGAAGUCUCGAAAUGGUCGAGACAUAAAGAGUGAUAUAUUUGAAGCCUAUAUUUGGAUAUCAGAAGUGUUCCCGGUGAAAUCGGGAUUUUACCGGAGUACCGGGAGGUUACCGGAACCCCCCGGGAGGUAUAUGGGCCUUAGUGGGCUUUAGUGGAAGAGAGGAGAGGUGGCCAGGGCUGGGCCGCGCGCCCCUCCCCCCUAGUCCGAAUAGGACAAGGAGAGGGGGGCGGCGCCCCCCCCCCCUUCCUUCUCUCUCUCCUCUUUCCCCCUCCCGAAUCCUAUUCCAACUAGGAAAGGGGGGAAUCCUACUCCCGGUGGGAGUAGGACUCCUCCUGGCGCGCCCUCCUCCUGGCCGGCCGCACCUUCCCCUGCUCCUUUAUAUACGGGGGCAGGGGGCACCCCUAGACACACAAGUUGAUCCACGUGAUCAUAUUCUUAGCCGUGUGCGGUGCCCCCUUCCACCAUAAUCCUCGAUAAUAUUGUAGUGGUGCUUAGGCGAAGCCCUACGACGGUAGUACAUCAAGAUCGUCACCACACCGUCGUGCUGACGGAACUCUUCCCCGACACUUUGCUGGAUCGGAGUCCGGGGAUCGUCAUCGAGCUGAACGUGUGCUAGAACUCGGAGGUGCCAUAGUUUCGGUGCUUGAUCGGUCGGGCCCUGAAGACGUACGACUACAUCAACCGCGUCGUGCUAACGCUUCCGCUAUCGGUCUACAAGGGUACGUAGAUCACACUCUCCCCUCUCGUUGCUAUGCAUCACCAUGAUCUUGCGUGUGCGUAGGAAAUUUUUUGAAAUUACUACGUUCCCCAACAGUGGCAUCCGAGCCUAGGUUUUAUGUGUUGAUGUUAUAUGCACGAGUAGAACACAAGUGAGUUGUGGGCGAUAUAAGUCAUACUGCUUACCAGCAUGUCAUACUUUGGUUCGGCGGUAUUGUUGGACGAAGCGGCCCGGACCGACAUUACGCGUACGCUUACGCGAGACCGGUUCUCCCGACGUGCUUUGCACAAAGGUGGCUAGCGGGUGACAGUUUCUCCAACUUUAGUUGAACCGAGUGUGGCUACGCCCGGUCCUUGCGAAGGUUAAAAUAGCACCAACUUGACAAACUAUCAUUGUGGUUUUGAUGCGUAGGUAAGAUUGGUUCUUGCUUAAGCCCGUAGCAGCCACGUAAAACUUGCAACAACAAAGUAGAGGACGUCUAACUUGCUUUUGCACAGCAUGUUGUGAUGUGAUAUGGUCAAGACAUGAUGCUAAAUUUUAUUGUAUGAGAUGAUCAUGUUUUGUAACCGAGUUAUCGGCAACUGGCAGGAGCCAUAUGGUUGUCGCUUUAUUGUAUGCAAUGCAAUCGCGCUGUAAUGCUUUACUUUAUCACUAAGCGGUAGCGAUAGUCGUGGAAGCAUAAGAUUGGCGAGACGACAACGAUGCUACGAUGGAGAUCAAGGUGUCGCGCCGGUGACGAUGGUGAUCAUGAUGGUGCUUCGAAGAUGGAGAUCACAAGCCCAAGAUGAUGAUGGCCAUAUCAUAUCACUUAUAUUGAUUGCAUGUGAUGUUUAUCUUUUAUGCAUCUUAUCUUGCUUUGAUUGACGGUAGCAUUAUAAGAUGAUCUCUCACUAAUUAUCAAGAAGUGUUCUCCCUGAGUAUGCACCGUUGUGAAAGUUCUUCGUGCUGAGACACCACGUGAUGAUCGGGUGUGAUAGGCUCUACAUUCAAAUACAACGGGUGCAAAACAGUUGCACACGCGGAAUACUCAGGUUAUACUUGACGAGCCAAGCAUAUACAGAUAUGGCCUCGGAACACGAAGACCUCAUAUAGUAGAUAUGAUCAAUAUAGUGAUGUUCACCAAUGAAACUACUCCAUCUCACGUGAUGAUCGGACAUGGUUUAGUUGAUUUGGAUCAUGUGAUCACUUAGAGGAUUAGAGGGAUGUCUAUCUAAGUGGGAGUUCUUAAGUAAUAUGAUUAAUUGAACUUUAAUUUAUCAUGAACUUAGUCCUGGUAGUAUUAGCAUAUCUGUGUUGUAGAUCAAUAGCUCGCGUUGUUGCUUUCAUAUGUUUAUUUUGAUAUGUUCCUAGAGAAAAUUGUGUUGAAAGAUGUUAGUAGCAAUGAUGCGGAUUGGAUAUGUAAUCUGAGGUUUAUCCUCAUUGCUGCACAGAAGAAUUAUAUCCUUGAUGCACCGCUAGGUGACAGACCUAUUACAGGAGCAGAUGCAGACGUUAUGAACGUUUGGCUAGCUCAAUAUGAUGACUACUUGAUAGUUUAGUGCACCAUGCUUAACGGCUUAGAAUUGGGACUUCAAAGACGUUUUGAACAUCAUGGACCAUAUGAGAUGUUCCAGCAGUUGAAGUUAAUAUUUCAAGCAAAUACCCGAGUUGAGAGAUAUGAAGUCUCCAACAAGUUCUAUAGCUAAAAGAUGGGGGAGAAUCGCUCAACUAGUGAGCAUGUGCUCAGAUUGUCUGGGUACUACAAUCGCUUGAAUCAAGUGGGAGUUAAUCUUCCAGAUAAGAUAGUGAUUGAAAGAAUUCUCUAGUCACCAUCACCAAGUUAGUAGAACUUCGUGAUGAACUAUAGUAUGCAAGGGAUGAAGAAAAUGACUCCCAAGCUUUUCACGAUGAUGAAAUUGAUGAAGGUAGAAAUCAAGAAAGAGCAUCAAGUGUUGAUGGUUGACAAGAUCAUUAGUUUCAAGAAAAGGGCAAAGGAAAAAAGGGGAACUUCAAGAAGAACAGCAAGUAAGUUGCUGCUCAAGUGAAGAAGCCCAAGUCUGGUCCUAAGCCUGAGACUAAGUGCUUCUACUGCAAAGGGACUGGUCACUGGAAGCGGAACUACCCCAAGUGAUUGGCGGAUAAGAAGGAUGGCAAAGUGAACAUAAGUAUAUUUGAUAUACAUGUUAUUGAUGUGUACUUUACUAGUGUUUAUAGCAACCCCUAAGUAUGUGAUACUAGUUCAAUUGCUAAGAUUAGUAACUCGAAAUGGGAGUUGCAGAAUAAACAGAGACUAGUUAAGGGUGAAGUGACAAUGUGUGUUGGAAGUGGUUCCAAGAUUGAUAUGAUCAUCAUCGCACACUCCCUAUACUUUCGGGAUUAGUGUUGAACCUAAAUAAGUGUUAUUUGGUGUUUGCGUUGAGCAUGAAUAUGAUUUGAUCAUGUUUAUUGUAAUACGGUUAUUCAUUUAAGUAAGAGAAUAAAUUGUUGUUCUGUUUACAUGAAUAAAACCUUAUAUGGUUACACACCCAAUGAAAAUAGUUCGUUGGAUCUCGAUCGUAGUGAUACACAUAUUCAUAAUAUUGAAACCAAAAGAUGCAAAGUUAAUAAUGAUAGUGCAACUUAUUUGUGGCACUGCCGUUUAGGUCAUAUUGGUGUAAAGCGCAUGAAGAAACUCCAUGAUGAUGGGCUUUUGGAAUCACUUGAUUAUGAAUCAGUUGAUGCUUGCGAGCCAUGCCUCAUGGGCAAGAUGACUAAGCUCCGUUCUCCGGAACAAUGGAUCGAGCAACAGAUUUGUUGGAAAUCAUACAUACUGAUGUAUGUGGUCCGAUGAAUAUUGAGACUCACGGCAGGUAUCAUUAUUUUCUGAUCUUCACAAAUGAUUUGAACAGAUAUGAGUAUAUCUACUUGAUGAAACACAAGUCUGAAACAUUUAAAAAGUUCAAAGAAUUUCAGAGUGAAGUGGAGAAUCAUCGUAACAAAAAAAAAGUUUCUACGAUAUGAUCGCAGAAGUAAAAUCUUUGAGUUACGAGUUUGGCCUUCAGUUAAAAACAAUGUGAAAUAGUUUCACUACUCACGCCACCUCGAACACCACAAUGUAAUGGUGUGUCCGAACGUCGUAAUUGUACUUUAUUAGAUAUGGUGCAAUCUAUGAUGUUUCUUACCGAUUUACCACUAUAGUUUUGGGGUUAUGCAUUAGAGACAGCUACAUUCACAUUAAAUAGGGCACCAUCUAAAUCCGUUGAGACGACACCGUAUGAACUAUGGUUUGGCAAGAAACCUAAGCUGUCAUUUCUUAAAGUUUGAGGUUGCAAUGCUUAUGUGAAAAGGUUUCAACCUGAUAAGCUCAAACCCAAAUCGAAGAAGUGCAUCUUCAUAGGAUACCCAAAAGAAAAUGUUGGGUACACCUUCUAUCACAGAUCCGAAGGCAAGAUAUUCAUUGCUGAGAAUGGAUCCUUUCUAGAGAAGGAGUUUCUCUCGAAAGAAGUGAGUGGGAGGAAAGUAGAACUUGAUGAGGUAACUGUACCUGCUCCCUUAUUGGAAAGUAGUUCAUCACAGAAAUAUGUUCCUGUGACUACUACACCAAUUAGUGAGGAAGCUAAUGAUGAUGAUCAUGUAACUUCAGAUCAAGUUACUACCGAACCUCGUAGGUAAACCAGAGUGAGAUCUGCACCAGAGUGGUACGGUAAUCCUGUUCUGGAGGUCAUGUUACUUGACCAUGACGAACCUACGAACUAUGAGGAAGCGAUGAUGAGCCCAGAUUCCACAAAAUGGUUUAAGGCCAUGAAAUCUGAGAUAGGAUCCAUGUAUGAGAACAAAGUAUGGACUUUGGUUGACUUGCCCGAUGUUCGGCAAGCCAUUGAAAUUAAAUGGACCUUCAAGAGGAAGACGGAUGCUGAUAGUAGUGUUACUAUCUACAAAGCUAGAAUUGUCGCAAAAAGGUUUUCGACAAGUUCAAGGUGUUGACUACAAUGAGAGUUUCUCACUCGUAUCUAUGCUUAAGUCUGUCUGAAUCAUGUUAGCAAUUGGCGCAUUUUAUGAAAUCUGGCAAAUGGAUAAACAAAACUGCAUUCCUUAAUGGAUUUAUUAAAGAAGAGUUGUAUAUGAUGCAACCAGAAGGUUUUGUCAAUCCCAAAGGUGCUAACAAAAUGUGCAAGCUCCAGCGAUCCAUCUAUGGACUGGUGCAAGCAUCUCAGAGUUGGAAUAUGCGCUUUGAUGAGAUGAUCAAAGCAUAUAGUUUUAUACAGACUUGCGGUGAAGCCUGUAUUUACAAGAAAGUGAGUGGGAGCACUACAGCAUUUCUGAUAAGUAUAUGUGAAUGACAUAUUGUUGAUCGGAAAUAAUGUAGAAUUAUUCUGCAAAGCAUAAAGGAGUUUUUUGAAAGAAGUUUUUCAAAGAAAGACCUUGGUGAAGCUGCUUACAUAUUGAGCAUCAAGAUCUAUAGAGAUAGAUCAAGAUGCUUGAUAAGUUUUUUCAAUGAGUACAUACCUUGACAAGAUUUUGAAGUAGUUCAAAAUGGAACAGUCAAAGAAAGAGUUAUUGCCUGUGUAACAAGGUGUGAAAUUGAGUAAGACUCAAAACCCGACCACGGCAGAAGAUAGAAAGAGUGUGGAAGUCAUUCCCUAUGCCUCAAUCAUAGGUUCUAUAAAGUAUGCCAUGUUGUGUACCUAUUGUAUACCGUACAAUGUUUUUGGCAAGGGAGUACAAUAGUGAUCUAGGAGUAGAUCACUGGACAGCGGUCAAAAUUAUCCUUAGUGGAAUAAGGAAAUAUUUCUCAAUUAUGGUGGUGACAAAAGGUUCGUCGUAAAGAGUUACGUCGAUGCAAGCUUUGACACGGAUCUGGAUGACUCUAAGUCUCAAUCUAGAUACAUAUUGUAAGUGGGAGCAAUUAGCUAGAGUAGCUCCAUGCAGAGCAUUGUUGACAUAGAUAUUUGCAAAAUACUUACAGAUCUGAUUAUGACAGACCCGUUGACUAAAAUUAUCUCACAAGCAAAACAUGAUCACACCUUAGUACUCUUUGGGUGUUAAUCACAUAGCGAUGUGAACUAGAUUACUGACUCUAGUAAACCCUUGGGUGUUGAUCACAUAUCGAUGUGAACUAUGGGUGUUAACCACAUAAAGAUGUGAACUAUUGAUGUUAGAUCACAUGGCGAUGUGAACUAGAUUAUUGACUCUAGUGCAAGUGGGAGACUGAAGGAAAUAUGCCCUAGAGGCAAUAAUAAAGUUAUUAUUUAUUUCCUUAUUUCAUGAUAAAUGUUUAUUAUUCAUGCUAGAAUUGUAUUAACCGGAAACAUAAUACUUGUAUGAAUACAUAGACAAACUAAACGUCACUAGUAUGCCUCUACUUGACUAGCUCGUUGAUCGAAGAUGGUUAUGUUUCCUAACCAUAGACAUGUGCUGUCAUUUGAUUAACGGGAUCACAUCAUUAGGAGAAUGAUGUGAUUGACAUGACCCAUUUCAUUAGCUUAGCACCCGGUCAUUUAGUAUGUUGCUAUUGCUUUCUUCAUGACUUAUACAUGUUCCUAUGACUAUGAGAUUAUGCAACUCCCGUUUGCCGGAGGAACACUUUGUGUGCUACCAAACGUCACAACGUAACUGGGUGAUUAUAAAGGAGCUCUACAGGUGUCUCCAAAGGUACAUGUUGGGUUGGCGUAUUUCGAGAUUAGGAUUUGUCACUCCGAUUGUCGGAGAGGUAUCUCUGGGCCCUCUCGGUAAUGCACAUCACAUAAGCCUUGCAAGCAUUACAACUAAUGAGUUAGUUGCAACAUGAUGUAUUACAAAACGAGUAAAGAGACUUGCCGGUAACGAGAUUGAACUAGGUAUUGAGAUACCGACGAUCGAAUCUCAGGCAAGUAACAUACCGAUGACAAAGGGAACAACGUAUGUUGUUAUGCGGUCUGACCGAUAAAGAUCUUCGUAGAAUAUGUGGGAGCCAAUAUGAGCAUCCAGGUUCCGCUAUUGGUUAUUUACCGGAGACGUGUCUCGGUCAUGUCUACAUUGUUCUCGAACCCGUAGGGUCUGCACGCUUAAGGUUUUGAUGACAGUUAUAUUAUGAGUUUAUGCAUUUUGAUGUACCGAAGUUUGUUCGGAGUCCCGGAUGUGAUCACGGACAUGACGAGGAGUCUCGAAAUGGUCGAGACAUAAAGAUUGAUAUAUUGGAAGCCUAUAUUUGGAUAUCAGAAGUGUUCCCGGUGAAAUCGGGAUUUUACCGGAGUACCGGGAGGUUACCGGAACCCCCCAGGAGGUAUAUGGGCCUUAGUGGGCUUUAGUGGAAGAGAGGAGAGGUGGCCAGGGCUGGGCCGCGCGCCCCUCCCCCCUAGUCCGAAUAGGACAAGGAGAGGGGGCGGCGCCCCCCCCCCCCUUCCUUCUCUCUCUCCUCUUUCCCCCUCCCGAAUCAUAUUCCAACUAGGAAAGGGGGGAAUCCUACUCCCGGUGGGAGUAGGACUCCUCCUGGCGCGCCCUCCUCCUGGCCGGCCGCACCUUCCCCUGCUCCUUUAUAUACGGGGCAGGGGGCACCCCUAGACACACAAGUUGAUCCACACGAUCAUAUUCUUAGCCGUGUGCGGUGCCCCCUUCCACCAUAAUCCUCGAUAAUAUUGUAGCGGUGCUUAGGCGAAGCCCUGCGACGGUAUGAAAGAACAUGCGGUGCCCCCAUGUUUGGUUUUGGAAAUUGAUGACAAUCUCUAUGGACUAAUGGUUGCCUUGAGUUAUAUUUGAAGGUUUUGUCCAUAGGCUUUUCUUGGAGUACAUGUGUUGGUUUCAAGAAAAGUUUGUGUCGACCAAGGUGCUAUUCAAGGAAUUAUCCAAAGAUUGGUCAUUUGAGAGUUGAGCUUAUUGCAAGCAUGUCUUGAAGAAGAAGAUUGUGUACGAAGAGAGUUGGGAAGAUUCAAGGUUGAUCAAGACUAAGUCAAGAGUGAAUCAAGUUGAUCAACUCACAAAGCAUAGAAGAUGUACCGAGAGGGAUCAAGUGAUCCCAUGGUUUGGUAAGCAUUGUCCAUUGUGCUUUGUGUACUAACCCAUGGUCUAUGUGAGAGUUCUACGUGGGGUUAGGUACAUGUUCAUGGGCUUGUGUCAAGAGGAAGAUAUCUCUCAACCCAUGGAGAGGAUGACAUCAAGUGGUGAUCGUCAUCAAGAUUGCCGUGUGCAAGUUCAAGUGGAUCAUCGCGAAGAGAUCAAGUGCUUGAAGCUUGCCGGCCAUUGUGGUGACAAUGGACUUGUGAAGAUGUGCCGAAGAGUGGCUCAUCCAUAGUGGUCUAUGGGGGAGCAAUCAUCUAGUCUUCAUCGUGCCAACACAAUCAAGAAAGGUGGUCCAACUUGAGGAAGUCAAGAUCGUCAUCAUCUAGCUCAAGUGGACCAUGUGCAAGGCAAAGGUUUGCCCUUGAUAGGUUUUCUAUUUUACCGGUCUCAUGAUGGUAGUUGGGAGACCGGGUUAUAGGAUCGAUUGCCGUACUAUCAAGGGGGCUCUCGAUGAGUAGCUUGAUCGUAUCGUUCGUAGAGAGCUCAAACCAUUGCAUCCUUGCAUCAUCUUUCUUGGUUCUUGUUUGUUUCUCUUUGUGAGUCUUAGAGCUUAUGGCCAUCUUGAUGACAAGCUUGAGUUCAUCGAAAAUGGAGUUCGCAUGCUUCUUCUAUGAUGUUUUCGAUGUUGGAGGUUUUGCCGGUUCUUCUCGGUUGGAGGUUUCACUCCUCUAUUUGUUGGCAUUCCUCCCCUGCCUCUUCUUACUAUAACCGGUUCUUCUCGGUUGGAGGUUUCACUCGCUGUUGGAGGUUUCACUCGCUGUUUUGAUGCUACUCGUCGUCUUGUUUUCAACAAGCUUGAGUUUGCUCAAUUCGGAGCUCAUAUGCAGAAGUUAUGGCAGUUCUGAUUUUCUUGAGUGUGGCUUUUGUCAGGGUCCGAGCGGUAGUACCGUGGUACCCAGCGGUAGUACCGCUGAGGAGUCACAAGCGGCAGUACCGCUCCGCAGCGGUAGUACCGCGGGCCACAGCGGUAGUACCGCUUAAGCUCACUAAGCGGUAGUACCACUCCUCGGAGCGGUAGUGCCGCUUGAUGGUCUCAGCAGUAGUACCGUUGCGGCUCCAUGCUCCUACCGCCUCGACUCGAGUGCGCUUUUUCUCGUGUCGGGUUUUGCGGCACUUGCUGCGGUAGUAGUGGCGGUAGUACCGCUUAUUAGCGGUAGUACCGCCCUGCCUCCACGGUAGUACCGCUCUGGGUCCCAGCCCCAACCCCUUUUCUUCUGGCGCGGCAGUACCGCUGAAGGGGAGCGGUAGUACCGCUUAUGAGCGGUAGUACCGCCCUGCCUCCGUGGUAGUACCGCUCUCUGCGGGGCUGAGUGGGGGAUAACGGUUGGAUUUUCCCCCUCCUAUAAAAGGGGGUCUUCUUCCCCUUUGAACCUUAUCCUUUGAGCUCGUGUUCUUCCCCCAUUAUUGACCUUCUUCGAGCUUGCUAAACUCUCAAUCCCUCCAUGGAUUCUUGCUAGUUUUUGAGGGAAAAGAGAGAGGAGAUCUAGAUCCACAUUUCCACCAAUCACUUUCUCAUCUAUGUGAGGGGAACCCCUUGGAUCUAGAUCUUGGAGUUCUUGGUGUUCUCUUUCUUGUUCUUCCUCUCAUUUUCCUCCCUAGCAUUAGUUGCUUCGGUGGGAUUUGAGAGAGAAGGACUUGGGCACUCCGUGUGCCCUUGCCAUUGCAUUUGGUGCAUCGGUUUGAGUUCUCCACGUGAUACGUGGAAGUUACAAGUUGAGAAGCUUAUUACUCUUGGGUGCUUGGUACCCUUGAGCUUGUUCCUCUUGGGUGCUUGGGCUCCCUAGACGGUUGUUGGUGUUCGGAGCUCAAUCAUUGUGGUGCAAAGCUCCGGGCAAGCGUCGGGGUCUCCAAUUAGGUUGUGGAGAUCGCCCCGAGCAAUUUGACGGGUACCGGUGACCGCCCCCAAGGGUUGCCAAAGUGUACGGGUUCGGUGACCGCCCCCAAGGGUUGCCAUCUGUACGGGUUCGGUGACCGCCCUCAAGGGUCCCUUAGUGGAAUCACGACAUCUUUCAUUGUGCGAGAGCGUGAGGAGAUUACGGUGGCCCUAGUGGCUUCUUGGGGAGCAUUGUGCCUCCACACCGCUCCAAACGGAGAUUAGCAUCCGCAAGGGUGUGAACUUCGGGAUACAUCAUCGUCUCCUCGUGCCUCGGUUAUCUCUUACCCGAGCCCUUUACUUAUGCACUUUACUUUGUGAUAGCCAUAUUGUUUCUUGUCAUAUAUCUUGCUAUCACAUAGUUGCUUAUCUUUCUUAGCAUAAGUUGUUGGUGCACAUAGGUGAGCCUAGUUGUUUUAGGCUUUGUGCUUGGCAAAUUAACCGCUAGGUUUAUUCCGCAUUUGUUCAAACCUAAACCGUAAUUAUUUUAAAACGCCUAUUCACCCCCCCCCCUCUAGGCGACAUCCACGAUCUUUCACGGUAGUACAUCAAGAUUGUCACCACACCGUCGUGCUGACGGAACUCUUCCCCGACACUUUGCUGGAUCGGAGUCCGGGGAUCGUCAUCGAGCUGAAUGUGUGCUAGAACUCGGAGGUGCCGUAGUUUCGGUGCUUGAUCGGUCGGGCCGUGAAGACGUAUGACUACAUCAACCGCGUUGUGCUAACGCUUCCGCUGUCGGUCUACAAGGGUACGUAGAUCACACUCUCCCCUCUCGUUGCUAUGCAUCACCAUGAUCUUGCGUGUGCGUAGGAAAUUUUUUGAAAUUACUACGUUCCCCAACAAAAGUCCCCCCUCCCUUUAGUACCGGUUCAGCACGAACCGGUGCUAAAGGGCAACCACGUGGCACGAGCCAGCUUCGGGGGCAGGGAUCCCUUUAGUACCGGUUGGUGUCACCAACCGGUAUUAAAAGGUUGGGAGGUUUUGGGUUUAUGAUUUCUUUUACAUUUAAUUUUGUGUUUUCCAUUUAAUUAUUUUUCAUUUGCUGGUAUUUUACGAUACUACAUAUUGUACACGUUAUGCAUAUAUAUAAAUAGAAUUUCUAGUAGAACCGAUCAUNNNNNNNNNNNNNNNNNNNNNNNNNNNNNNNNNNNNNNNNNNNNNNNNNNNNNNNNNNNNNNNNNNNNNNNNNNNNNNNNNNNNNNNNNNNNNNNNNNNNNNNNNNNNNNNNNNNNNNNNNNNNNNNNNNNNNNNNNNNNNNNNNNNNNNNNNNNNNNNNNNNNNNNNNNNNNNNNNNNNNNNNNNNNNNNNNNNNNNNNNNNNNNNNNNNNNNNNNNNNNNNNNNNNNNNNNNNNNNNNNNNNNNNNNNNNNNNNNNNNNNNNNNNNNNNNNNNNNNNNNNNNNNNNNNNNNNNNNNNNNNNNNNNNNNNNNNNNNNNNNNNNNNNNNNNNNNNNNNNNNNNNNNNNNNNNNNNNNNNNNNNNNNNNNNNNNNNNNNNNNNNNNNNNNNNNNNNNNNNNNNNNNNNNNNNNNNNNNNNNNNNNNNNNNNNNNNNNNNNNNNNNNNNNNNNNNNNNNNNNNNNNNNNNNNNNNNNNNNNNNNNNNNNNNNNNNNNNNNNNNNNNNNNNNNNNNNNNNNNNNNNNNNNNNNNNNNNNNNNNNNNNNNNNNNNNNNNNNNNNNNNNNNNNNNNNNNNNNNNNNNNNNNNNNNNNNNNNNNNNNNNNNNNGUAUUCUCCUUUGGGAUCUAUGACCUGGUCGAGCAAAAAUCCCGCUAUUUCCUCUUGAAUUGCUUCUAUGCGGUCCUGUGCUAGGAGCUUGUCCCGCACCUCUUUGAACUGUUAAGAAGGAGAUCAAUAUGCAUGUGUAUUAGUUGUGUGACUAGAUAUCGAUAAUGGUGUAAAAAUUGUGAAUAGUGUUCUGACAAUCGAUAUCGUACCCACUCCUGUCUUUGAGAUUUGCUCCUUUUGGACGCCAUCAUGCGAAUGUUCUCGCAAACGUAGUAUGCACAUAGAUCAUUCCCUGGCGCCUGCUUCAGGGCCUUUACGAGAAUGGAAUUUGAUCAGAUAAUAAUUAAUCAAGCAUGAUAGUUAAAGAGAUGGCAGCUAGCUAGUACUACUAAAUUACUUACCUUGGGUCGAUACCAUUUCAGAUUUUGUUUCCAUGGGCCUGGAGUGGCCCUGAUGAACUUUGCCCAAGCCCUGCCCGCCGACAAAGAAAAUGAAUAAAUGGUUUAUUAAAUAGUUGUUAUCGGGAAAUGACAAACUAAUUAAAUAGGCCGAGAUAUAGUUAAUAAUGAUUGAAAUUACCUGUUGACUAUCCCCUUCACGAUGGUGUAGUCACUUGCUUUCUUAAGUAGUGAGUCUAGUACUUCAACUGUUCCUUCAUCAACUUUAAUGAUUAACAAGAUCCAGUGAAAUCUGCAUGCACACAUGUUUGCAUGUCUUAAUUAAGCGGGCAUAUGUAAGCAAAAACAUGUAGCUAGCUAGUAGGGAAAAACAGAAUUUGUAGUACAAGACAGUGUGACUCACUGGAAGUUGUAAGGAAGUAGUAUAUCUUCAUUGUAUUUGAGGUCCUUGAAGAACUCUAGCAUGCUUUCCUCUACACUUUUUUCAUGAUAUGGAUCUAUUUUCCAUGUGUAUUCAUUAAUGGUAUUUGGGUCAACGAACCCAAUGCCAUAGCGUCCACCUUUUUUCAUUUCAUAAAUCUUCAUCCUGCAUAAUACCACAGAAAAGAAUAUAGUGAGGAUAAUUACAGGUAAUGAUUGAUCAAAAUGAUCACUACAGCUAGCUUGAGACUUAAAUUACAGAAAGAAAUCACUUACAGACAAUAGAAACUGACGAUAGAUUUGUCGAGUGCGUCUUGAUUGUAUAGCUGAAAUAGUUCUGAAUACUCAACGGUCACAGCUUUCUCAUGGUAGUAAUGAUCCUUGUUGACAUUCACCAUGAGGGACUCUCGAUUGGAAAUCUUCGUAAUGUCCAUGUACCAUUGAUGCAAUUCAUACAUUCUCGUUGGGAGCUUAUUGACCUCCUCUGGCUCGACCAAAGGUUGGCCCCGGACAUAUUUCCGUUUUAUUUCCUCCUCUCUAGUCGGAGACAUGGGCUCGAUAUCAAGGAGUUGUCCAACAGUGAUCCCGAUCGAUUCAGCCUGCGCAAUAUGCUCCUCGGUUAUUACCACAUCGCCCACCCCGGGAACGUUAACGGUUUGCCCACAAUAAUAUUGGGUGUGCCUAGUCUCAUGUGUUGUUGGCACAACAAGCGGGGGGAUUGAUUGCGCCGCCUAUUCUCCCAGCCGGGGAACGGUUUUACCGCUCCUUUUGCCAGCUGAUUUGCUCGAGCUCGAGCUCGCCUCUUUCUGUAGACGUGCUCGAUUUAACUUCUUGAUGUGGUGCUCAUAGUCUGUGUCAACAGGCUUGGGAGCUGUUGCUCUAGCCAUACGAAUGAAGUGGUCAAUCUUUUCCACAGGCACUUUCUCCCUUGGCGGCGGUGGCGGUUUCAGUGCAAAAUGGGCUUCCACCUCGGCCUUCGAUAUGGCUACGUUUUCCUCCUCGGACUUGUCGUAAGGCCUCUGCGGAAGAGGCGCAAGGCUUGGACCAUAUUGAAAUCGCUUGCCUCCGCCUGUACCUCCAGUACUACCUUGACUUGUACCGCUACGCACCAUAGCUGAGGCAGCUCUCUUCCAUGAUUGCUGAGGCGGCGAAGACGGCUGAUGUGGCUGAGUUGGAGGAGGAGGAGUGGCCUGAAGCUAUGCCGGACUUGGAGGAGGAGUGGCCUGAAGCUGUGCCGGACUUGGAGGAGGAGUGGCCUGAAGUUGUGCCGGACUUGGAGGAGGAGGAGUGGCCUGAAGCUGUGCCAGACUUGGAGGAGGAGUGACCUGACGCGUUGGUGGACUUGGAGGAGCGGGAGUCUGCUGACUCGGUGGCGGACUACGACGAGGAGUCGGAUGACACGGUGUCGAUGGCCUACGAAAGAUGAUGCAAUCCUUUCUCCAUAGGAUGAUACGAUGGUUGGCCUCUCCUAGUGUGUGCUCAUCGUCACCUCCAGGAAUGUCAAGCUCCAGCCCCGAAUAUUGGUCCACCACCUCAUCAACCAAGACACGAGCAUAGCCCGCUGGAAUCAGGUUGCAAUGGAAGGUUGCCUCCGGGGGAUUUGUAAAAGCAAGGUCGUCCGCCACCUUCAUGGAUAUGUUCUUCAUUUUGAAGUGUAGCUCGCAGUUAGUGUUCUCCGUGAUGUCAUCCACUGGGUACCUAUCCAGCAAUGCGUCGCCCGGGGCGGAACCCACGCUGCUUCUCGGCAUGGAUGGGAUGGUGCUAUCCAAUGGUGGAUCAUCCGCUAGCUGCUGAGACCCCCUUUGCUGGCUAAGUGAGUCGAUCUGCUCCUGCUGCCGCUGGAAUUUGACUGCCAAGUCCGCGUGUGCUGAUUCUAGGCCUUGAAGGCGUUCAUAGUCUAGCUUCCUCUGCUCCUCCUCCAUCUUCCUCUUCUUCUCCUCCGCAAUCUUCUUUCUCCACGGGUUCUGUAGUCGGUGUUCCAGUCUGGAAACCCCUCAUACCACGGAAUAGCGCCCAUGCCUCAUGUUCAGGAUUUUCCAGGGCACGCGUAAGCUCGUCGUUCUCUCUGUUGGGCUCAAACAACCCCGAUCGAGCCUCUUCUAUUGCAACAAGUAGCUUAUCUUCGGCUCCGUCCAGACAUGCCUUCUUCGAAACUUUGCCUGUCUUCGGGUCCAACUCCCCCCCAUGCGCAUAGAACCAAGUCCUGCACCUGGGGGGCCAUCUCAAUGUUUUUGGAGUGACACCUGCAUCCAGCAUCUCUUUCUCAGACUUAUCCCACUUAGGCAUUCCCACCGCAUAGCCACCUGGCUCCAGCUUAUGGAACUUAUCCUUUUUUGCGGCAUUGGCCUUGUUUAUUCUCGACCGUUCCUUAGAUAAUUCUGAAUCCUUGAAUUUCACGAAAUCGUCCCAAUGAGCACUUUGCUUCUCUAGUGUUCCCUCAAAUACUGGAGUCUUCCUUCCCCCGUUGACAUACUUGGCCCAUUCACAAAUCUUGUGGUUCUUGAAUGCAACCGCCAUCUUCCUAAGAGUAGCGUCCUUGACUUUCUCCACAUCUGCAUUUAUGAAAUGAUCUGGUAGGGUGAAAUGUUCCAUGAGCGUUUCCCAAAGCAGAAGCUUUUGUCUGUCGUCGACAAAAGUAACUCCUAGACGUGGCUUUGCUGGCUCUCUCCAUUCUUGAAGGGAGAUCGGGAGUUGGUCCUUCACAAGAACUCCGCACUGACGAAUGAACUUGUCUGCAAUCUUCUUAGGCGCUAAUGGUUCGCCAUUAGGUCUGAUGGCCUCGAUAUUGUACUUUACGCCCUCCUUCAACUUUUUGUUCGGGCCACGUUUCCUGUUGCCUAAAGAUUUGCUCGAUCCGGAUGGCUGAAAGAAGAAAGAUCGAUUCGUUAAUAUAUCUUCAAGUCAUUUAAAACAUGUGAUGAUCACCAGAUGCCUGCUUAUAUAAAUAUAUAUACCUUGCCGGUCUUUGUUGUUUCAAGAUCAACAUUUUCUUCGUCAUGUUCAUAGUUCAUGACUUCAUCAAUUCGGUCGUCGUGAUCGAAUAUCAUAUCACCCUCCCCGGUGUUGUUUAGAUAUUCGGAGCCGUCAUAAUCUUCUUCAUUCUGAUCAUCAUCUGGCCCGCGAGGAUUGCGUAUGAUAUUGAACGGGGCCUCUUCUCCCUCUCUGCCGGUAUUGUCCGCCAUAGGUUUUGUUUAACUAAUCCAAAAGAAAUAUAUUCAAAUUACAAUGCAUGGAUGCAAUCAAUUAAUAAGGAAAAACUGAAUCAAUCAUAGUACAUAAUAAGCAUCAUCGCAUAUAAUCUCGAAUACGUCGUCUCGAAUAAUAGAUAUAAUCUCGAAUACAUUGUCUCGAAUAAUAGAUAUAAUAUCGAAUACAUCACUAGCUAGCUAGCAAGCAAGCUAAUAAAGAUCGAAUACUACAGAGUAAUCUAGGCCACUCGCGGUUCCUGAGGUGCGGGCGGUGGACACCCAAAGAGAAGGAACCAUCACUGGAUCAUAGCUCGGGUGAUCUUCCAAAAGAACCUGCCAGGUAUUGGAGAACCUGACGUCCAUAGCAGCCAUGUAGCGAUGGACGUGCUCGUCCUCCUCCCUGACACGGCGAAGUACCACCUCUGGCGGGGUCGGCUCCCUCCGCACCGAAAGUGGCCCACGCGAACGCCACCAAAGGAGAUGAGGGUCGACGACGGGACCCGGGGCCGGGUUCCUCACCAAGCAUCGUGCCCCUGAAGGUAGCACCUCCCAGUGCCAGCCCGGCGGAGCCCAGUUCCUCACCAAGCAUCGCGCCCCUGAAGGUAGCACCUCCCAGUGCCAGCCCGGUGGAGCCCAGUCCCGGACAUGGGUCCUCUGAAGCAGGACAUCGUCGCGAACGGGUCGACGGCGAGGAUGCGGGCCGGGCGUCGUCGACAACAAAUACUAUAUGCCGCAAAAGUAAAGUAAUAUUUUUUAAAUGAUAGAUUGUGAUUUCAUAUAUGCAAAUUCUAAAUUUUAUAACUAAAACUAACAUUUCUAAUAUUUCUAUAACUAAAACUAACAUUUCUAAUAUUUCUAUAACUAGAAAACAUUUCUAUAUAACUAACAUUUCUAAUAUUUCUAUAUAACUAACAUUUCUAUAUAACUAACAUUUCUAUAACUAAAACUAACAUUUCUAAUAAUUCUAUAACUAAAAAACAGAAAGAUUGCUAACAAUUCUAUAACAAUGUGUGUGUGCGUGGUUGGCGGCCGGGGCACAGGAGCUCACCGGCGAGGCGCGACGACGGUGGGCGGCGACGGGGACGGGGACGGGGACGGAGACGGGGCAGAGACGAUGGGGAUGGGGCGGCGACGACGGGGACGGGGACGGGCCGGGCGGGGAUGACGUACGGGAGGACGGGGCGGGGCGCGGCGCAGCGACGGGGACGACGGGGACGGCGACGGCGACGGACGGCGACGGCGACGGACGGCGACGGGGACGGUGAUGGAAGGUGACAAGGGGCGGCGGCGACGGGGCAGAGGAGAAAGAAGCAGGGAGAGAUGAGAAACUGACAAUUUUUUGAAGUGUUUUCUUAUAUAGGACAACCUUUAGUACCGGUUAGAGCCACCAACCGGUACUAAAGGUCUGUUUUGGCCAGGCCAAGCGGCGGGAACGGCACCCCUUUAGUACCAUAUGAUGGCUCCAACCGGUACUAAAGACCCCCCUCCCUUUACUACCGGUUGGAGCCACGACCCGGUACUAAAGGGUGUGCGCUGCCAGGCGAGGGGCGCAAAAGUUUAGUCCCACUUCGCUAGCCGAGGGGCGCUCGCACCUGCUUAUAAGCCCCGUCAUCGUUGCUGUCUCGAGCUCCUCUCUUAAGCAGGCCUUCUGGGCCUACCUCUUCUGCGAUGCCCUGUUGGGCCUACUGGGCUAGCGGGCCUGCAUCCUGGCCCAACUAGAAUUUGGGUUUCUAGUCGUAUGCAGGCCGUUAUGGCCCAGUAGGUGGGCUUUUUUUGCUUUAUAUAUUUUUGUUUUAUUUAUUUUAGAGUUGUUUUUACUGCAUUUAGAGUUUGUUUGUGAAUAUUUUUGCUUUAGGUACAAAAAAUUACAAACUUUCUGUUAGUACCGGUAGUUUACAAAUUUGAAUAGUUUAAAUUUUGAAUUAUUUGAAAUUUGUGUGAAUGACUAGUUUGUGAAUAACUUAACUUUGAAAAUAGAUUUUUCAGUGAUUCUUUUUUCUUAUGUUUAAUAUUAGUGUGUUUUAUCAUUAUAUUCAAUUUGGUAAUGCUUAGGUUAUUUAAAAAUGAAAUGCCUUUGUAACGGAUGAGUUUUCAUCUGAAACCCUGAUACUUCGAAAGAGAUUGUCCAUUUUGUACACGAAGUGCAUCCAGUUUUUGCGGUAACCCUCUCUACUUUUUUGCACAUGCUAUGUGGGUGAAAUUAUGAUACCAUGCCAACUUUCAACCUUUUCUGAGUUUAUUUGAAAUGCUUUUCAAUUUCAGGGUCAUUUAGCUGAAAAAAAUCAGUAAAUGCAUGAAAGAAUUUGCUUGCACAUAAAAUUUCUUCGCGUUUCAAAUGCCAAAACAUAUAACUAGCUACCCUAACUAUUACAGAGACUCCCUCCUGGGUGUGGAACACUAAAGAAAGUGAUGAUAGUGAAGCCGAUCACAUCCCAGAUAUUUGGGUGUGAAACUUUUUCUUCGCGUGUGUCCCUUUCCGCCGUAGCCAUGGAAAAUCUUCAUCAUUUAACUGGAUGCUCGGGUCAAUAUUCACUGUGAAUGGAGCAAUUUCAUCAAACUUUUCAUAAUCUCCUGACAUUUCUGUCUUGUCAUCCACUCCCACGAUGUUUCUCUUCCCAGAAAGAACUACGUGCCGCUUUGGCUCAACGUACGAUGCAUUCGCUUCCUUAUCUUUUCUUUUUCUCGGCUUGGUAGACAUGUCCUUCACAUAGAAAACCUGUGCCACAUCAUUGGCUAGGACGAAUGGUUCAUCUGCAUACGCAAGAUUGUUGAGAUCCACUGUUGUCAUUCCGUACUGCGGGUCUUCCAUUACCCCGCCUCGUGUCAUAUUGACCCAUUUGCACCGAAACAAAGGGACCUUCAAACCACGUCGAUAGUCAAGUUCCCAUAUGUCCUAUAUAUAACCAUAAUAUGUUUCCUUUCCCAUCUUGGUUUCUACAUCAAAGCGGACACCACUGUUUUGGUUGGUGCUCUUCUUAUCUUGGGCGAUCGUGUAAAAUGUAUUACCAUUUAUCUCGUACCCUUUGAAAGUCAUUAUAUUCGAAGAUGGUAACUGGGACAGUAAGUACAGGUCAUCUUCAAUAGAGGCGUCAUGCAUGGUACGUGUCUGCAACCAGCUGGCGAAACUCCUGGUUUGUUCACGUGUAAUCCAGUCAUCAGACUGCUCCGGGUGUUUGGAGCGUAGCAAAUUCUUGUGUUCAUCCAUAUACGGAGCCACCAAAGCGGAAUUCUUUAGAACCGUGUAGUGUGCUUCGGUGAGAGAAUGUCCGUUCAUACAUAUUAUUUGUUCCCCUCCUAGCGUGCCUUUUCCAUCCAGUCUGCCCUUAUGCCACGAUUCAGGAACACCAAUCGGUUUAAGGUCAGGAAUAAAGUCAAUAAAAAACUCAAUGACCUCCUCAUUUUCAUGGCCCUUGGAGAUGCUUCCUUCUGGCCUAGCACGGUUAUGAACAUAUUUCUUUAAGACUCCCAUGAACCUCUCAAAGGGGAACAUAUUGUGUAGAAAUACAAGACCCAAAACGUUAAUCUCUUCACAUAGGUGAACUAGGACGUGCGUCAUGAUGUUGAAGAAGGAUGGUGGGAACACCAACUCGAAACUGACAAGACAUUGCACCAAAUCAUUCUCUAACCUUGGUAUGAUUUCUGGAUCAAUUACCUUCUGAGAGAUUGCAGUGAGGAAUGCACAUAGCUUCACAAUGGCUAAUCGAACAUUUUUCGGUAGAAGCCCCCUCAAUGCAACCGGAAGGAGUUGCGUCAUAAUCAUGUGGCAGUCAUGAGACUUUAGGUUCUGAAACUUUUUCUCUGCCAUGUUUAUUAUUCCCUUUAUAUUCGACGAGAAGCCAGAUGGUACCUUAAUACUGAGCAGGCAUUCAAAGAAGAUUUCCUUCUCUUCUUUGGUAAGAGCGUAGCUUGCAUGACCCUGAUGUAUGCCAUCUUUUCCGUGCAUACGUUGCUGGUCCUCCCGUGCCUCAGGUGUAUCUUUUGUAUUCCCAUACACGCCCAAGAAGCCAAGCAGGGUCACACAAAGAUUCUUCGUCACGUGCAUCACGUCGAUUGCAGAGCGGACCUCUAGGUCUUUCCAAUAGGGCAGGUCCCAAAAUAUAGAUUUAUUCUUCCACAUGGGUGCGCGUCCGUCAGCAUCAUUUGGAACAGGUUGUCCACCAGGACCCUUUCCAAAGACCACCUUCAAAUCCUUGACCAUAUCAUGUACAUCAGCACCAGUACGGUGGCGAGGCUUCGUCCGGUGAUCCGCCUCACCUUUGAAAUGCUUGCCUUUCUUUCUUACGGGAUGCCUGCUCAGAAGAAAUCGACGAUAUCCCAAGUACACAUUCUUCUUACAAUUAGCCAAAUAUAUACUGUCGGUGUCGUCCAAACAGUGCGUGCAUGCGCGGUAUCCCUUGUUUGUCUAUCCUGAAAGGUUACUGAGAGCAGGCCAAUCAUUGAUGGUCACGAAUAGCAACGCCUUUAGGUCAAAUUCUUCCCCCAUGUGCUCAUCCCACGCACGUACACAUGUUCCAUUCCACAGUUGUAAGAGUUCUUCAACUAAUGGCCUUAGGUACACAUCAAUGUCGUUGCCGGGUUGCUUAGGGCCUUGGAUGAGCACUGGCAUCAUAAUGAACUUCCGCUUCAUGCACAACCAAGGAGGAAGGUUAUACAAACAUAGAGUCACAGGCCAGGUGCUAUGGUUGCUGCUCUGCUCCCCAAAAGGAUUAAUGCCAUCUGCGCUUAGACCAAACCAUACAUUCCUUGCGUCAUCUGCAAACUCCUUCCCGUCAUCUGCGACCCGUCAGCGGGUACUCUCAACUUUCCGUCUUUCUUACGGUCUUCUCUGUGCCAUCGCAUCGCCUUGGCAUGCUCUUUGUUUUGGAACAAACGUUUCAACCGUGGUAUUAUAGGAGCAUACCACAUCACCUUGGCAGGAAUCUUCUUCCUGGGGCGCUCGCCCUCGACAUCACCAGGGUCAUCGCGGCUGAUCUUAUAGCGCAAUGCACCGCAUACUGGGCAAGCGUUCAAAUCCUUGUACUCACCGCGGUAGAGGAUGCAAUCAUUAGGGCAUGCAUGUAUCUUCUGCACCUCUAACCCUAGAGGGCAGACAGCCUUCUUUGCUUCGUACGUACUCUCAGGCAAUUCGUUGUCCUUUGGAAGCAUAUUAUUUAUCAUUACCAGCAACUUUCCAAAUCCCUUGUCAGAUACACCAUUCUCUGUCUUCCAUUGUAGUAAUUCCAGUGUGGUGCCCAGCUUUUUCUUGUCACCUACGCAAUUCGGGUACAACAUUUUUUUGUGAUCCUCUAACAUGCGCUGCAACUUCUUCUUCUCCAAAUCACUUGCGCAGUUUCUCUUUGCAUCGGCAAUGGCCCGACCUAGAUCAUUAACGGGCUCAUCUGAUGCCUCUUCUUCAGCUUCUUCCCGCAUUGUCGGCUCAGCUUCUUCCCGCAUUACCGGCUCAGCUUCUUCCCUCAUUGUUGUAUCAUCGUAUUCAGGGAACCCAUGGCCAGGAUAGCUGUCGUCGUCCUCUUCUUCUUCAUUGUCUUCCAUCAUAACCCCUCUUUCUUCAUGCUUGGUCCAAACAUUAUAGUGGGGCAUGAAACCGGACUCAAACAGGUGGACGUGAAUGGUUCUUGAUGUAGAGUAAUUGUGACCAUUCUUACAGCCAGCACAUGGACAAGGCAUAAAACCAUCCGCCCGCUUGUUUGCCUCAGCCGCAAGCAGAAAAGUACGCACGCCAUUAAUGAACUCAGGACAGCAUCGGUCAUCGUACAUCCAUUGCCGGCUCAUCUUCAAUACACAGCACCGAAAACACCAAAUUAAUACAAUACAUAAAGUUCAUACAUAAAGAUCAUACAACACUUAAUGCAACAAACAAAUAACUCUCUAGCUAAAGAAUUUAAAUGCAACAACAAAUGCGAUCAAGAUUGCAACUAAGGUAACAAUUGAUCCAACAGCAUAAUGAUACCAAGCCUCACUAUGAAUGGCAUAUUUUUUAAUUUUUCUAAUCUUCAAGCGCAUUUUCUCCAUCUUAAUCUUGUGAUCAUCGACGACAUCGGCAACAUGCAACUCCAAUUCCAUCUUCUCCCCCUCAAUUCUUUUCAAUUUUUCCUUCAAAUCCUCGUUUUCUCUUUCAACUAAAUUUAACCUCUCGACAAUAGGGUCGGUUGGAAUUUCUGGUUCAACUACCUCCUACAUACAAAUAUCUAUGUCAACUUGAUGGGCAUAAUUUGUCAUAAACACGAAAUGCAAUGAAUAGUUUUAAAAGAGAAUAUACCACAUCCGAAUCAUAAUCCGGACGAGGGCCGACGGGGACGGAUAUCAAAACCAUGGCACUAUGUAUAACAAACAAUGUAUGGGUAAGAUAAUUAUACGAGUAACUAUAUAUCCAAAUCACACAAACAUCAAUUUUUUAUAUAAAACUUCAUGAACAAGAGGCUCACCACAAGGUGGUGCCAGCGACGGGACGUUGCGAGCGAUCGAUGGUAGUUACGACGGAGAUUUAGAAGGUACUAAGUAAACCACACCUACAUAUGCAAACUAAGUGUUAUUUUUGACCUCAAAUUGCAUAUAAAUCAAAUACUAGCACAUAUAUAUAAUUCCUCCCAAAUUACUAAACUCAAAAAUCAAUCACUAUAUAAAGCAUUGCACGAGCUAAUCUAGCAAUGAAAGAUGAAAGGACAAAGUUGCUAACCUUUGUGAUCAUUUGAAUGGAUGGGGGCCUUCAUAUCUUCACAAAUUUUGGGCAAAAUGUGUGAUGAGCUUGAGAGGAAGAGGGAAAAGAACGGAGAGGAGAGGGGAAAGGGGAAGAACAGAGCGAGCUCGGGUGGACAAAGGGUCUAUGUAGGACGACCUUUAGUACCGGUUCAUGAUACAACCCGAUACUAAAGGUGCUGGAGGGGCCCCGGACUGACAACAUCCUGCCACCACUCACUUUAGUACCGGUUCGUGGCACGAACCGGUGCUAAAGGUUCGCCACGAACCGAUACUAAUGAGAGCGGCCGGCUAGCCGUUGGAAUCGGCACUAAUGCACACAUCAGUGCCGGCUCAAAUUCAAACCGGCACUAAUGCGCUUCACGUUUGACCCUUUUUCUACUAGUGCUUGCCACUAUCCACUUUGCUAAUGGGAAUGCUAGGACAAUCACGUGGAUGAGCAAAGAUGAGUGCUUCUCUGCACCUUGGAAGGAUUUUGUAAGACUGCUUCGAUAUUUCGGGAUGGAGGGAGUACUAGAACAUAAGCGUUAUGGUUACUGCAGCCCAUUUUGCACCUGAUUGUUUUUUUAGAAAUUGGUAGAUAGUAUGUACAUAAAUUAUAAAUAUUUUAAUAAAAAAUGUGAGUUAUAAUUUCAUAAUUUAAAAGUUAAACUGUUGACACGAAUAUUCAACAGUGUUUAAUAUUUAAAUUAUAUAAUUUUUUGAAUAUUAGUCAUGGGUAAAUAUUAUACAUAAGUGAACAUUCGUAAAUAUUUAGAGUGUAUAUAUUUUUUGGAUUCAUUAAACAUAUUUAUUUAAUAAACAUUUUCAAUGUCGGUAUUAACUAAAUAUUUUUAUAUAAUAGACAAGUUUAUAUUUAAAUGUUUUUAUUCUAAUGAUCAUUUGCAUUGCAUGUAUAAUGUUUUUAGAAUGUUACUUUAUUAAUUACGUGUUACAAGUAGUGCGCGCAAAAUAGGCGCAGUAUGUUCAGCAUAUUUAAGUUGCACAUGCGUUUGCUUGUUAGUACACGUACUAUUUACGCUGGAACUUGAUUAGUGGAUUGGUUGGAGUACCUCGCGUCGUAAGCGUUCGGAACCUGGCUUCCCCUUUUUCUUUUUCUUUUUGUUAAUUCUGGUAUCUAAGAGCUGAGCAGUGUGGCUUUUCUGCAAAUUAAAAAAUAUUAGGGGAUUUUGCUCAGAAAUCCCUCGCGAUGGUCAGCUUUUCCGCAAAUAAAAAAACGAGUGUGUUUUUGUGCAAAAAAAAGUCUCGGCCAAGCGCCUUCACUCGCUGACAUAUGGGUCCAUACACACGGAUACCCCUGCAUACGCAUUUGUGACUGUAUUUGCACGCUUGAGUCAAGUUUAGCGACCGCAAUUCCAUAUUUUCAAAGUUAUAGCACCAAACUUCGAGUGCAAGUAUUAUGACUUCUGAUGAUAUUACCUCUCUUAAGAAAACAGAAUACGGUGUUUUGGUGGGGUCUUUGUGGUGUGAUUCAGUGUUAUCUGCCGAUCAACCCAUGCUUAUAUGAAAAAAAAAUCUAUGUCGGUGGAUGCAUUUAUUAUAUUGGUGUUACAUUACAUACCAGCGUUUCUUUUUUCGGGGUGGUGAGUGGGUGCACGGGACUGAUAUGUUUUAUAGUCCGGUUGCUGUCAAUUGAUUUGAAAAGUGUUGACUUGGUGAGACAUGAACCAAAUCCAAAAUUAAGUACCUUAAUCGAAUCAGAGAGCUCCUAAACUAGGGAGCAUAAUGAAUUAAAAGAAUUAUUGAUGCUAUAGUAUCAGUGCUGAUAUGUUUUAUAGGCCAAUUGCUGUCAAUUGAUGACAAAUCAUUGAUCCGAUCAAAAUCGUAAACUGAAUUCAAAAGUGAAUACCUCUAAGAUUAGGGAAUAUAGUGAAUUAAAAGAAUUGGAUGAGAGAGCUCCUUAUAAAAUUAUAUUAUUGGCCCCUUAGAAAACUUUAAAAGGGUCUUUUCGUUAAUCUGCAUUAAGUAAGCGGUUAGGCAUCUUCAAUGCGGACCUCACACCGCCUGUAAACGUCCAGACAUAAUUGUCCAGGCACUGCAAACCAUCCAGCGCAGUCCGGACACCACCGCCAUGUACGCGUUUCGCAUGCCGGUCCCACCCCAAUAACCUCUCCCGCUUGACCUCUCGUCUGCUCCUCGCGUCACAUUCAUGCCUGGAGCCGGCAUUGAAGCGGUGCGUCGACCGAGAGCGUCGCUCGCGCCGCGUCCCGGUCUCCACACCUGUUUAAUGUCAGAGAGACGUGACCGGACGAGACGGGACGAGGUCAGGUCCGGUGCGGUGGGUUGGUUGGUGAGGACCAGUUCCAGUGUGACCACUUUUGUUUUGAUAUUGUGCAAACAAACUAGGCAAAACCCCAAAGAAAUGUUUACUCUUCCAAUGGAUCGGUUAGAGUUGCUCUAAUAUAAUGAAGAUCACCGAUGAACUGAAGAAACUAGAUACUACCAUGUACUCCCUCCGAUGCAUAUUAAUUGUUGUUGCUUUGGUACAACUUUAGUACAAAGUUGUAGUAAAGCAACGACAGUUAAUAUGGAUCAAAGAGAGCAGAAGAUAUCACUUCUGUGCCGGUUAUGAUUCAGCUUCUCGUUUCAAAUAAUGCUGGAUCAAAAUGUUGCACAUUUAAGUCAGUUUAAGCGGGUCCUAAAUAUUUCGGUGGCAUGUGCAUCUGACCCAAAUUCAUACAGAACACAAAUUAACUUGGUCAUACUUCCAAAAUUCAGUGCUCAGACGAAUUUAUGAUAACAAAUUACAAGUCAUUACUUCGGUUUAGAGAAUAUAACUCUGAUAGUAGCUUAAUUCUUGACAUACAUUUCGACAUAUAGAAACAGGAGAAUUCAGAGACUAUAUAAAUCAGUAGAGCGAGAGCAGUCGUCCAUGCCCACCCAAUUCUGGAGCGACCUUGGAACGGGAGGUACUUGGACAUCCAGAACGCCUUCAAGCAUCUGAACAACUUGCCCCAUCAUUGGCCUAUGAUCUUCAGCAUCCUGAAUGCACCAGCAUGCAGUUCUGCAAGCCCUGAUCAGCUGCUCCACAUCCACAUCCACAUCGUCUUCCAACCUGCUGUCCAGCAGGCACAUAACAUCUCCUUCAUUCACCUUGACUGCAGCAAAGAUGGGAAAGUAAGUAAACCUCCCCUGUUUGAUUUUCUCCGCAUUCGCCCCGAUACGAUUUCAAGAAGCAUCAUUCCGUAGCUGUAGGCAUCAGCCUUAUGCGUGAUCGGUAGCCCUGAGAUCCACUCCGGCGCAAGGUAUCCGAUGGUCCCACGCAUCGUUGUCAAUGCCCUGCUAAAAUCCCGGCCAAGAAGUUUGGCCAAACCAAAGUCUGCAACCUUAGGACAGAAAUCUGCGUCAAGGAGUACAUUGUCCGGCUUCAUGUCACAGUGUAUGAUACAGUCCGUGCAUCCCUCAUGCAGGUAAGCCAAGCCUCUUGCAGUUCCAAGUGCUAUCCGGUACCGGACCUCCCAGCCCAAAGCUGCCGGGCUUUUCGAAAACAGAUGAGAACUCAAAGAUCCAUUCUCCAUGUACUCGUACACCAGCAGCCUUUUACUUCCUUCGGCACAAAAUCCAAAUAAACGAACAACAUUGAUGUGUUGGAUCAUUCCAAUCGUUUGCACUUCCGCUCGGAAUUGCUUCUCCCCUUGUCCAAAUUCUUUUAGCUUCUUGACAGCCACCACAGAGGAACCUUGCAAUGUUCCCUUGAAAACACAGCCAAAACCUCCUUCUCCAAGCUUUACCGAGAAAUUUCCGGUAGCUUUCUUUAUCUGGGCGUUUGAGAAGAUCGUGAGGCUGCUGUUCGAAUUCACCGGUCUGUCCAUAAAUGACUUCUUCUGGAUUAUCCGCAAAAGAACUAGACCAGUGAGGACGAGGGUUAACACAACUAUCACUGUUGAAAUAACAAUUUGUAUCUUGUGAAUAUGUGGAGCAUGAGCAGACCACAACACAGAUCCACAUUCCCCAAGUUUAGCUGCAGUCAUAGUACCGCCGUUAUUCAGCUGUACAUAUACACGUGCAUCGCUGAACAGGAGAAAAUUGCCUCCAUCUUGAUGUAUCCCCAUCCAGCUGGGGAAAGUGCCGUGAUAAAUUUCAUGAUAAUCUUCCUUAUUGGAAACAUAUUCAUCAAUCUGUUCGACAAUAAACCCUCCACCUUGGUUUGGAUUCAUAGCCAGAACUAAACCAUAGUUGUAAUCCCAGGAUAUAACAGAAGCAUGGGGAAUAAGGAAGAUGUUGUUGCUCGUGUUUCUAUUAAAUCCCAGCCAUCCUCCAGGCAGCAGUGUACCAAUUGGAUUAUCAAAGCUUUGCCAGAUCACCAGUGAACUCUUCACUGGAUCUCUUAUUACGAGAUUUCCAUUGUCAAGAAGCACUGUGAGUAGAGAAGUAGUAGUACUAUUUAUAACUUCUGAUGAAUACGGAUAUGAUGACCAUCCAGGAAUUAUUCCACCGCUAACUGGAAUACAGUCUAGUUCUAAGUUGCCAUAGGUUGUGAAGCCAAAGCUCGAGUACACAGGGUAACAGUUUGUGGAAUCACCUAAGGGCGACCAAACUAGAAGAGGGCGACAAGCUGAUGACUUAAUAUACCAUAUGCCAAACGUAGAAUCAUAACCACAAGGAGGAAACAGGCAGUCGAAACCCAACUUGAAGGCACCAUUUUUCGAAAGCAAGGUCUGGUUACCACUUAGAAAUUGGCCCGGAAGGAGAGUAUCAGUUGCAUACGCAAAUUUAGAACCUGAAGACAUGACCUUGAUCAUCAAGUAGAGAAGUAUUACUGCAAACUCUAUGUGGAUGUUCCAACUCCAAAAGCAAGUUGAGUCGAGGGUGGUGAUUUCGAAAUGUUUGGGCUGAAUAAAAGCAACUCCAAAAACACUCAAUAAACUCGAAAAGUGUGUGGAAAUUAUUGAGUCAUUCAUGACAAGUCCUAAUCAUCCUGGAAAAUGUUUCGACUCCCUCGCCCUAGGACAAAGGUAAGUUCCUUUUCUUCUGCUUGUGGAUGUUGGUGUUAGCCAAACUUGCUUGCUGGCUGGCUAGCUGCUGUGGAGCGAGACGUUUGGUUGAAAAAAACAGCCAAGGGACACGGACGGCAUUGAUUGUUGGGCUGAAGACUGCUGACCCUGGAAAAGCACUUGAUAAUCUCUAAAACCAUUGUAAUAAGCAACAAAAAGAAACAAUGUCCAAGACAUGAGUUCACCCCAUACAUCUAGCAGGGAGAAUGACUCACCUCGAGCCCGCUCUUCCGGUGCAGACGCUGCCUUUGCGGUGGGCAAUUUCUCCAAGCAUAUAUCUAGCAGGGUUCGUGCAAUUUCAUCAAUGUUUCAGCUAGUAGAGAAAUUGCUGAGGCAUGUACGUACCAAGCAGCAGGUUUCAGGAGACAAAUGUUUGAGAAAAACUAAUGUAUGUACCCCAGCAUGCACGCAUGCUUGCUUGCUUGCUUCAUUCCCAGUUUAACCAGCUUCUGCACUCCUUCCUCAACAUCAAGACAACACACAGGCACAGGUACAUGAGCUUCAGCACGUAGUCGUUCAUACAUCCACAAACAUCACUGGUCUUACUCUGCUUGUUACUCAACCUGUCCUUGCCUAGUACAGACAGACAGACAGAGAAGAACACGCUAGUACAAACAGCUCUACCCUCAGAUCACGUCCUUCUCCUUCUCCCUCCCUACACUACACAGGCUAGCUAGCACAGGACAAGCACUGGCAUGACAUGCACCACCUUGUCUGUCUAUUCUACGGCUCCUUCACCACAGCCUUGAGUGCAUCCCCGGCCGUCACCCUCAGUGGCACGAAAUCUGGACACACGCAAAACAAACGGCAAGAUGUCUGUCUGUCAGCACCACCCAGUCUUUGCUACACACAUACUACGCAGGCAUCUGCGGAUUUAAACAGAAAUAGGGUAAAACAAGCUUUACCUGAUAGGAACUUGUACCGUUUCUCCUUGCACACCGCCGUCGCUGAAAAGAUAUAUAGGACAGCAGAGUCAUUGUAAGAUUUGUGGUUUUAGAUUAACUUGGAAUUGAUACAAGAACGGUUCAGAUUUAUCAACACCAACAGUAGAGGAAAUGAUGAUAACUUUAGGGUACUCGCAGUUCUUUUAAAUAAAGAACCCUCAAGUCUUUGGAAAGUAAUAUUUGGCAUCCAACAAAACAUGUCUGGUUCCUUGAAAAACAAACUUGAUAUCAAAUUUGCUAGCACAACACCCAAUGUAUCAAGCGCUAAUACAGGCUAAGGAUUGCAACCGAUAAUGGGAAAACAGAUACCCACUUCAAUUACUCAUGCAAGAUGUCCUAGGGGAUGUGACAUAGCCUACUCAGACAAGAGUGGCGAAAACCAUCGUAACAAUAGGGUAAGACAUUAUGACCACUUGCUUUACUAAUGAGUAUCAUAUCAAAUGCAUCCACUGUAUGGUCUACAGAGGCUCUUUAUUUCGACAUGAACUGUCUUUCAGGCAGCAUAGUCAACAAACAAGAUAAAUGGGUUCCUAGAUAAGGAUACAGCAAACAAAAGGAGGGUCAACUUACAAAGGUUCUCGUAGGUAAUUGACUUUUUACGUUCCUUCAGGGCAUUCUGAUGAGCAUCCUUCGCAAAUACCUCCAAGAAUAACUCCUGCAGGUGCAUGUGUAACAUGAAUAUAUAUAUAACACGAUAACACUAUCCAGUUCGAGAUUCAGUACAUGUCAUAAUCACUGCAUACCAAAAGAAAAUGGCACUGGUACAUAAAUACAAGUUGCAACAAAGAUAAACGAGGUACACCAGCCACUGUUUCCCAUAACACUUUUGAAAUACUCCCUCUGUAAACUAAUAUAAGAAUAAUUUAGAUCACUACUUUAGUUUAGUGAUCCAAAUGAUCUUAUAUUAGUUUACAGAGGGAGUAUCGUGCAAGCAAAGAGAAGCCACUCCAACAAUCUGAUCCUUGCUUGGUGUUACUUUUCUUGUCACAUCCAUGUCGUAAUUACUCCCUGUCGUUCUCACUUCUCGGGAUUAUUUUUUACUCGUUGGGCAUCGCUUCAGGGUAGCUCACAUUACAUUUCCUAGAAUUCAAGAGGCUAUUUUAGAACUGAACUUUAGAACAAGAAUGAUGACAUUCUAAUAGCAUCCUCACUGAAACUGAAAUCCAUGCACAUUACAGAAGUCUAAGCACCAGAACUCACUUGGCAGAUUGGAAAUCUGAAUUUUGAAUUUUGAAUCAGCAGAAAUAGACAACACUAUCCCAUUGAAGAUUCAGUAGAUGUCAUAAUCACUGAGUACCAAAAGAAUGGCACCGAUACAUAAAUACAGGUUGCAACGAAGAUAAACAGGGUACACCAACCAUUGUUUCCCCCCAAUAUUUUCAAAAAAAAUGAAAAAUGGUCAAACAGCAAGGAAAGAGAAGCAUUUGGUUGGGGGAGGGGGGGGGGGGCGACAAUUUUAGCUUUGCUUUGGGUCACUUUACUUGUCACGUGCAUGCCUAAAUCUCUCCGCCUAAAUAAAAGAUAAAUUUGUUCUCGGGGCAAAUUUCCUUUUCUUAUUGGUCGGGCAUCACCUUCAGGCUAGCUUGCAUUAUCUUGUCUAGAAUUCAGGACACUGGAUUUUUUUUAUUGAACUGAACUUUUUAGAACAAGAAGGAUGCCAUUCUAAUAGAAUAUGUUCCCAGUCAGAUACUUGGAUGAUCUCAGCAAGCUUAUAAUUCUUAUGAACCUGGAUGCCAUAAAUGUAAAUUAUCAUUGCAACCUUUUUAGUUGACAACUGAAAUCUACAUGAGUUAGUGCACUACAGGAGGUAACUAUGCAAUCAGGCCACGCUUGUUAUACACUUAUACCACACUGUCAGCUUACACAGGUCAACUUCCUCCUCAGUCUGCUAUGCUGCAGGUACAGUUUAAUCAUGUUGAACCAAAAGACCUUCAUCUAGUGAUUGAUGAAUUACAAAUACCAAUCCCGAAAGAAAAAAACUCUAUUGGUUAGUGAAGAAUUACAGGACUUCCAGCGGUUGGUGCUAUGAACUUAUGGUCUCCUCAGCAGGACCAGAAAGUAAGAAACAAAUUCACUUGCCAGACUGGACUUCCAACUUAUGGCCAUCUUGUUUGGUGCUCGAAAAGAAUUACAAGAAGCAAUUAGAAUUUUGCUGGAAGAUAAGCACGUGAGUUAGCAAGAUAAAGAAGAAACAGCACGAAGAUGAAUCAAACUAUUGGAGCAAGUAGAGGCAACGGGAGGUGGGCAGUGCAGUGACUAUGUACUUGUGCAUAACGUUGUUGCUGCCUUGAUUACGGACAAAACCACUACAACUAGUAGGCAGUAGCAUAAGCCAGCUUUCAGAACAAUGUUGCCAGGCUGGCAGCACUGCACAACUGUCGGGGGGGAGAGAAAUGCAUCGACCACCAAGUAAACUGGCUGGUUGGGUAGUCUAGGAUUCCUUCUACUCCUCUUUUGGAUGAUGGCUGAAGCUUGAUAUUCCAGUGCAAAUCUUACUACAUACUCCCUCCAUCCCAAAAUAAGUGUCGUUUAUUUAGUACAACUUGACACUUAUUUUGGGACAGUGGGAGUAUAAAUUAAAUUUUAAAACGAACAUUUCAUCUACUAAUUUAGCUCAUCCAUGACAUUUAUGAAUUUACAAGAAACAAUAUGUUUAAGGUGAGCCUGGGAAUAUUAAGCUACAUAAUGAGCAAUCUCAUAAAUUUAGCUCAUCCAUGAAUGACUAACAAUCAAAUACAAGUUCAGCAAUAGUAGAAACAAUCUGGAAAUACAACACCAUUUUACUAACACCGGUCAUAUUCUUCCAUCCAAAAAAAGAACACCAAUUUUUCUCUCUAGAUAACACGGUUUCCUACCACUUCGACACGAUAUUUCAAGUGGAUAUGCUUAGGAAAAACCAAAGUGAAAACAUGGACGAAAUGUGCACAUCUACAGCAGAAAUAGACAGUACUAUCUACAAAUCACUGCAAAACAUGCCAAGAAAGACGUCCUCACAGUUCACUUGUGAGACAGUUUUGUACUGCCAGCAGCAGAAGCAGACACAGCUUAUUAUGUUGACAUUUGGCUCAGCACAAAAUCAAGCUUUGACAUCUCAGACAACUUUACACUGGAAUAUUGACUGACCAAGGGUAGAGACAAACGAUCGACAGUGAGAACACGACAGACAACUCAUCGAACACCUUGUGGGCGUUGAUGGGCUGAUAGCACAACCAAUCUAAAUCUCACUAGCUAGCAUAGAUUCCACCCAAAAUCAUGGCAUUCUGAUAGGAUGACACCAAGCUUCAGUCCUGACUGAAAUUUCUAAUUGCCAACACAGAUCACUGCAUAACUUGCAUUCAGAUUUUUCAGAGUAAAAGUUGGGGAAGUCUUACCGAGGCCUUGUUGACGAGGAAGACGGUCUCAUUGUUAGAUCGGAUGGUGGCGUCCUUGUCCCGCAUCAGCAGCCGCACCCGCGCCAUCGGGAAGCUGCAGGUGCCCGGCUCGGCAGCCACCGGCGCCGCCCCUGCUGCCUUGCCCUUCUGUUUCUUCGCAGGCGAAGAGCCAUUCUGCCCGCUCUUCGCCGCCUUUGGGGAUUCCAGAUCGCCAUGCUUCCUCUUGCUCGGUGUGGCCUUCUCCGGCCCGCCGGAGGCCUGCUGCUUCUUGGUCGGCGUGGCCUUCUCCGCCUUGCCGGGGCUUUUCUUGGCGCUCUUUGCCUCCUUCUUCUGGGGUGUCUUGCUGGGUGUGGUGGCCUUCUCAGCACCGCCGGAGGAGGCUUGCUUCUUCUUGGUGGGCGUGGCCUCGUCCACUUUUUUGGCGCUCUUGGCCGACUUCUGGGGUUGGGGUUCCCCGGCGUCGUCGCGCUUCCUCUUGCUGGGCGUCUCCUUGGCCGCCCCGUCUGAGGCCUGCUGCUUCGCCUUCUUGGGCGUGGGCUUGGGCUUGGGCUUCCCCGCUUCGCCGGACGGCUCCUGCUUCCCGGAUCCGGAUCCGGGCUCCGCCGCCUCGCCGCCCUUCUUCUCCUUCUUCUUUGGGGUCGCCGCCGUGUCCCCCAUCUUCUCCUUCCCUCCCUUCUCCCCCUUCUCCUUCUUCUUGGUAGCAACCUUCUCCCCCUUCUCUUUCUUCUCUGGCGCCGCCGCCUUCUCCCCCUUCCCCUUCUUCUUCGGGGGCGCCGCCUUGUCCCCCUUCUCCUUCUUCUCCGGCGCCGCCGCCUUGUCCCCCUUCUCCUUCUUCUCCGGCGCCGCCGCCUUGUCCCCCUUCUCCUUCUUCUCCGGCGCCGCCGCCUUGUCCCCCUUCUCCUUCUUUUUCGGGGUCGCCGCCUUCGCCUUCUCUUUCUCCCCCUUCCCCUGCUUCUUCGGGGUCGCCCCCUUCUCCCCCAUCUCGCUCUUCCCGGGCUCCGGAGCAGAGCCCUUGCCGGACUCGGCGGGGGCGGCGACCUUCUUAGGCCUCCCGGCCCCGCGCUUGGCAGUGGAGCCGGGGCUGGCGCCGGCGGCGGCGGGGACGGGAUCCUUCUUAGGCCUCCCAGGCCCGCGCUUGGCAGUGGAGCCGGGGCUGGCACCGGCGGGGACGGGGUCCAUCUUAGGUCUGCCGGGCCCGCGCUUGGCAGUGGAGCCGGGGACGACGGCACUCUCCUCACCCUCGGAAGGCACGGAGCUCACCGCGGCGCUCUUCUUCCCGGCCAUGCCCGCCUCCCUCCGCCGCCCAAACCCUCGCCGAGAGCUCUGGAGUUCAAAAUCUCUCGGGGCCGCGCCGAAGCUUCGCGAACCAACCGAGAAAUGGGCGCUCUUUUUUAUGUUAGCCACGGCUACGGUUGUUUUCACAAACCAAACCAAAACCCAACGCCUUUUGUGUUCCAAAGCAAACGUCCACAACUCCACAUCUCGAACGGGUUUGCCAUUUCAAAGGUUUUCCUGCAUGUGAACGAAAUUUGUAAAUCCAAGAUUUGUCGCAACUAUUCUGACACGUCUGUAGCUUGGCACAUGUUUGUCGGUGAGGUCUGACUUUGUUUGCUUUGAGGUUCGAGGGUAUUUCUUGGUACCAAAUAAAUGCCACAGCUAGUUUUUGCCUAUUCUGACACGUCUAUGGCUCGGUACAUGUUUUGUCGGUUGUGCUUAUUCAAUUGGACGAUGCAAGUUCCGACUUUGCGUGCUUUUGGGAUCGAGGGUAUUUCUUGGUACCAAAUAGAUGCCCCCGCUAGCUUUGCCUAUUUUUGCGGAAGUGUGAAAUUAUGUGCCUGUUUCAUAUGCCAGUUAAGCGGACGACGGAUCGAGGCUUCUCCGAUUAUCUAAGGAAAAAGGUUGCUCCCUCCUUUCCAAUAUAAAGGAUCGAUAGUUUGGUUGCUAUCUUCGAGGGUGAUGACAUCCUCAUAUGACUCCAUUCACCUUCUCAAGCAAAAACAGCAUACGUAUUGCUAGAGAAAGAUAUGGCCAACGAUCAUCGUUGUUUGCCAUUAAACAUUGGGAUAGAUAUAAAACGCAAACAAAGAUAAUUGUUUUGCGUAAGAGCCCCAACUUUACUCCGAUUUGCAAGGAAAAGGCAUGCAACCCAAGGCAAUAUUAGGAAGGGCAGCACAAUGUUUUUACGUGCUCAUACAUGUCAAACUCAGGUUCAUUGGCGUCGGCAGCCAUCUUGCCAACCAUGAGGCGCCACUCCCACUUAUCUGUUGUACGGAAUGCAGGAGGGGCUGCGUGUUGUGGUUCGUCUCCCACACUAAGGCAAACCCAUUUAGACACUUAUAAAAGAGAUAUAACAAUGUUUAUAGAUAUUAAAGUAGUGAUUUAAACACUCUUUAUAUUUCUUUACAGAGGGAGUAGUGUUGAAUUAGUAUGAACAGUGAUGGCACUGUUUGCCCUGCCAAAAAAAAAUGAAUGUACUGUCUGAAUAAAGAUCAAGUGUACUACCUUUAUUAUUAACUCUAACUACUAAUGACGGUCAGCCAUUUUAUUUGGCAUACUAACUGCACUGUGCAGUUGUCCUAUAGGAAAUUACUACACCCUGCCAUGCGUACUCCCUCCCUGUAAAUAUAGCUGUCAUUUUCGCCUCUAACAUGCAGACCCUACACAUGGUCUGCCGUAAUAAAAUACUACUAUCUUCAUCUCAUAAUAUAAAAGUGUUUUUAACCGUGUUAAAACCAUUUUUAUACUAUGGGACGAAUGAAGUAUCAAACUGCAAAAACGUCUUAUAUUUAGAAAAGGACGGCGAACGAAUACGUGCAGAUAAUCGGAUCAAACCGUGUCAGUUGUAUUCCUUCGGCCAGCGUUGUGGACUUGUGUGGACGAUGGAGCUUGAAGAAUGAAGAUGAGGGGCACUGGUUCUAUGGCAGCUCAGAUUUUGGACUCGCGCCGAAUCCGGGUUGCAUAAAUUUCUCAUCAUCACUUGUUUUCUUCUUUUAGGAAAAUUCUAGUGACCAAACUAAUAUUCAGUUCAAUAGGAGUACUCAGGGCCGACCCAUAGGCCAUGCAAACAGGGCGCCCGCCCUGGGCCCCGGCCCAGGUAUUCCUUCUCUGGUGAGUAGAAUGGGCAAAGGAAUGUACAAUGGAAAAAAAAUGAAGGCCCAAGGAGCCGUGCUAUGGAAAACCGACCUGCAAAAGUCACGUCUGUUCGCACUGGAUCAUCAUCGUUCUCGUCUCUUCAGCUUCGUGACUGCUACAACAGUUGAUCGUAGCAUUAGAUAUAAACACCAGAUCCAGAGACGCAAACAGAGCUAUUAUUAGUGCGAUUAACUCAUAUUCCAGUUCUGUUUCAAUGUAAUUUUUUUUCGAAAGUCGUAGUGCAAACAUAGAAGCUCAUAAGCUAGCCAAGCGCUUGUUGUCUUUAGGUCGGGGGCGCCACCUUUUGUUUGGCCAACCCCAUGACCUUGCUUGUAUCCCACAAUCUGUGAUUUUCGAUUAAUAAAGCUUGGUGAUCCUAAAAAAACAAAAAAAAAGCUCCGCGACUGCUCCGCUUCCCCAAAUCCCGACUCGUGAACAUCGCCGCCCCUCGCAUGCCUGAUGCCUCUCCGAUUACAAGGACACGGCCGUGAUACCUAGGGCGCGAAUUCACUCCCCAAUGGUCCUCUCCUUCCUUUUCGAAUGAUCUGGUCACUGCCCAUCAACUAGAGUUGGAGAGAUCAAGAUGGUGUGUGUUCUUGCUUCCCGUAACCUCGUUCCUCAAUUCAAAGAUUCAUUGGUAUUAGCCCUGCCCUACGGCACUCACAAUUCCACGUUGCACAUUGUUCUGCUCUUCAUUUGAUCCAAAUGUGAGAGAGCCCUCCUUGCCCUCAGAAGGUGCGGGGGUCACCGCGGCGUGCUUCUUCCUGGUCAUGCCUCUCUCCUCCUCCGACCAGCCACCGCCGCCGCCCAAACCCUCGUCGGGAGCUCUUGAAGCGCGGCUGCUGCGGAGUUAAAAAAAAUCGUGGCCGCGCGGAGACUUCUGGAAACAAAUGGGAGACGGGGGCUUUCGCGCUGGGGUUUUAAUGCCUAACAAAGCCCAUAUCCACCGCACAAAUCAGAUCCGAUGGUUCUCCUUUUCCGAGUACUACUCCUCGCUACAGCUCUGUACUACUUUCACCGCUACUCUGUUUUGGAGGGAAAAUGAAAACUUCUGCUCACUUUACCGUCAAAAUAGGACCACAGCUAAGACCUCAAAUUACUGGAGUCAAUCUCUAAUGGAGAACCAAGUAGAAGCAGAUUCAAAUAAGUAAGUGAGAAUAACAUUUUCGGUUUUGUGCUGGAUUCCUCUUUUUUUUUGCAAAUGACUGACACUAUUUUCUGCACUUGUGCAUUCUAUAGAGAAAUUGUAUUGCCUAGUUGGAUACCUCGGCUUGGCUUACACAUAUUUGGUUGGCUGAAGUCACAAAGCGGCAAAAGUGUGUGCUUUGCAAAAUAAAUGUAGAGUGUUCUGCACUUUAUGUGUAUGGAUACUUUUAUGAUUGAGCCUCUUUCAUGGUAACUAAAAUUUGCUUGAUAUCGGCAGUAGUUUAACAUUUUUGUUGUUUAAGUUAAAAUGUAUAGAUUGAAAUUGUAAAAUUAUGUGCCCCGAAGGCCAUUGAAGCGGUGCAGGUCGGCGCUUCAACAAUGAUCAAAGAUAAUGAGUUGUUUUUUCUUAUAUGGAUGUCCUGACUUAUUUUUUUGUUACUCCUAUGAAAAAUAUAGUUGUCGUUAGCACUAGCGCAUUUAUACACUGCUUUAUUUGAAAACCGCGGAUUCCUGAAGGAGCGAGAAGUUGGCAUUAUCAACACAAGUUGUACCAACACGAUCCGUAGAAGGACCUCUAACAAAUAAAAUAUUACAAAUGGGUCCUUCGAUUAUGCUCAAAGAUCCUUCAAUAAGGACCUGGGAAAGUGAUCAAGUCCCUAUUCCAUUGUCCACGUCGUUGAAACGAUGGAACUGCCAUAUCUGGUGAACUUCGCCUUUGCCGUCAUGCCUUGAAUAACGCUCAUCAUAUUUGCAAGGCGAUUUGGGCCUCCAACUUUGGGAGGAUGUAAAAAGAGACGAAGGGGUCAACGGCAGGCCACCGAGUGGUCGGCCAUCAAUCCUCACAUGGAUGAACGCCUACCCUCUAAGCCCCGUAGACCUCCAGUUUCGGCGCAACAGCUCCCGCACCCCCCGGAUCAAUAAGAUAGACACCGAGGCACCCCUUUCCUCGUGAACCGACGACCUAGGUGCUAUGCGCACCUUCGUGGGUGCUGCUUCCUUCCAUUGGGAGUUGACUAACCCAAUUGAAAGUUAGGUGACUGGUGUCUAACUAAAGUGAAAUAAUAAAUGGGGGAAACCUUGUGCAUCGCGAGUUAGUUCAGGAUAUUGAAUCUGGAUGGGCAAGAUUGAGUCAUAUGGUUGACAUUACUGAUGCAGGACUAAAGAUGCAAACCACACACCAGAAACUUUCAAAUCGAUAUCUUCUGUGAACUAUUGUAACUUUGUAAGAUGUCAGGAAGAAGGUGCAGUUCCUUCACCAGAUGAAUACCGUGUGAGCAGACAUGUAAGAUUUACAUGAAUAAGAUAGAAGGAGUACCACUAUUUUGUAGCUAUGUCGUAUCCUGCUACUCCUUCUUUCUUGAUGCGGAUCUUCCACUCGUUUUUUGGAAGCAGGUCCCGUGGAGGACGCUACAACUUUCUUCGGACCCAUAUGCAUGUGCUGAGUUGUUGAGGGUGCUUACGGUCGCCGUCUGUAGGCGGUGGGGGAGCAAAUCCGAGGUGACGAACGACGGCGAGCUUCGACGGAAUGAGUCUCUCACAUAAGAAUCCAGAACGCGCUUUCCUGUUAUCGCGCCAACGCUAACGUUAAGGAUAUGGUAUUUCUCAUGGACUACAUAAAUGCCAGAGCACAUUUGUGUGUGAUCUUGAGAUCAGGAGGUCCUGCAUCAUACUUUGCUUGAACCACCGUCGACCAAUGAUGGAACUACAAUUGUCGAUAAAAUGGCCGACUCAACAAUUUGCCGCAGAUAAGUCCUAAGCCAACACACCGUUCGGUUAUAAGAGCAUAUUUUCCCGAGGUAGCAUGUUCAUGACUUACGCAAAUUGAAAAAAAACUCAUGACGCUCUAUGGCUCAUAGUAUCAUUUUCUCCUUCACCGGAUGGGACCUCAAAGAGUCCCCAAAACAAAAAGAUAGUACAAGUGGCGGCAGCCGGCGACGGCCACCACCAAUGUCCGACGUGUUCCUCCGACGUGGCGCCGCCCCAUUGGGGCACAGCACGUCACCGCCACCGACGCGGCGGCCCCGCCCACGGGUUCCUCCCGCGGGCCCCCACAUGCCAGCCACACGACCCAGGCUNNNNNNNNNNNNNNNNNNNNNNNNNNNNNNNNNNNNNNNNNNNNNNNNNNNNNNNNNNNNNNNNNNNNNNNNNNNNNNNNNNNNNNNNNNNNNNNNNNNNNNNNNNNNNNNNNNNNNNNNNNNNNNNNNNNNNNNNNNNNNNNNNNNNNNNNNNNNNNNNNNNNNNNNNNNNNNNNNNNNNNNNNNNNNNNNNNNNNNNNNNNNNNNNNNNNNNNNNNNNNNNNNNNNNNNNNNNNNNNNNNNNNNNNNNNNNNNNNNNNNNNNNNNNNNNNNNNNNNNNNNNNNNNNNCGCCGCAGUCCCCCUCCACCCUCCUCCCCCAUCCCCGUCGUCGCUCUUCGAUUCCGCCGGCGAUCCGCGCCAGAGCCCAUCUCCAUCUCAGGUAGAGGUGAGUAGUAGAGGGAGCGGGGAGCUAGGGUUUCCGCGCGCGCGCGUGUGUGGGAGGGGAGAGGAGGAGCAGGGAUGGCGCAGGCGGUGGAGGAGUGGUACCGGCAGAUGCCCAUCAUCACGCGCUCCUACCUCACCGCCGCCGUCCUCACCACCGUCGGCUGCACCCUCGAGGUACGCACGUCCCCCGUCCCCCUCUCUUCCGGCCCCCUGCGCCCACCCCGGGGGCCGUUCGCGGCGCGAUCUGCUGCUUCUGCUGCCGAGUCGAGUCGAUGACCUAGUGAUUGAUUGAUUGAUUGGUUGGUUGCAGAUCAUCUCGCCCUACCACCUGUACCUCAACCCCAAGCUGGUGGUGCAGCACUACGAGAUCUGGCGCCUCGUCACCAACUUCCUCUACUUCCGCAAGAUGGGUAUGCCAACGAACCAACGAUGCUCGCCUCCUAUCCACUCCCUAGUCAAGUCUGCAAUGCGUUGUGAAAUUCCGUAGCACGGCAUGGCGUAGGGCUAGGGUUUGCUGAGGGCUGCGUGGAUUCGUUGCUCCCAUGCCACUCCAUUUGCCACUUGAGGAUAAAAGUCUCACCGGCGCGAUUCAUUUCAUGUGCUCCGAGAGUAUGGUCUAUUGAGUCGGUCAAGCCGCGGCACAGGGAGAUAUGUUAGAAUUGAUAGGUUUUGGGUACGUGGCGACAGUCGGCGAAGGCUCGUUCGCUUUACAUGCUGCUGAGCUGCUGCCCUCCCUUGUGUUUUGUGGCGCUGUGCAUAUGGUAAUUUGUCGCAUUGGAAACGGACACGGCCUGCUUGUUUGUCGUGUUGCGUUGGCUGCCGCAUCAAAGUCAGCACGGAACAAUAAGCACAGAUUUGUGAAGUUAAUAUUUGCGUGCUUCAAACGGUAAUGGAGAAUUGGUAACCGAUGGCUUGUCUAAUAUAAUAUGUUGCCAUGAAUGAGCAGAAUCUAGAUUGCGUUGCCGUUGAGUAUCCGACAUUUAGAGUCGUUAUCUCGGAUAUACGUUACUAAUUUGUCUGUGCUCAUGCUAAACACAAGUGCUUACAUGUUCCUAGCUUGUUGCACGUGUUUGAUUCACAUGCUCGUCGGCAGCCCUUUACUCUUUGAGACGUAUACUUUCUGUUAUUAUAUCAUUUAUGGGAUAAAGUUUAUGUAUAGCUGUAGCCCUUCACUCUUAUUACUGAACCUGGUUACUCUUGUUUCCAGAUUUGGAUUUCCUGUUCCACAUGUUUUUUCUUGCGCGCUACUGCAAACUUCUCGAGGAGAACUCAUUCAGGGGAAGAACAGCUGACUUUUUCUACAUGCUCUUGUUUGGUGCUACUGUCCUGACUAGCAUCGUUCUGAUUGGUGGGACAAUACCUUACAUUUCUGAGACAUUCGCCAGGAUUCUUUUCCUCAGCAAUUCAUUGACGUUUAUGAUGGUAUGCGAUUAAUUUAAAGGAUUCAAGCAUUUACUAUUUCUAUAAAAAGUUGCCUAUGCUAGGACACAUAGUAGAGAAAUCCUGUCUUUAAGAAUUCUCCUUUUUGGGUGCCGGAGGCAGAACAUUAGUAAUACCCCUGAUAUGGCAUGGCAGGUUUAUGUCUGGAGCAAGCACAAUCCCUUCAUUCACAUGAGCUUCUUGGGUCUGUUCACCUUCACUGCUGCCUACUUACCUUGGGUAAGCGUUGCACCUGUCCACUUGAUACUCCUCUAAAAGUACUUAUUUGAUGACGAGUGUAGGCAUGCAAAUUGAUAUUUCUUCAUGCCUGAGAAUUGAUUCACCUGAUCCGAGAUAUGUAUAUAGGGGAAAUCACUACUUAAUUGUAAUGACUUUGACAAGCUUAUGCAUAUAAAAACUGAUAUUUUUUCAUGCCUGAGUAUUGAUGCACAAGAUCUGAGAUCUGUAUAUCGGGGGAAUACAUAAGUUAUUGUAUGACUUGAAAACCCUAUCUGGCGGGUACAUGUAUCGAUUCAGGCUGUUUUAUUUUCAAGACAAAACAUUUAUGAACCUCUUUUCUUUGCCUCCUCGGUUUCGCAGCGUAUGUAACUAACUAUAGGUUUUGGCUUAGGCCCUGUUUGGUUUCAAAUAAGUCACCAACUUAUAAGUCGAAAAGUGCAAAAAGUGACUUAUUUUGCCAAACGGACCCAACUUAUAAGUCACCCCAACUUAUAAGUCAUAAGUUGCUCCACCCCAACUUAAAACUUAUAAGUCACCCCCUUUUACGUGGGUCCCAUCACCUUUACAUUAAAAAACAAGGUGGGAAGGUGUGCUCAGGUGACUUAUAAGUCAGAUGACAACCAAACAGACGUGACUUAUAAGUCACUGAUUUUAAGUCACCUGACUUAUAAGUCAGGUGACUUAUUGGAACCAAACAGGCACUUAAAAGAGGGCCUAGUGCAUUGGGAGUAGAGAUGAAUUUCACGGGAAAGGAUCUUUCCUUUACUAUGGAAUCCUUGCGUUCUAAAUGGUGCGAGAUGCAAGAUAAAGUGAAUGAAGUAACAUAUUAGUUCAUUUAGUCAUCAUGGAAUAAGUCCUGGAUAGAUCAUGUAUGAGUAAAUAAAUACUGGAAGGUGUAUGUGAGGUAGCGUGUGAUAACUCUGCAUUAACGGGCAUAGAGAAUGUAAAAUAGCUAGUUAUAUUCUGGAAAUGGAAGUACCUUAGACUGACCUGUUCCAGCUAGAGAAUUGGACUAAUCAUUGGUCCUAUUAACUCCAACCAGGCAAAACCUAGCCAUUACUGGGUGACCUGUAAACUGCUGUGUAAUAUGCACAGUUACAGUAGGAAGACACCUGGCUAUCUGUCCAUCGUACAGGAUGGCAUGCCACUGUUGGAAAACAUGACAAACUGAAUAAACUGCCACAUUUUGCUCUGAUACUGUUCUCAUGUGAUCCUUACUUGGUCAUCUCAUACCAUGACUGGCAAAGUUAGUGAAUUUUUUAUUCAUGUUAUAUUAUUUUAUCGGAGAUGAAAAAUAGUGGUCUGAACUGUUUCUUUUAACUUGCAGGUCCUUCUUGGCUUCUCUAUUCUGGUGGGGAGCAGCACAUGGGUUGAUCUUUUGGUGAGUUUUGCUUAACUGAUGAAUUUCAGAGUAAUGGUUGCAGUAGCGAUUUUGUUAGUGUUUAUGAUUUGAACAUCUUUUCUGGUCAUGUAAGCCAUUAAUUGCUAACUGACUGAACAAUAUUUAGGAUUAGCUGUUAGUGCUUAGUUCUUCGCGUGGAUUUGUAGGAAUGUUGACAUGUUGUUUAUUUGUACCAUUUUCUGCUGCAGUAAUGUUGCAACCACUCAAUAUUUCUCUUAUCCGCUCUGCCUAAAGGCUGCCAUAUUUAGGUUUUGUUAGCCAAAGUUUGAGUUUGGUUGCCACUUGCCAGUAUAGACGUACCUUCUUUUAUCCCAUGGUUGUCCAAAACCUGAUGAUGGUUUUAUAACCAGCUAACCGGAUGUUACUGGGCAGUUUUGAAAGUUUUAACAUGGUUCAAAUCUACAGAAUGAGCUACUGUUUUAUGAAUGCCGCUAGCGCUACAAACCUGCAAAUCGACCAUUAGAGAUUGUGGUUGGGAUUUUACGCGACUUCAUUUUGGUUGAUGUAGCAGCUUGUAUUGAUGCUAAGAAAGUGGAUGGCUGCUACUAUGCUGGCUGGCUGACUGGCCAGUGUCUUGUCUGACUAGUUUACCUUUCCCACUGCUCACAUGUUACUGUCAUAUUCGUUACAAAUAGCUAGCCCCUUUCUCUUAAGUACUCUGUCUUGCGUACCUCCUGAUCGUCAUUUAUUCUUUACUUUUGGACAAAUUAAUUGAAUCAUAAAUCCGCAGGUAUUUGUUUUCUCUUUUGGACGAGUGGCUACGAUAGCUCUUAACUUGUAAAUCAUGUUUCUUUCAGGGUAUGAUUGCUGGCCAUGUGUAUUACUUCCUGGAAGACGUGUACCCUCGGAUGACCGGUCGGCGUCCCCUGAAGACCCCUUCCUUCAUCAAGGCGCUGUUCGCCGACGACAAUGUGGUCGUGGCGGCCCGCCCCCCCAACGCCGGUGUCGCGGCUGCAAGGUUCGGUGGUGUGGGUGCAGCAGACCCCCAGUUCCAGUGAUGACCGACAUGCAGUUUGUUGGAUAUAAUUUUGUACACCCGUGUCCGUGAUGAUAUGUGCAAAAUAUACACAGUAUAAUUCUCAGUUAGGGGUUUGGAUUUGAUGCCAAUGCGCUGCUAACAAAAGUGUAUGUAGCUGGGCUCCUGAGGCCAUUUGUUUGUUGGUUAACUUUGACUUGACGUACUUGUCUCAUCUUGCGUGGCGUGGCGUGGCACCUUCGUUAAUUAGGCGAAAAAACACGCUGAAAACCAGUCCUUUUUUGGCGUCCCCAUAAUUGCGUUGUUGUGCUUAGGUUAUGAGGGUUCUUGGCCACAUGGAUAGUUCAAUGUGCUCAUUAGCGCCUGACCAGACGUGGAUCAUCCAAGGCACAUUAGCAUGGCAUACUCCUGUUUGAAUCGGAAUUCGAAAACAAACUUCUUCUCAGGAGGAUAGAUAGGGUGAUUUAGGUGAGAUCCUAUGUAGGUGGGUGUNNNNNNNNNNNNNNNNNNNNNNNNNNNNNNNNNNNNNNNNNNNNNNNNNNNNNNNNNNNNNNNNNNNNNNNNNNNNNNNNNNNNNNNNNNNNNNNNNNNNNNNNNNNNNNNNNNNNNNNNNNNNNNNNNNNNNNNNNNNNNNNNNNNNNNNNNNNNNNNNNNNNNNNNNNNNNNNNNNNNNNNNNNNNNNNNNNNNNNNNNNNNNNNNNNNNNNNNNNNNNNNNNNNNNNNNNNNNNNNNNNNNNNNNNNNNNNNNNNNNNNNNNNNNNNNNNNNNNNNNNNNNNNNNNNNNNNNNNNNNNNNNNNNNNNNNNNNNNNNNNNNNNNNNNNNNNNNNNNUACGAGGCACAAGAAAUUGGAAAUGUGGAAACAUAAAAAAAAA